Molecule: long non-coding RNA, 111311 nt
Filed under: Triticum aestivum (bread wheat)
Lineage: Eukaryota; Viridiplantae; Streptophyta; Magnoliopsida; Poales; Poaceae
Description: long non-coding RNA (TAES_LNC025103)
Rfam family: MIR1120/MIR1122 microRNA precursor family (bases 46498-46632)
Source: RNAcentral
CCAGACGGUUUAAUUAGCACAGGCCAUCCUACCAGUACACUUUUUUUUAACUACCAUCAUUUUACACUUUAUUUACUGCUCAUUGAUGCUCUGUUCGUAUAGUAUCAUAACCAAAAUUGCCCUACACUCUUUAGCAUGUUGCUGUUAACUGUUCUAUGUUAUUCCUCACGGUGUUGUUCUAUAUACACCUCAUAGAAAGAGCAUAUAAUUAUGAAUACAAAUCUUGGUUUCCAGGAUGGCGAGCCAGCCAGCCGCAAACAGCGCUCGCCCAGCCACGGUGCAGAUACGCGGGCAACCUGUCGAACAGAAGACGAGCUGCUGCUCUUCUUGAAAUGCAGGCAGCCGCCAUCCAUGUUACCCAAAUGGAGACGCAAACUUGGCCGCGCCAUCCUUGAGUCCAUGCUUCUACAUAGGCCUACUACAUCUUACACCUUCAUUCCAUUCUUUCUAGUGUACUUAUUAGCUCUUGAAUCGUUGGACUUGUAACACCGGAUGGAGUUUGGAGACAGUAUCUUCUUCUAGUUGUGUAUCUUGAAUGGUUAUAUGUUACGAUUUGCAGCUGUUGCUUUUCUUCCCUAAAUUUAAGGCGAUUUCUACUUUUACUUGACCAAAAUGUUCGGUUCUUCAAAAUAUUAUCUGACAGUAUGCUUAUCUUUGUGGUAAAAAAGGUCCUGGUUAUAGUUUUCAAGGUGACUUGUUGAUUGUUGAAGGCAGCAUUAGGAAUGUGCACAACAUGACAAGUUAAUUGCCAACAUUAAAUCAGUUGGGGCAUGUUUGGUUGCCUGCAUCUUUUGUCUCAGUGGGCCAGGUUGAGUUGCCUGUAUUUGUGCUAUUGGUAUGCAAAGCAGAGCUGUUUUGCUCAUCCCGUGGUGGUCUUACACACAAAUGCAGCACUUCAUAUCAUACAUAACAUAAGAACAACAUAAUACAAUUAACAGUACAAAUAAAAACAAUAGCUAAAUAGUUCAGAAUAGCUAAUUAGACCAUAGUUUAAGACAUCAAAGGCAUCCCAUGCCCCUGCACGACCCUAGGGUGUUGAACCCUGAGCAAAAUAUAUAGUUUUGCACUAAGUUGAGCAAAAUAUACAGUUUUGCAGUAAGUUCAGACGAUCAAGCCUAGCCCGGAGAGCCACAUGACGAGCAAGUCGCUGUGGAUGAUUGUGUGGCGCCGACAGAAGUAGUCUCAACUGCUCCCGAGCACCAUCUGCCCCUGAAAUGUAUGGCCCUACACCUAGAACUCACACCACUUGUUGGCAGAGGCUGACAACACCAGGAGGGUUGACGACUGCCAUUUCUUUAUCACCGUCCUAAAGGCAGGCGGGAUGACCAGCAUGGUGAUCUCUUCCUCGUUCUUGAUUUGCACGUAGAACCCGACUGACGUCCGUGUAUAUAGAGUAAAUUGCUCAAAGCCACUACAUUUGUGGCUAGAGUACUCUAAAACCACCACUUUUGCCAGAAAUCACAAAAAACCACCACUUCCGCGGCAAGUGAGUAACAAAUCACACUGAUUUGGAAUUGAACGCAUCUAACAGCAAAACUGACAUGUGGGACCCGUCUAUCCGGGCUGAUGUGGCAAAGACUAGUCCUAGUCAAUGGUUGACCUGCUAAGGUGGACGGGGGUCCUACCUGUCAGCCGCACCUAUUGUCUUCUCUCUCCUCUCCUUCUUCUCGAUAAAGCGGAAUCCCAGCCGCCACGCCAUGGCCGGCGCAGAGAGAAGCAGGCCGCGCCCGCCUAGCUCCCCUCCUUCUCCUAAUCCAGCGGAAGGCGCCCGCCGGUGCCGGAGCUCUACGCCGCCGGUGGCGCCACGCCCUGCCUCCCCCAUUUCUCCUAGAUCCGGUGGGAUCCCAGCGCCGGCAAGCCAAGGUCGGGCGAACUCCUCCUAGCCUCGACGCCCCGCCCCGCUACGACAGCCACUGCUGCUGGCCAUGGCCAGAGGCGAGCUCCUUCCCCUCACGCCACAGGCAACCUCUCCCAUCCUUGUCUUCCUCGCGAGCGCUGGCACGAGAGCCACGGGAGCCAGAGGCGGGGAAGAUGUGCUGCUCGCCAUGGCAACGCUGGUGGCGGCGACGCACCGGGAACCCCAAGGCGCGGCUAGCGGACUUCUUCGCAGGCUUCGGCUCCGGCGGCGUGCUGGUGGCGCGCGACACCGACGACGCGCGUCGACUCUCUCCCUGUCUUCCUCGCGAGCGCCGACACGAGAGCCACAUGAGCCAGGGCGGGGAAGGUGUGCUGCUCACCGUGGCAACGCUGCUGGCGGCGGCGCACCGGGAACCCCUAGGCGCAACUAGCGGACUUCUUCGCAGCCUCCGGCGUGCUGGUGGCCACGGCACCGACGACGCACGUCGACUCUUCUCCGCGGAGGACGCGCUAGUGAGUGGGGAGGCCUGGUGAGAGGGGACCGGCUCGCCGUGCGCAGAGGAGGGGCGGAGCUCGUCGAGGUGCGGACGGAGGGGCAACAUCGCCGGAGAAGUGCUGGACCGACGGAGUAGGUGUUGUGCGUGCACAUGAAGUACUCGACGAAAUGCCAGAGCCUAGUCACCUGUCUACGUGUUUAUUCUUUGCCAAGUCAGCCUGCAUGUGGGCCAGGCAUGUCAGUUUUUCACUUAGUCACGGCUGACAGCUCGUUUAGUGCAUUUUGUUACUCACUUGCCGCGGAAGUGGUGGUUUUUUGUGAUUUCUGACAAAAGUGGUGGUUUUGGAGUACCCUAGUCACAAAUGUGGUGGCUUUCAGCAAUUUACUUGUGUAUAUACGGUUCAAAUCUCGUUUUUAUACAUCCAUCCAUACGCUGAUGAGGCAUGCUAGGGUGUCAGGGACAAGGCGUGUGGCCUGCUUUUGUUUUGCGGAAAACCCCCCAAAAUAGUUGUUUUCUUAUAAAAAAGGCCCUCAAAGAAAAACUAAUAAAUUGUAAAAUUAACUAUUAAUCAAUUUAUAAUAUCUAAAAAUAGUCCGGGGUUCGAACCAGCGACAGAGGUGUGCGUGGCUAGCCAGCUGACCGGUUCAAAUUUGAAGGUGUUUGGUUCGCAAUUUUACACCCGGUAUCUGAUUACAUCGCAAACCGAUACCGUUAAUCGUGUUUGCUUCGCUUUGCAGAUCCCACAUAGACACGUCCCAUCACAGUUUACGUUACAGCCAGAGCGAGCCGACUCGGGCGAAUUCUUCUGGCUUCGAUCCCCAAUCCCGGCCCAGUCCCGUGCUAGCUGCCUAGACGUGGGGUUCCUGUUUGUUUCAUUUCUUUUUACGCUGGGGCUCUCAUUUUCUUGCCGGUAUCCAUUACCGUUAGACACUUAACCAAACAAGAAUGGAUUUUGGCCGAUAUCGUUUACAUCAACGGAGUAAACCCAUUACGUUUACGUUUCCGUUCCACUUCUGGAACCAGACACCUUAGUGUUAAGAAAGGAUUCGUAUGAUCCUAAAAAAAAGGAAUCGUAUACUUUGUAAACAUAAAGCUGAACGACAUAAACUAAACUUUUUUAUUCGCAGCCGCCCAUACUACUCCGACCGACAACAUCAGAUGGCAAAAUGAUAGAUUUAGGUUUAUGACAUAACGAGCCCUUCCUGAAGGCGUUGCUGUUGAAGAAUCCCGUCAUUCGCGCGGUGCCAUGACAUAGUUGAUGCGGAUAUGGUCAUUGUUGUAGUCUACCUAUUAUGGAUUUGGUCGCUCAGAUUUUUUUUCUUCAUCGUCUACGCGUGGCUUUGGUCUUAUAUGACUUUGCUAUUUGCUGACGUGAUGUUGUGUGCGUGCGUUAGUGUUGGCUGUGUGCAUCCUAGCUAUGCAGAGGCCGGGUGUGCUCAUUAUGUUUGUAUCCUCUUGAUGCCUCAUUUUAAGCUAAUAAAAUACAUUCUUUGUCGAGAAAAAUGACAUAACGAGCCCGUGUGGCUAAAACGGACCACAGUGUGGCUCAGUUUUGAACGUGUUUGUUUUUUUCAUUUCAUUUUUAAAAUAUAUUAAUUAUAAUUGUGUGUUACAAACAAUAUACAAUAUUUAAAACAAAUUACGUUAAAAUGUUUAUACUAUUUCAUAAAAUACAUAUGCAAUAUUUUAACAGAAAUAUACAUAAUAAAAUUAUGAGUUAAGAAUAUAUUUUAUAAUUUGAAAAAAAUGUUUGCAUUUUAAUAAAAUAUUAAUGUAAUUUUAGAAAUGUUCAUAUAUUUUAAAAAAUUCUCAUAUAAUUUUGAAAUUUCCACAUUAUUAAUAAAUUAUUUAUGUAGUCUAUCAGUGUGUUCAUGCUUUAAUUAAAAAGGUGUUAUUUUAAAAGGUUUAUAUAGUAUAUAAGUUUGUGCGUUUCUAUAAAAAAUAAAUGCAAGCCUAGUGCGCCAUUAGACUGCGUAUCCUCACAUGAAUAAUAGUUGAAUCAUCUAAACAUUUUGAUCUUCAUAAAUAGUUUCAAUUGUAUGAAUAUAUUUUAAAAUAACACAUGAUUUUAUUUCAGGAUACACGUGAAUUCUUUUGAUACAUGACAAUUCAUUGGUUGGAGUGACAUCCGUGCCUGGUCUACAAGCUUUGGUCCGAUGUGCAGAUCACAGAGCCGGUGCUGUUUUUGCUGGAUUAUUAAAUUCCUUUUAUUUAUUUUGUUCGGUCCAAUGUUUAUAAAGGUUAUAAAUCAUUAAAUAUUAGCAAAUGUGAAGUUGUCGAGCACACGCUCUGGACUGGUAGGUUGCAGGCUCGAGCCACCACAUGACAAGUUUUAGUUUUUAUUUUAUAGUUUAUCAGUUUCUCCCCGAGGGCCUUCUUGUAAGAAAAAUAAUUUUGGGAGUUUUCCGCAAAAACCAAGCCAAACACCCUUGUCUCUGGCAGCGGGUCCCAUGGCAUGCUGGCACGCCUCGUAAGUAUACAAACAUCAUUUAAACCAAAUAUGCACGUCUAUGCCAAGUUAUGAAACCGGUUCAAUGUAUUUUUCAAGGCACUAGAAUGCAUAUUCAUGACAAGUUCAAGCACCACAGAUGUAUUUACCUCGGAAAGUAAUAAAAAACACACACAAGAAAAUCAGAAAAAAAAACCCCGGGCCAAAACUAGAACAGCCAGCGAGAUUUCCAGAAUGGUCAAAAACUUAGUCUGGCCACGGAUUACUUUAAGGGAAUCUUGGGUCAGCCUGCCCCCUCGAUGAACACAGUGGACGUACACUCACUAUACACUUCACUUGAUCUAUCUGCCCUGACGGUACGGUUUUCUUGGGCUGAAAUCAUACAAGCCAUCAGCUGCUCACCCAAUAACAGAAGUCCAGGCCCUGACGGUUUCACCAAUGAGUUUUACAAGGCUUUCAAGUUGCUGCUAAAGGAUGACCUGCUCCACUUUUUUUAUGAUUUCCACAGAAAUGUGGUUGAUCUUACUGGUAUUAACUCCGCUUUCAUCACCCUGCUACCUAAAAAGAUACGCCCCUAGAGAUGCGGGACUUCAGGCCGAUUUCCCUCGUACAUAGCAUACCCAAACUGGUUUCUAAGGUUCUGGCUUGUAGGCUGAAAGCAUGGAUUCCUCUCUUGAUUCACUCUCUCCAGUCUGGCUUCUUGCGGGGCAGAUCGAUUAUAGAAAACUUUACCCUGGCUGCCGAAAUGAUCCAAUACGCACACAAACGGAAAAUGCUAGUCAUUGCUUUGAAGUUGGAUUUUCACAAAGCUUUUGACAGCGUCAGUUGGUCCUGUUUGCACAAAGUACUUGAAGCCAGAGGGUUUUCUCGGCUGUGGAUUAGUUGGAUUCAAAUGCUUUUGUCAACCGGCAGCUCUAAAGUCCUUAUUAAUGGCCAGCUGGGUGCCCCCAUCCGGGCUAAGCGUGGUUUUCGGCAAGGCGAUUCCUUAUCCCCUUAUCUUUUCAUUAUCGUUGCGGACGUGCUACAGAGAAUGUGCUGCAAAUUGUUCCAAGAUGGUUCCUUGCUGCACCCACUUGGUUCAGACAGUUUCUUCCCGGUUCUGCAAUACGCGGAUGACAUGCUGAUUCUUUUCCAAGGCACUACGCACCAGGCGGCAGUUGUUAAGUCAGCGCUCACAACUUUCUCUGCUUUCUCUGGGCUCACCAUAAAUUUCCACAAGAGCACUCUCGUACCUGUUGCCGCGGAGACCAUCACUGCUUCGGCCAUCGCGCAGAUCCUAGGCUGCCCCGUUUCAUCCUUUCCAUGCAACUACCUGGGCCUGCCUCUCUCUCUGCACAAGAUUACGCAUGGUAUGUUACUGCCUGUUAUACACAAGGUCGACCGUCGUCUUUCGGGCUGGUUAGCUACUUUCCUAUCCUUAGGGGGUAGAUUGACCCUUAUCAACUCAGUGAUCGUUGGUAUCCCAAGUUAUUUCAUGUCAUGCUUUCCCUGGCCCAAGGAAUCUCUUGGAAAAUUGGAAAGUCUCUCACGUGCUUUUUUCUGGCAAGGCAAGAAUAAGGUCAAGGGGGGUCAAUGCUUAGUAGCUUGGGAUACAGUCUCGUCACCUCGUAUCAAUGGCGGUUUGGGUAUCCGUCAGCUGCAGGCUCACAACCAAGCUAUGAUGUGCAAGUCUGUCUCCAAAGUUAUACAAGGUUCGGACAUACCAUGUUAUAACUGGUUCGCCACACAUUAUUGCCGGGCUAUCCUUCCACAAAGUGCUAGUAGCAGAGACACUGCCAUCUGGAAAGGGUUCAAAGAUCUUGUUCCUAUGGUCAUCAACUCCUCUAAAUGUGUUCUGGGGUCUGGUCUUUUGAUUUCAUUCUGGAAGGACCAGUGGCUUGAAGCGGGGCGUUUAUACCAGUUGUUCCCCAUGCUGUAUUCCUUCGCGAUCCAGCCAGAUUUCUCCGUGCACUCACAACACUCCAACGGUUCAUGGGCUAUUCAGCUACACCCUAAUCUCUCUCAAACAGCCUCAGCCGAGCUUGCUGUCCUGCAUGAUUUGUUGCUGGGCAUUGCUCCGAACUUACUGCAUGAGGACCAACGGACUGCUUCUGUGAGCUCUGGACAACUUUGCACUGGUUAUUUCUACAGGCUACUCACUUUCCGGGGGGUUUUGUCAACUCUUGGCACCUGGGUUUGGGAGGCAAUGACCCCCCUCAAGCACAGAAUCUUCCUAUGGCUUUCUUUCCGUGAUCGUCUAAACACUAAGGAUAACAUGGUAAAGAAGGGUUGGUCCGAGGCUUCCCCGUUUGCGCAUUGUGACACUUGCCCCGCUGUUGAGACCAUCGAUCACUUAAUACUACGAUGUGCAUCCGCCAGUGUUCUUUGGGGCAAGUUGGAACUUGACGUUUUGGCUUGCUCAACUACUAACGUUCUAUCUUUUAUGGAGCAAGCGCAACACCAGCUCAGUUUCAAGAAAAAUGGAAUGUUGCUUUCACGGCUUGUGCUGUCACCUUUUGGCAUGCUAGGAAUGACAGAGUCUUCAACUCAAAAGACUGGUCUGUAACAUACACCUGUUUAUAUGCAGCAGGCAUGCUCCGUCUUUGGAGUCUCAGAACUCAAAGCCAGCGUACCAGGGAGGUUCUCCAGGUUUGGAGACACAAGCUGCUGCAUAAUUCGUAGACGCCUGAUGUAAUCUUCCCCUCCUCUCUUCCUCCCUCCCUUCUUUCCCUUUUUUCGAUGCUUGUGCUUUGCACCUUGGUGCACCACACAAGCUGCACUUGUACUUGUACCUGCUACUUCAUCAGGCUCUGGCCUGUUUUGAAAUAUAAGGUCGGCAGCCUGCCACCUUCUUUGUUUUAAAAAAAAGAACAGCCAGCGAGCGAAUCAUCAAUCACGAAGCGAGCCAGAAGAAGCAUGUGCCUCGGAUCGUGGGGAGCGCCGCAACCUUUCCGUCGCUCGAAACUGCGUGCUCUGCAGUAACUCCAGGGAAAUGGCUGGCCAUCUUGCAGUUGGCUACCAUUUCUCUCGUGAAGUUUGGUGGCCACGCUGAGGCGUUGCGGUCUUGCUCACCACACAGACACCGACCAUUUACACGUUGUGUGCCUGGUGGCCUCACACUCGGAAUGUACUCUCCAAACCGGCAUGCAAAAGAUUCGACAUCCUGGCACUGCUCACCCUCUGGAAACUAUGGACUUUCAAUGGCGCCCCGAGCACCACUAGGCAGGUCUACGCCGUCAUCGCAAUGGAGGGCGACUUAUGGAAGAAGGCAGCACCGCUGCUGGGUUGCAAGCUAUUUGGAAACAGUGGCGUGUGUGUAGAUUGGUAGGCAUAGUUUAAAUUCGAAAGAUGCGGGACCAAACUCUUCUAUCUGGUGUAACUCACGGUGCCAACUCUCGUCCAAUUAACAAGAUACUAUAUUGAAUCCUUCAAAGAAAACACAAGAUAUAUUGAAACCUACCGACUGCAUGUGAAGCUAGUAAAUACAUUAAUUGGAGCUAGCUUUUGGACCAUACUCAUGUGUGGUGUGCGGCUAUAUAUUGCACACACAUAUAUGUGAAAUUCAUAAUUUAGUUGUGCUAGCAACAAAAGUAGAAGGGAUAUAUCAGGGUCAAUAUACAAUAGUUCAAUCUACUGGGUGUGCAACCACUACGGUAUUAGAGAUUGGUCAUUUAGCUAUACUCGCAGUGACCAUACACAUUGGAAAAGGAGACAUCUGGAAAUGAGGGGAAACAAUAUGCUUAGAACUAGAUCGAAGAUAUCUAUGGCGUCGAGCACCCUACAUGGUAGGACACCAUAUAGGACACCAUGUAGUCUGUUGCCUCAAGCUUUCUUUUGUUUUGAAAGAUCCAUCUGGUGCCUGGCUUUAUAUUGAUCAAAGCAGGGAGCAUAUGGGAAGAGUACAAAGGUGUAUUGUGAUCCAAGGAUCAAUGAGAAAAUAAAAAAAAGAGGCGCCACUAGGCAACCCUUCCAGCUCCUAACAAGCUUGCCAUGAUACUACUAAGUCUUGGCUAAAUUCUCGCACUUUCAUCCCCAAAAGGGGGCUCAAUGAAUUUUACACUCGCCUGGCACCAGAGUUCAAAAUUGCGUCUGACAACUAUAAUGCCGCUCACCGAAGCAAUCUUGGCUCGGAAAGUGCACUCAUUUCUUUCUUGCCAGAUCCUCCAAAGUAUUAGCAGCGCUAGGUCUUCGGCGGCUUUUUGAACUUUGAUUGGGCCGCGUUGAUCAAACACACUCAAAAUCAUAGUCUUUACUAUCAAACACAUGCGAACUGGCUGGGAUUUAUGAAAAAGCCCUCUCGACUACCGUUGCUUAUGAAGCUGCUUUUUCCUCAACGUCAGACGAUCUGUUUUCAUUAUUUGAAAAUAAUAAUAAUUUGCGCCUAGCUGGUGUUGAAUGUUUCUUUUGCUGGCACGCAAGCAGAGGAUAUUCACCAACCGCCUCCACCGAAGCUUGUCUGUGUUGUAAAGAAGCCGAAUCAAAAGCUCAUCUUCUCAUACAUUGCUCAGUUCCUAGGGUGAUGUGGACGAUUAUUGACUCUCUCAACAUUACUCCGGACGACUACACCUCCUUAACUCCUUUCAUGUUGAGUCAUCUCCGAGCCGGCAAAUAAAGUAAGGAACGCAGUAAUUAUGGCUCGCUUAUUGAAUAUCUAGAAGUGCCGGAGCGCACAAGUUUUCAGGAACUAGAAUGAAGACCUUCAAGUUGUCAUCUCUAGGUCUGCAAAUGAUAUUUUUCGUUGGUCAAACAGAUGUGAAAAUGAAUCCAAUCCAAAAGGCGAAUAGUCUAUGACAAUUGACAAAGACUUAAUGUGUGUGUCUUUGUUUCUGGAGUAGUUUGGGUAGCUUUGUUCUUAUCUCCCCGCUUCUUUGUAUAUGGCAGUGACGGUGUCAAAACCGGCGGAUCUCGGGUAGGGGGUCCCAAACUAUGCGUCUAAGGUCAAUGGUAACAGGAGACAGGGGACACAAUGUUUUAGCCAGGUUCGGGCCCUCUCUAUGGAGGUAAUACCCUACGUCCUGCUUGAUUGAUCUUGAUGAAUAUGAGUAUUACAAGAGUUGAUCUAUCACGAGAUCAUAAUGGCUAAACCCUAGAGGCCUAGGUUGUAUGGUUAUGAUAAUGUAUAUCUCCCUCCGGACUAAGUCCUCCGGUUUAUAUAGACACCGGGAGGAUCUAGGGUUAGACAAGGUCGGUUACAAAGAAAGGAAUCUACAUAUUUGGUCGCCAAGCUUGCCUUCCACGUCAAGGAGAGUCCCAUCCGGACACGGGUGCCAUCUUCGGUCUUCGUAUAUUCACAGCCCAUCAGUCCGGCCCAUGGCUAACAGGCCGGACGCCCGAUGACCCCUUAGUCCAGGACUCCCUCAGUACCCCCUGAACCUAGCUUCAAUGACAACGUAUCCGUCGCGUAGAUCUGUCUUCGGCAUUGCAAGGCGGGUUCCUUCCUCCGAACUCCAAGAUAGUCUUCGGACGUAUUUGAACGUGUCCGGACCUUUGUAUUGAUCUUAUAUUUAUUGACCUUUGUAUUGCUGCUCAAUGUUCUAAGCAUGGAUAUAAUGACUCUCUCAUUUUGUUAUUAUUGCCAUGUAAAUGUUGUCAUUACUUGUUUAUUUGGUAUAGUAAGUACAUUUGAUUGAGACUAAUAUCCUGUUACUUGACAUGGCAGUGACUAUCUCUUUAAGCUUCUGCUCAUCGGAGACUCAGGUGUUGGCAAGUCAUGCCUUCUCUUAAGAUUUGCCGUAAGAAUCCCUAUCUAAAGCAUGAUUUGUCCACUAUCUUUUAUAGGUCUUCCCUUUUUUAAUAUGCAUCUUCAUCUUAAAAGUUUGAUACAAGUUGUCUUCGGGAUAUCAUGGAAACUGUCAAUUUAUUUUUAGCCUCAGUAAACUGUAUGAUUUCCCACUACUUAAUACGAAUGAGGAGUUCAUUGUUGGUAGCUACUGUUUCUUAACAACAUGGAGAUGACCCCUAUAACAUUCUUGUUGUUACUAGUUAAUUUACUCUGACCUCCUUAAUAUUGACUCUUUUGGCAGGAUGACUCGUACCUGGAGAGUUAUAUCAGUACUAUUGGUGUUGAUUUCGUAAGUAUAUUUACUUUCUUGGUCUGAGUGUUGAUGUUCUGGCUACCUUAAUUGAACUUGUAGUUUUGUUUUCUUCCAACUUUGUCGAUAGAAAAUACGUACCGUGGAGCAAGAUGGAAAGACUAUGAAGCUGCAAAUCGUGAGUCUAUUCUUUCUUUCAUUAUGUCCAGUAUGCAUGUACCAUCAAAUCCAGAUUGUACAUCGAAUCCAGAUUUGACAAAAUAGAAGACUUUAUCGGGAAACAUUUCAUUUAUAGCCCUCUUCUGUUUUGUGGAGUUUGCUAGAUUUUCCCUUUGCAUAAUAUAGCAUGCCGUUAUUCAUCAGUAUUUAUGUGGUUGUUAGUUGAGGCCAGUUCACAGGAAACAGAAACUCCACUAUGCCUGAAUAUGUAGGCAGUUGCACAACCCCUUUUUACCUUUUGGAUUUUUUAGUUCCAUCCAUUUAAAUUACUGUUGAACAUAAAGAAUAAGAGUAGUUUAGCCCAUUAAAUUAAAUGUUAUAAAGUUUCUUAGUUCGCAUAAAGAAUCGCACUUUCAAGAUGUUUUUAGAUACCAAAGUGAUGCCCAUUUUGAACAUCAUAUUUAGGGGCCUGAUAGUAUGUCAUUUAAAUACUUGGGUGGUACGGUAGAUCAUGCUGCACCUACUGUUGGCAUUUGGCGAUUCUUCCUUCCUUUUGUGUGACACAUUACAUUUAGUGAUGCAAGAUAUCAUUUUCCUUUUCUUUAAACCCCUCUUUGGUACCUUUGUUUUUAUCAGUGGGACACUGCUGGGCAAGAACGCUUCAGAACUAUUACUAGCAGCUACUAUCGAGGGGCUCACGGGAUCAUUGUAAGUUUGUUUAUGUGAAAUCUUAUUUUUAUUUUUCACAUGCUAUUUAACAUGCAUAAAUGUCCACUUUUCAUAUAUUUUGAAUACAUAUAUACAAAUGGGGUUGCAGAUUGUCUAUGACGUGACAGACCAGGACAGCUUCAACAAUGUGAAGCAGUGGUUGAACGAGAUUGGUCACUAUGCUAGUGAGAAUGUUAAACAAGCUUCUUAUAGGGAACAAAUCUGAUCUCACUGACAAAAGAGUUGUAUCAUAUGAGACAGCGAAGGUACCUUAUGCUUUACUCAUAUCUGCUGAAGCAUUUUUUCUGCUCUUUGUGUUUACAUUUGGUGUAUGCAGGCAUUUGCUGAUGAGAUUGGCAUCCCAUUCAUGGAGACCAGUGCAAAGAAUGCCUUGAACGUUGAGCAGGCUUUCAUGGCUAUGUCUGCUUCAAUCAAGGACAGGUGUGUGUUCCCAGACGGUUUAAUUAGCACAGGCCAUCCUACCAGUACACUUUUUUUUAACUACCAUCAUUUUACACUUUAUUUAUUGCUCAUUGAUGCUCUGUUCGUAUAGUAUCAUAACCAAAAUUGUCCUACACUCUUUAGCAUGUUGCUGUUAACUGUUCUAUGUUAUUCCUCACGGUGUUGUUCUAUAUACACCUCAUAGAAAGAGCAUAUAAUUAUGAAUACAAAUCUUGGUUUCCAGGAUGGCGAGCCAGCCAGCCGCAAACAACACUCGCCCAGCCACGGUGCAGAUACGCGGGCAACCUGUCGAACAGAAGACGAGCUGCUGCUCUUCUUGAAAUGCAGGCAGCCGCCAUCCGUGUUACCCAAAUGGAGACGCAAACUUGGCCGCGCCAUCCUUGAGUCCAUGCUUCUACAUAGGCCUACUACAUCUUACACCUUCAUUCCAUUCUUUCUAGUGUACUUAUUAGCUCUUGAAUCGUUGGACUUGUAACACCGGAUGGAGUUUGGAGACAGUAUCUUCUUCUAGUUGUGUAUCUUGAAUGGUUAUAUGUUACGAUUUGCAGCUGUUGCUUUUCUUCCCUAAAUUUAAGGCGAUUUAUACUUUUACUUGACCAAAAUGUUCGGUUCUUCAAAAUAUUAUCUGACAGUAUGCUUAUCUUUGUGGUAAAAAAGGUCCUGGUUAUAGUUUUCAAGGUGACUUGUUGAUUGUUGAAGGCAGCAUUAGGAAUGUGCACAACAUGACAAGUUAAUUGCCAACAUUAAAUCAGUUGGGGCAUGUUUGGUUGCCUGCAUCUUUUGUAUCAGUGGGCCAGGUUGAGUUGCCUGUAUUUGUGCUAUUGGUAUGCAAAGCAGAGCUGUUUUGCUCAUCCCGUGGUGGUCUUACACACAACUGCAGCACUUCAUAUCAUACAUAACAUAAGACCAACAUAAUACAAUUAACAGUACAAAUAAAAACCAUAGCUAAAUAGUUCAGAAUAGCUAAUUAGACCAUAGUUUAAGACAUCAAAGGCAUCCCAUGCCCCUGCACGACCCUAGGGUGUUGAACCCUGAGCAAAAUAUAUAGUUUUGCACUAAGUUGAGCAAAAUAUACAGUUUUGCAGUAAGUUCAGACGAUCAAGCCUAGCCUGAAGAGCCACAUGACGAGCUAGUCGCUGUGGAUGAUUGUGUGGCGCCGACAGAAGUAGUCUCAACUGCUCCCGAGCACCAUCUGCCCCUGAAAUGUAUGGCCCUACACCUAGAACUCACACCACUUGUUGGCAGAGGCUGACAACACCAGGAGGGUUGACGACUGCCAUUUCUUUAUCACCGUCCUAAAGGCAGGCGGGAUGACCAGCAUGGUGAUCUCUUCCUCGUUCUUGAUUUGCACGUAGAACCCGACUAACGCCCGUGUAUAUAGAGUAAAUUGCUCAAAGCCACUACAUUUGUGGCUAGAGUACUCUAAAACCACCACUUUUGCCAGAAAUCACAAAAAACCACCACUUCCGCGGCAAGUGAGUAACAAAUCACACUGAUUUGGAAUUGAACGCAUUUAACAGCAAAACUGACAUGUGGGACCCGUCUAUCCGGGCUGAUGUGGCAAAGACUAGUCCUAGUCAAUGGUUGACCUGCUAAGGUGGACGGGGGUCCUACCUGUCAGCCACACCUCUUGUCUUCUCUCUCCUCUCCUUCUUCUCGAUAAAGCGGAAUCCCAGCCGCCAUGCCAUGGCCGGCGCAGAGAGAAGCAGGCCGCGCCCGCCUAGCUCCCCUCCUCCUGAUCCGGCGGAAGCCGCCCGCCGGUGCCGGAGCUCUACGCCGCCGGUGGCGCCACGCCCUGCCUCCCCCAUUUCUCCUAGAUCCGAUGGGAUCCCAGCGCCGGCAAGCCAAGGUCGGGCGAACUCCUCCUAGCCUCGACGCCCCGCCCCGCUACGACAACCACUGCUGCUGGCCAUGGCCAGAGGCGAGCUCCUUCCCCUCACGCCACAGGCAACCUCUCCCAUCCCUGUCUUCCUCGCGAGCGCUGGCACGAGAGCCGCGGGAGCCAGAGGCGGGGAAGGUGUGCUGCUCGCCAUGGUAACGCUGGUGGCGGCGACGCACCGGGAACCCCAAGGCGCGGCUAGCGAACUUCUUCGCAGGCUUCGGCUCCGGCGGCGUGCUGGUGGCGCGCGACACCGACGACGCGCGUCGACUCUCUCCCUGUCUUCCUCGCGAGCGCCGGCACGAGAGCCACAUGAGCCAGGGCGGGGAAUGUGUGCUGCUCACCGUGGCAACGCUGGUGGCGGCGGCGCACCGGGAACCCCAAGGCGCAACUAGCGGACUUCUUCGCAGCCUCCGGCGUGCUGGUGGCCACGACACCGACGACGCACGUCGACUCUUCUCCGCGGAGGACGCGCUAGUGAGUGGGGCGGCCUGGUGAGAGGGGACCGGCUCGCCGUGCGCAGAGGAGGGGCGGAGCUCGUCGAGGUGCGUACGGAGGGGCAACAUCUCCGGAGAAGUGCUGGACCGACGGAGUAGGUGUUGUGCGUGCACAUGAAGUACUCGACGAAAUGCCAGAGCCUAGUCACCUGUCUACGUGUUUAUUCUUUGCCAAGUCAGCCUGCAUGUGGGCCAGGCAUGCCAGUUUUUCACUUAGUCACGGCUGACAGCUCGUUUAGUGCAUUUUGUUACUCACUUGCCGCGGAAGUGGUGGUUUUUGUGAUUUCUGACAAAAGUGGUGGUUUUGGAGUACCCUAGCCACAAAUGUGGUGGCUUUCAGCAAUUUACUCGUGUAUAUACGGUUCAAAUCUCGUUUUUAUACAUCCAUCCAUGACGCUGAUGAGGCAUGCCAGGGUGUAAGGGACAAGGCGUGUCGCCUACUUUUGUUUUGCGGAAAACCCCCCAAAAUAAUUGUUUUCUUAUAAAAAAGGCCCUCAAAGAAAAACUAAUAAACUGUAAAAUUAACUAUUAAUCAAUUUAUAAUAUUUAAAAAUAGUCCGGGGUUCGAACCAGCGACACAGGUGUGCGUGGCUAGCCAGCCGACCGGUUCAAAUUUGGAGGUGUUUGGUUCACAAUUUUACACCCGGUAUCUGAUUACAUCGCAAACCGAUACCGUUAAUCAUGUUUGCUUCGCUUUGCAGAUCCCGCAUAGACAGGUCCCAUCACAGUUUACGUUACAGCCAGAGCGAGCCGACUCGGGCGAAUUCUUCUGGCUUCGAUCCCCAAUCCCGGCCCAGUCCCGUGCUAGCUGCCUAGACGUGGGGUUCCUGUUUGUUUCAUUUCUUUUUACGCUGGGGCUCUCAUUUUCUUGCCGGUAUCCAUUACCGUUAGACACUUAACCAAACAAGAAUGGAUUUUGGCCGAUAUCGUUUACAUCAACGGAGUAAACCCAUUACGUUUACGUUUCCGUUCCACUUUUGGAACCAAACACCUUAGUGUUUAGAAAGGAUUCAUAUGAUCCUAAAAAAAAGGAAUCGUAUACUUUGUAAACAUAAAGCUGAACGACAUAAAUUAAACUUUUUUAUUUGCAGCCGCACAUACUACUCCGACCGACAACAUCAGAUGGCAAAAUGAUAGAUUUAGGUUUAUGACAUAACGAGCCCUUCCUGAAGGCGUUGCUGUUGAAGAAUCCCGUCAUUCGCGCGGUGCCAUGACAUAGUUGGUGCGGAUAUGGUCAUUGUUGUAGUUUGCCUAUUAUGGAUUUGGUCGCUCAGAUUUUUUUUUUCAUCGUCUACGCAUGGCUUUGGUCUUAUAUGACUUUGCUAUUUGCUGACGUGAUGUGUGCGUGCGUUAGUGUUGGCUAUGUGCAUCCUAGCUAUGCAGAGGCCGGGUGUGCUCAUUAUGUUUGUAUCCUCUUGAUGCCUCAUUUUGAGCUAAUAAAAUACACUCUUUGUCGAGAAAAAUGACAUAACGAGCCGUGUGGCUAAAACGGACCACAGUGUGGCUCAGUUUUGAACGUGUUUGUUUUUUUCAUUUCAUUUUUAAAAUAUAUUAAUUAUAAUUGUGUGUUACAAACAAUAUACAAUAUUUAAAACAAAUUACAAUAUUUAAAACAAAGUAUUUUUCAAGUUUAGGCACUAGAAUGCAUAUUCAUGACAAGUUCAAGCACCACAAAUGUAUUUACCUCGGAAAGUAAUAAAAAACACACACAAGAAAAUCAGAAAAUAAAACCCCGGGCCAAAACCAGAACAGCCAGCAAGAUUUCCAGAAUGGUCAAAAACUCAGUCUGGCCACGGAUUACUUUAAGGGAAUCUUGGGUCAGCCUGCCCCCUCGAUGAACACAGUGGACGUACAGUCACUAUACACUUCACUUGAUCUAUCUGCCCUGACGGUACGGUUUUCUUGGGCUGAAAUCGUACAAGCCAUCAGCUGCUCACCCAAUAACAGAAGUCCGGGCCCUGACGGUUUCACCAAUGAGUUUUACAAGGCUUUCAAGUUGCUGCUAAAGGAUGACCUGCUCCGUUUUUUUGAUGAUUUCCACAGAAAUGUGGUUGAUCUUACUGGUAUUAACUCCGCUUUCAUCACCCUGCUACCUAAAAUGGAUACGCCCCUGGAGAUGCGGGACUUCAGUCCGAUUUCCCUCGUACAUAGCAUACCCAAACUGGUUUCUAAGGUUCUGGCUUGUAGGCUGAAAGCAUGGAUUCCUCUCUUGAUUCACUCUCUCCAGUCUGGCUUCUUGCGGGGCAGAUCGAUUAUAGAAGACUUUACCCUGGCUGCCGAAAUGAUCCAAUACGCACACAAACGGAAAAUGCCAGUCAUUGCUUUGAAGUUGGAUUUUCACAAAGCUUUUGACAGCGUCAGUUGGUCCUGUUUGCACAAAGUACUUGAAGCCAGAGGGUUUUCUCAGCUGUGGAUUAGUUGGAUUCAAAUGCUUUUGUCAACCGGCAGCUCUAAAGUCCUUAUUAAUGGCCAGUUGGGUGCCCCCAUCCGGGCUAAGCGUGGUUUUCGGCAAGGCGAUUCCUUAUCCCCUUAUCUUUUCAUUAUCGUUGCGGACGUGCUACAGAGAAUGUGCUGCAAAUUGUUCCAAGAUGGUUCCUUGCUACACCCACUUGGUUCAGACAGUUUCUUCCCGGUUCUGCAAUACGCGGAUGACACGCUGAUUCUUUUCCAAGGCACUACGCAGCAGGCGGCAAUUGAUAAGUCAGCACUCACAACUUCCUCUGCUUUCUCUGAGCUCACCAUAAAUUUCCACAAGAGCACUCUCGUACCUGUUGCCGCGUAGACCAUCACUGCUUCGGCCAUCGCGCAGAUCCUAGGCUGCCCCGUUUCAUCCUUUCCAUGCAACUACCUGGGCCUGCCUCUCUCUCCGCACAAGAUUACGCAUGGUAUGUUACUGCCUGUUAUACACAAGGUCGACCGUCGUCUUUCGGGCUGGUUAGCUACUUUCCUAUCCUUAGGGGGUAGAUUGAACCUUAUCAACUCAGUGCUCGCUGGUAUCCCAAGUUAUUUCAUGUCAUGCUUUCCCUGGCCCAAGGAAUCUCUUGGAAAAUUGGAAAGUCUCUCACGUGCUUUUUUCUGGCAAGGCAAGAAUAAGGUCAAGGGGGGUCAAUGCUUAGUAGCUUGGGAUACAAUCUCGUUACCUCGUAUCAAUGACGGUUUGGGUAUCCGUCAGCUGCAGGCUCACAACCAAGCUAUGAUGUGCAAGUUUGUCUCCAAAGUUAUACAAGGUUCGGACAUACCAUGUUAUAACUGGUUCGCCACACAUUAUUGCCGGGCUAUCCUUCCACAAAGUGUUAGUAGCAGAGACACUGCCAUCUGGAAAGGGUUCAAAGAUCUUGUUCCUAUGGUCAUCAACUCCUCUAAAUGUGUUCUGGGGUCUGGUCUUUUGAUUUCAUUCUGGAAGGACCAGUGGCUUGAAGCGGGCCGUUUAUACCAGUUGUUCCCUAUGCUGUAUUCCUUCGCAAUCCAGCCAGAUUUCUCCGUGCACUCACAACACUCCAACGGUUCAUGGGCUGUUCAGCUACACCAUAAUCUCUCUCAAACGGCCUCAGCCGCGCUUGCUGUCCUGCAUGAUUUGUUGCUGGGCAUUGCUCCGAACUUACUGCAUGAGGACCAACGGACUGCUUCCGUGAGCUCUGGACAACUUUGCACUGGUUAUUUCUACAGGCUACUCACUUUCCGGGGGGUUUUGUCAACUCUUGACACCUGGGUUUGGGAGGCAAUGAUCCCCCUCAAGCACAGAAUCUUCCUAUGGCUUGCUUUCCGUGGUGGUCUAAACACUAAGGAUAACAUGGUAAAGAAGGGUUGGUCCGAGGCUUCCCCGUUUGCGCAUUGUGACACUUGCCCCGCUGUUGAGACCAUCGAUCAUUUAAUACUACGAUGUGCAUCCGCCAGUGUUCUUUGGGGCAAGUUGGAACUUGACGUUUUGGCUUGCUCAACUACUAACGUUCUAUGUUUUGUGGAGCAAGCGCAACACCAGCUCAGUUUGAAGCAAAAAUGGAAUGUUGCUUUCACGGCUUGUGCUGUCACCUUUUGGCAUGCUAGGAAUGACAGAGUCUUCAACUCAAAAGUAUGGUCUGUAACAUACACCUGUUUAUAUAUGCAGCAGGCAUGCUCCGUCUUUGGAGUCUCAGAACUCAAAGCCAGCGUACCAGGGAGGUUCUCCAGGUUUGGAGACACAAGCUGCUGCAUAAUUCGUAGACGCCUGAUGUAAUCUUCCCCUCCUCUCUUCCUCCCUCCCUUCUUUCCCUUUUUUCGAUGCUUGUGCUUUGCACCUUGGUGCACCAAACAAGCUGCACUUGUACUUGUACCUUCUACUUCAUCAGGCUCUGGCCUGUUUUGAAAUAUAAGGUCGGCAGCCUGCCACCUUCUUUGUUUUUAAAAAAAAGAACAGCCAGCGAGCGAAUCAUCAAUCCCGAAGCGAGCCAGAAGAAGCAUGGGCCUCGGAUCGCGGGGAGCACCGCAACCUUUCCGUCGCUCGAAACUGCGUGCUCUGCAGUAACUCCAGGGAGAUGGCUGGCUAUCUUGCAGUUGGCUACCAUUUCUCUCGUGAAGUUUGGUGGCCACGCUGAGGCGUUGCGGUCUUGCUCACCACACAGACACCGACCAUUUACACGUUGUGUGCCUGGUGGCCUCACACUCGGAAUGUACUCUCCAUACCGGCAUGCAAAGGAUUCGACAUCCUGGCACUGCUCACCCUCUGGAAACUAUGGACUUUCAAUGGCGCCCCGAGCACCACUAGGCAGGUCUACGCCGUCAUCGCAAUGGAGGGCGACUUAUGGAACAAGGCAGCACCGCUGCUGGGUUGCAAGCUAUUUGGAAAUAGUGGAGUGUGUGUAGAUUGGUAGGCAUAGUUUAAAUUCAAAAGAUGCGGGACCAAACUCUUCUAUCUGGUGUAACUCACGGUGCCAACUCUCGUCCAAUUAACAAGAUACUAUAUUGAAUCCUUCAAAGAAAACACAAGAUAUAUUGAAACCUACCGACUGCAUGUGAAGCUAGUAAAUACAUUAAUUGGAGCUAGCUUUUGGACCAUACUCAUGUGUGGUGUGCGGCUAUAUAUUGCACACACAUAUGUGAAAUUCAUAAUUUAGUUGUGCUAGCAACAAAAGUAGAAGGGAUAUAUCAGGGUCAAUAUACAAUAGUUCAAUCUACUGGGUGUGCAACCACUACGGUAUUAGAGAUUGGUCAUUUAGCUAUACCCGCAGUGACCAUACACAUUGAAAAGGAGACAUCUGGAAAUGAGGGGAAACAAUAUGCUUAGAACUAGAUCGAAGAUAUCUAUGGCGUCGAGCACCCUACAUGGUAGGACACCAUAUAGGACACCAUGUAGUCUGUUGCCUCAAGCUUUCUUUUGUUUUGGAAGAUCCAUCUGGUGCCUGGCUUUAUAUUGAUCAAAGCAGGGAGCAUAUGGGAAAAGUACAAAGGUGUAUUGUGAUCCAAUGAUCAAGGAGAAAAUAAAAAAAAAGAGGCGCCACUAGGCAACCCUUCCAGCUCCUAACAAGCUUGCCAUGAUACUACUAAGUCUUGGCUAAAUUCUCGCACUUUCAUCCCCAAAAGGGGGCUCAAUGAAUUUUACACUCGCCUGGCACCAGAGUUCAAAAUUGCGUCUGACAACUAUAAUGCCGCUCAUCGAAGCAAUCUUGGCUCAGAAAGUGCACUCAUUUCUUUCUUGCCAGAUCCUCCAAAGGAUUAGCAGCGCUAGGUCUUCGGCGGCUUUUUGAACUUUGAUUGGGCCGCGUUGAUCAAACACACUCAAAAUCAUAGUCUUUACUAUCAAACACAUGCGAACUGGCGGGAUUUAUGAAAAAGCCCUCUCGACUACCGUUGCUUAUGAAGCUGCUUUUUCCUCAACGUCAGACGAUCUGUUUUCAUUAUUUGAAAAUAAUAAUAAUUUGCGCCUAGCUGGUGUUGAAUGUUUCUUUUGCUGGCACGCAAGCAGAGGAUAUUCACCAACCGCCUCCACUGAAGCUUGUCUGUGUUGUAAAGAAGCCGAAUCAAAAGCUCAUUUUCUCAUACAUUGCUCAGUUCCUAGGGUGAUGUGGACGAUUAUUGACUCUCUCAACAUUACUCCGGACGACUACACCUCCUUAACUCCUUUCAUGUUGAGUCAUCUCCGAGCCGGCAAAUAAAGUAAGGAACGCAGUAAUUAUGGCUCGCUUGUUGAAUAUCUAGAAGUGCCGUAGCGCACAAGUUUUCAGGAACUAGAAUGAAGACCUUCAAGUUGUCAUCUCUAGGUCUGCAAAUGAUAUUUUUCGUUGGUCAAACAGAUGUGAAAAUGAAUCCAAAAGGCGAAUACUCUAUGACAAUUGACAACGGGGUUAUGCUUUCAAGACUUAAUGUGUGUGUCUUUGUUUCUGGAGUAGUUUGGGUAGCUUUGUUCUUAUCUCCCCGCUUCUUUGUAUAUGGCAGUGACUACAAAUUUAUAAAAGAAAAGGUUCAGGAUGGAUUUUAGCCCGCCGUAGUUACCCCCCACCCCUCCCCAUUACUGCUUAGUGGUACUGCCUGGCUUAAAAGGACAGAGUUCUUUGAUGCUCAACCACAUGUACCACUCCUACUAAUCCGAGCAGGGGACCACUAUUUAGUGGUGGUUUAUUCUAAUGCAGCAAACAUGGCUUCUAGUCAACCUUCAAGUUCAUCGAUUGAACACCUUCUCUCCUAUUGGCCGGCUAGCGGGCUGGGUGAACGAUCUCUUUGUUUGCUCCAGUCCAGAGUGGUGGUUGGUUUUGGCAAGUUAUGGCCUGUGUUGCUGAUGGUGUGAUCCUCUAAAAAGUACAAGAAAGAACUCCAUUAUAUUCUUUUUGCUAAUAAUGUAAGUUUUGAAUGGACCAAUCGGUCCCAUGAUUUUUUUACAUCUCACGUUAUGUGGAUCAAGCGGAUAUGUCGGUGGUACGUUCUUGUCAUGAUCGUCGGUAAUAUACUCGCCUGGAUCGUAACCCUCUACUUUCAGUAUUUGUGCCCGUCCGAAUCAUGUUGCACCUUAAAAAUGGUCUAUUAAGCUAGGAAAUACUUGGUAAAAAGAUGUAAAAUCAGUAAAAAAAUAAAAUAAAAAAUUCCAAAAAUGAACCAUGAGAUCUAAAAAUUAUUAUAUGUAAGAACUAGCAUGGUAGUCCAAGCAAUUGUGCAAUGAACAUCUUGAUUUUCCCUCAUUAUAAAUACACCUUUAGGGUACUUAAAAACAAUAAUUUUCAGUUAAAAACAUUGAAAUUUUACACACCACUGAGCAACAAGGCCUUUAGCUAAUAUUGUCGGGCAGAUUGAAAUUCAAAAGAUGAGGGACCAAACUUUUCUAGUUUAAGUCACCGUACCAACUCUAAUAUAAUUAACAAGAUAAGUUGAACGCUGCCAACUGCGCGCCAAGCUAGUAAAGACAUUAAUUGGAGCUACCUCUUGAACAGUACUCAAACGGUGUGCAGCUGUAUAUAUAUAUACACUCUAUGCAUAUAUGAAAUUCACAAUUUAGCUGCACUACCAACCUAAACAGAAAGGAUCUGUUCAACUUACUAGGUGUACAACCACUGCUGUAUGAGAUCGACCGUCUAACUGUACGUGCAUAAUUCAUAUAUGUAGGAAAUGGAGGCACCGGGAAACGAGGGGAAACCAUAUGCUGUUGUGCCACCUCUCAUCGCGUGUCACCGUUUUGUGAUUCACACCCAGGAUCGUAUGCACCACACAUCGUUCACUCCGAAAACUGCACGUGCUAGGCUAGCUUCUUCAUACAUUCGUCUCUUCACUACAUUGAAUAAUGAUAAAAUCUCUCCUCCGACCAUAAUAGGCAACCGCUCGUCCCUGCACACUUGAUCAGCAAGGAGGCCACGAAUACAAGGAAGCUUAGUAACUUUUAGGGCUAGUAAGCUUGCACGUGCAACAACAUGUAUAAUAUUUAGAUUUUAUUGAGUAAAAUUUGUUUUUGAAUCCUUAAAACCUAAUCCCCUAAUUCAGGACAAGAAACUCACUAAUUUCAAUUAUUAGCAUCCCCAAUCACAUUUUCCAAAUGGAUUGUCGGCUGUUUCUAUCAGCAAGACAUGGGGCACUCUUGGGCAGGUCUCUAAGCACGCUCGAGUCAUUCAUUAUGCAAAUUAGUGGUGAUGAUGAACAAAAUCUAAGGAUUGAGAGCGUAAUGAAGAGAAGAGAGUAGAGCAGAAACCAAUAGGCAAUGAAAGGGAGAAGGGUGACCAUCGACAUUCAGGAGGGAGUGUCGGUGUCAAAACCGGCGGAUCUCGGGUAGGGGGUCCCGAACUGUGCGUCUAAGGUCGAUGGUAACAGGAGACAGCGGACAAAAUGUUUUACCCAGGUUUGGGCCCCUAUGGAGGUAAUACCCUACGUCCUGCUUGAUUGAUCUUAAUGAAUAUGAGUAUUACAAGAGUUGAUCUACCACGAGAUCGUAAUGGCUAAACCCUAGAGGCCUAGGUUGUAUGGUUAUGAUAAUGUAUAUCUCCCUCCGGACUAAGUCCUCCGGUUUAUAUAGACACCGGGAGGAUCUAGGGUUACACAAGGUCGGUUACAAAGAAAGGAAUCUAUAUAUUUGGUAGCCAAGUUUGCCUUCCACGCCAAGGAGAGUCCCAUCUGGACACGGGUGCCGUCUUCGGUCUUCGUAUAUUCACAGCCCAUCAGUCCAGCCCAUGGCUAACAAGCCGGACGCCCGAUGACUCCUUAGUCCAGGACUCCCUCAGUACCCCCUGAACCUGGCUUCAAUGACAAUGUAUCCGGCGCGUAGAUCUGUCUUCGGCAUUGCAAGGCGGGUUCCUUCCUCCAAACUCCAAGAUAGUCUUCGGACGUAUUUGAACGUGUCCGGACCUGUAACACAACACCACACACAACCGCGGAGAGAAUAUAAUAUUCCACGAGUCCAAUCUGAUGACAACUUUUAUAACGUGACGUCACACUCGCCCAGUUUUUCGAGCCGUUUCCUGUCCCGCCGUUCCACGUUUUGAGGCGCGGUUGCUAUUGGCACGCUCUGUCGAAACAGAGAUUGUGUCCCUUUAUUGCGGGAUUCUCAUUAACACGAGUGUGGGUAACCCAACUGUUCUGUUGGAAAGAUCCCUUAGGAAUAGGCAGGCUUUCAGGCUCAAGAGGAGGCGUUUAAUUCCUGGUGCCUUUAUAAAGGAACCAAGGGCCGUCCUUUUUGACGCCAAACUUCUCCUCAGCCUCUCGAACCUCGAGUUCUAGCACCCAAGGUUUUGACUUCGUUGCUCCGAGCUUCCCCAUUAUGUCCGGACCCAGCCCUCAAGGCCAAUGGGUGGCUUCCUCUAUUACAGAGGAGGACAUUAUGAAGCUUCGAGCGGCCAGAUACCUGACAGCGGAAAUCCACCACAGACUUCCUGCUCAAGGGAAGGUUAUCCCGACCCCCAGAUCUGGCAAGAGGGUCGUAUUCAUCUCACACUUCCUUCGAGGGCUAGGGCUCGCUCUUGAUCCCUUCAUCCGGUGGCUAAUGUUCUAUUAUGGACUAGAUUUUCACGAUCUAGCCCCAGAGUCUUUCCUCCAUGUCUCAGCGUUCAUCAUUACGUGCGAGGCCUUCCUUCGAAUCCCCCACACUUCGGCUUAUGGCUCAAGACCUUCAGUGUGAAACCAAAGAUAGUCGACGGGGAACAGGUGGAGUGCGGUGGUGCUGUAGUCAGCCAGCUCACCAACACUCCUUGGCCAAAAGACUCCUUUAUUGAAACUUCCAAUCAAUGGCAGCGAGAGUGGUUUUACGUUAUGGAGCCCCGCUGAGGGAAUCUUGGAUUAGGGGGUCUCCGGACAGUGGGACUAUAUCCUUUGGCCGGACUGUUGGACUAUGAAGAUACAAGAUUGAAGACUUCGUCCCGUGUCCGGAUGGGACUCUACUUGGCGUGGAAGGCAAGCUAGGCAAUACGGAUAUGGAUAUCUCCUCCUUUGUAACCGACCUUAUGUAACCCUAGCCCCCCCGGUGUCUAUAUAAACCGGACGGUUUUAGUCCAUAGGACAACAUACAAUCAUACCAUAGGCUAGCUUCUAGGGUUUAGCCUCUCCGAUCUCAUGGUAGAUCAACUCUUGUACUACUCAUAUUAUCAAGAAUAAUCAAGAGGACGUAGGGUUUCACCUCCAUCAAGAGGGCCCGAACCUGGGUAAAACAUCGUGUCCCCUGCCUCCUGUUACCAUCUGCCUUAGACGCACAGUUCAGGAACCCCUACCCGAGAUCCGCCGGUUUUGACACCGACAUUGGUGCUUUAAUUGAGAGUUCCUCUGUGUCGUCACCGUUAGGCUUGAUGGCUCCUUCGAUCAUCAAUAGCUAUGUAGUCCAGGGUGAUACUUUUCUCCCCGGAUAUAUCUUUGUAUUUGGCGGCUUCGCACUGCGGGUCAACUCGCUUGGCCAUCUGGAGCAGAUCGAGAGUUAUGCCCCUGGCCACCAGGCCAGGUUUGGAAGCUUAAACUACACGACCGACAUCCGCGGAGACUUGAUCUUCGACGGAUUCGAGCCCCUGCCGAGUGCGCCGCACGGUCACGAUGAGCAUGAUUUAGCUCUGCCAUCGGACAGUGUUCAGGAGACCGCACCGGCAACCGCUCUAACCCUCAAUUCGGAGCCAAUUGUGCCAUCCAUGGACGGGUGGAUAGACCCCGCCACGGAGGCGGCACUCUCAUCGGCGAUCGAGCCGAAUAUCGACCUUACCCUUCACACAAGAGCCUGACAUCGAACUGCCGAAUUCUUCCCCGGCCACGGACUCCGAACCGCCUGCGCCCAUGCCUAUCAGAUCCAACUAGGCGCCGAUCAUGGAGUUCACCUCCGCGGAUAUCUUUCAGCACUCGCCCUUCGGCGACAUACUGAGCUCAUUAAGGUCUCUCUCCCUGUCAGGAGAGUCCUGGCCGAACUAUGUUCGGCAGGAUUGGGACGCGGAUGACGAAGAAAUUCGCCGCCCACCCACCAUGCCCACUUAGUAGCCACUGUCGACGAUUUGACCAACAUGCUCGACUUCGACUCCAAAGACAUCGACGGUAUGGACGACGAUACAGGAGAUGAACAGGAACCACUGCCGACAGGGCACUGGACGUCCACUUCAUCAUAUGAUGUAUACAUGGUGGACACACCCAAAGAAAACGACGAGGAGGAACGGAAGGAUGCAGUGAAGGGUUGUUCCCUCGAGAAGCAGUCAAAGCAGCAACGUAAGCGCCGCUCCAAAUCCCGCCUCGGUAGAAACAGUGAUCAUAUAGACCCAGCGUUAGAGCAGGGUGAAGCAUCGCCCGACCAUGGCAACACGGAGAAUCAAACCGAACAACCCGACUCCGUCAAAGAUAACAGUCCGGACGAGAUCACACCGGACAGGCACCCGGAGCAACAGAAUGUCCAUCAAAGGCUUGUUGCCACUGCGAGGUGUCUGAAAAAGCAGAAGCAAAGGCUCAGGGCUGCACAAGACACACUCAGAAUCAGAUGGAGUGAAGUACUCAACACUGCAGCGAAGUACGACGGUAAUCGCCACACCAAGAGCUACCCGAAGCGAAAGUUGCUACCUGAAUUCGACGAGGAGGCCUUAGAUCCCCCACAAUUGAAAAACAAAACGGCCAUCCGGUCGGAUAGACGACCUCAUGGCCAACAUAGAGCGGCAAACGACGCCGCACAUAAGCCAGUACGCGAUCCACACGAGGGCUCGCAUCAAAAGGACGGCGCAACCAGAUCCAUAUACGGGCCACGCAAGCGCGCUCCAGUAUGCAAUGCAACACAACAAACAUCCGAACAUCACGGUACACCCAAAUACAGGGGUGCCGCACACCCCCUAUGUUUCAUCGAUGAGGUGCUGGACCAUGAAUUUCUAGAGGGAUUCAAACCUGUAAACAUAGAGGCGUACGACGGAACGACAGACCCUGGGGUCUGGAUUGAGGACUACAUCCUCCAUAUCCACAUGGCUCGAGGAGACGAUCUCCAUGCCAUCAAGUACUUACUCCUCAAGCUCAAAGGGCCAGCUCGGCACUGGCUUAAAAGCCUCCCCGAAAACUCCAUUGGAAGCUGGGAAGAGCUCAAAGAUGCUUUUCGGGAAAAUUUUCAAGGGACCUAUGUCCGACCACCGGAUGCAGACGAUUUAAGUCAUAUAACUGAACAACCCGGAGAGUCAGCCCGAAAGCUUUGGAACAUGUUUCUCACUAAAAAGAACCAAAUAGUCGACUGUCCAGACACCGAAGCCUUAGUAGCUUUCAAGCACAGCGUUCGAGACGAAUGGCUCGCCAGGCACCUCGGCCAAGAAAAGCCGAGAACAAUGGCAGCAUUAACAAGCCUCAUGACCCGCUUUUGCACGGGCGAGGACAGGUGGUUAGCCCGGUGCAGCACCAGUGACCCAAGUACAUCCGAAGUCAGGGAUGAAAACGAGAAACCACGACACAGCAAAAACAAGCGCCGGAAUAAAGAAGACAGCCCGAAGAGCACGGCGGUAAACGCCGGAUUCAGAAGCUCUCGGCCAAGUCAGCAAAAGCUGCCCUCCAAAGGCAACAGAGACGAACUAUCCAGCCUAAACAAGAUUCUGGACAAAAUAUGUCAGGUCCACACACUACAAAAAAUACACUUCCAUGAUGAUACGUGUUUGUCACAGUAGGUCGCUUUUUUUGUCAUGCAUGUACAUCCAUGACAAAUUUAUGACAGAAUGAAGAUAGUCAUACCUGUGCUGUCGUAGAAGUGUUUCAUGACAUUACCAAAAUUAUCAUCACGGAAGUGUCCACUUCCACGAUGAUAAAUCGCGCGGCACAGAAGUGCUUUCAUCAAGGGUGACCGACACGUGGCAUCCACCAUAACAGAACGCCGUUAAGCUAUCGGGUCGGGUUUUGGAUCCGAUAACCCGUUAACAGCCCCGACCAAUGGGAAAUUUCCACGUGUAAAAUUCUUAUUGGGCGGACGAAACACGUGUCAGCUCGUUAGUGGGUCAGAUAGGCGCCUAUGAUAUGUUGACACAUGGCACGGCCCAUCAAGUUUAAAUGGGCCGGCCCAACUAAAGGCCCACAAGAUUUUGCGGACCAUAAUGGGCUGGCCCAGCUAAAGGCCCACGAGAUUUUGCGGACCGUAAUGGGCUGGCCCAGCUAAAGGCCCACAAGAUUUUGUGGGCCAUAAUGGGCAGGCCCAGGUAAAGGCCCACAAGAUUUUUGUGUGCCAUAAUGGGCCGGCCCAGGUAAAGCCCACAAGAUUCUUGCGGGUCAUAAUGGGCCGGCCCAGCUAAAGGCCCACGAGAUUUCGCCGACAUUAAUGGGUCGGCCCAGCUGUAGGCCCACAAGAUUUUGAGGACCCUAGUAGGCAGGCCCAUUAACUGGCUGCCAUGUUUUGGGCCAAAUGCUGGCCCAUAUUUGAUCCGGUCCAUUAAUGGCCUGCCAUGCUCCGGGCCUAAUAGUGGCCCAUAUGAGAUCCGGCCCGUUAAAAGCCUACCACGUUCUGGGCCAAAUUACGGCCCAGAUCAGGUCCGGCCCUUUAAGAGGCAUUGGGCUCAAUUAUGGCCCAUAUCAGAUUCGGCCCGUCAACUGGAAACUAUGCUUUUGGGCCCACUUGCUAAAGGCCCACUUAGUAAUUCGGCCUGAUAUUAGUUUUGGCCUGUUAAGGGCCCGUUUAACAUUUUGGCCCUAUAUUAAUUUCGGCCUGUUAAAAGCUAGUCAUAUAGUUGGGCCUAACUACGGCCCUGUUUGCAUCCGGCCUGCUCGCAACCGAUAUCUGAUUGGGCCAAACAAGGACCAAGAUAAUUUUGGCCUGUUAAAAGCUAGUGAUUUGAUUCGCACAAUCAUGGGCCGGGGUUCAUUUCAUGCUGCUACGUAACUAGUAUGAAUUAAGAACAAAGCUACUCUAUACAAUAAAGAAAUUACGGCAUAGUAACUUAGAAUAAACCUACACUAUACAAUAAAGGGUUUAAGGUAUAUUACAUCCACUGGGCAUCGAAGUUCGCCACCAGUGAUCAUAAAGCGCAACGUAGAAACAGAUUACAAAAACAGGGCACCAUUGCAGCGUAACAAAAUAAUACUGAACCGAGACCACUUCCAAGACAGUUCAAGAAAGGUUAGCCUUGCGGGGGAACUACUGCGCAAGCUGCUGAGCAAGGCUGUGAGACCAGCCUAGCAUGUCGGUCAUAGUUUCCAGGUGUAGCUGUUUAGCGAUGAGGUUCUCAUUGGUGUUCUCCACAAUCUUUCUUAGAGAUAGGACUUCAAGUCGAAGUUGAGUUGCAGAAUGCCUUUCUGCUAGAACUUGGGACUGAAGAAGUCGAACCGAUUCAGACAACGAAUUCUGUGAGCUUGUCUGACUGUUAGUGUCAAGUAACUUGAACACUGCAUCAAGACAAGACUUUGGGGUUGUCUCGCUAUCUGUAAGAUGUUGUUCCUUCUUUGCUGCAAUAUAUGUUGGGUUUGUCUCACAGCCUUCAGCAGACUUGUGCAUGCCAUCAGGCAUAUCACCCUGAAACAAAGUAGAGAGAUGACAGGUUUUCCACGUGUAUAAUCAAAGAUGAUAGCUGUUCUAUCAAUUCUAUCCAAUUUCAAAUUAGAAAAUAAAGAGUAUGUUCAAAAUAUCAAUAGCAUAAUUUGGCAUUGUUCAUAAUGCGGGGAGCUUCACCACAUUAAUGGAUUACCAUGUCAACAUAACAAGAAUAGAUGAAGGGCAAAGAAAAUCAUUGUAUCUAUUUUGGAUAAUAUGCAUGGCAUGUUGUUCAUAUCAUCAGCCACAUCAAUAAGAUAAAACAGGAGAUGACAAGGUGCAAACGUGGGCUGCUUCACCACACACUGGAUUAUAGAUCCACAAAAACAAGCAUACAUAUAGGGAGUAUUAAGUAAUGUGCAUGGUAUGAAUAAGGAAUUUGGUUUUACAAGUAAAACUUAGAACUUACGGUUCUUACGAACAUGCAUUUUGGCAGAAACAGCAAACUAAACAGCAGUAAACGAUAGGGAGUAUGAGCAAAUUAAACAACAGUUGAGGAUAAAGGCUUUAGAAGGACUGACUUACAUUAACAGUUAACACCGGCUUUAUAAUGCCCUUCUCCAUGUCAAGGGAAGGAUAACUCAAGAAUUUCAGCACAGAAUCUUCUUCAUAAGCAUUGCCUGUACUCUACAUUUUGUAGAGAGUAAUUAUAGAUAUGAUAAUACUGGAAGGGGUAGAGGAUAAUGAAGAUAAGAUGCAGAUUGAUGCUACAUAAUCAACUACCAAUCCCUGGAAGUACAAGCGUUACAGGACAAAAUGUACUGACAAGAGCAAUGGGCUACACUUCUGCACUGGCAUUGUCUAUGUAUUCUACUUGUUGGUAAGAUUGAAUAUAGAUCUGAUCUUUUUUAGUAAAUGCUGGGCGAGGGAGAUAAGACGCAGAAUGCUACAAAAUGAACCAAUCCCUCUUCCCAUAAUACAAGAGUGUUUUGAACACUGGUGUACUGUACAAAACGUUCUUAUAUUACGGGACGGAGGGAGUAGCUGUUAAUGUAAGUACAGUGAUAGACCACGUUCAGUCCUUUCAAGAGGACUGCAGAGCUAAACCUCUUCAAAAGCAUUGGGUUGAUUCUAAAUUUAUGUAAGAGUCCAUACGGAUCUUAUAAUGUCCACCAAAUGGACGAUUACGAGGCUAACAUGUGCAGUGAUGCUACAUAAUCAAACAGCUAUGAAAGUAAAUAUGGUCAUACAGGGCAAGAGGUACUCACAAGAGCAAUGCAGUGUGCAGUAUAGUUGCGAGAUUCUAUGGUCCCUUGAGAAUGAAUGUUCUUCUGCUAACAGUUUUCGUACAAGUGAGACAUUAAGGCAAAUGCAGAAAUGUAGUUCAAAUUGUGAUGUGAUAUCAUAGACAGUACCUUACGCUGCAGCCGAGACCAAUGUGUAACAAGAUUAUUCCAGUCUCCGUCGGAUAAAUGUAGCACCGGAGACUUUACAGAAAUUUUGUUCAGAGGCUUGCCAUCGAAGUGCGCUUGCCUCAGGUAGGAACGAUACUUCAUCAAUGAGUGCUUGAAAUGGGCAACCAACCCUUGCUCAUCAUCACAAUCCAGUUUGCGCCUCGCCUAUUUAAAAGAAUGAAAUCUUGUGUCUUCUGUCAGCAGAAACAUAUGCAGUAAUGACCAUGAAUAACAUUAGUACAUUACUUACGCGUAAGUUGUGGAGGAAGACUGGAAAUUGUUCUGUGUCUGCGGUAUAAUCUUUCCAUGAAGGAAAGAUGCGCACAAAGUUCCUGACAACAACAUAAGCUUCAUCUUCUAAACUGGGAAGAAAUGGAACAGGGGUCCUAUUUGCUACAAUUGGGGCUCUCUCUGGUUCGAAAAGGGAUUUGGCAACUAGAUUUGGUGUACUCUUUGCUGGAAUGGGGGUUUUUUGCAUCGUACAGCUGGUGCUAUGUCAACUGGCAUAAUCAUAUUGUUUGCUGCAGUUGGGGUCUGCUGAGUUGGGGCAUCAGAAAUGACCAGUGUAGUAGGGCUAGAGUCUGCUAGAGUUGGGGUAUUUUGUGGGUCAGGUGAUAUUGCAACUACACCUAAUGGGCUAUUUGAUUUAUCAGGUGCCACUACCUUUUCCAAAACUUUGCUUGUGCUCCUCCACGAUCAGCAAUCGCCCUCUUCCUUUUGAAUGUCUGAUACACAAGAACAACAUUUGAAUGGAUAAAUAUGGUAUGAUGACAGAUGGAAUAUGUAUUGAAAAUGGAUAGGCAGGGCGUAUUCACAUAAACGAUGCGUAAACUAAGCUAAUGGCAGUUCAACAAAGUAGAAGCAAUGCAAAGCAUCAGUUGCAAGAUAUAUGCGAGCAAUGUAACCUUGGAAAGUUAGAGCAAGUACCUUGAUGGGUGAAUAAGAUAUGACAUCUUCCUCUGACUCCUCCACUAGGGAGAUACAUUGACUUAGGUCUCCCUCUAGCUCAGAAUCACUGUUAGGAUCAUAUUCGGAGCAUGAAUCUGUAGGUGGAGCGUGUUUGCAUUGCAUUGCAUCCAGACUUGAUUUCAGUCCCUUAAUGCCAAGUUUGACAUCCAUGGCAUUGUUCUGCUUUAUUCUUUUCAUGCGCACAAGUUCAUAAUCAUUAUGAUGGUGUUCAGAAUCUGAGAUUCAUGAAAACAUAAAAAGUAGUCAGAUUAUCUAUGGAAUGCAUUGCGGUUUCAACUCGGAGAGUGUCUCCCUAUAAAUCCCUGCAUAUGCAAAGUUCACCUCCCCAACCGUGCUGACCAGACCACACACAUAGAUACACACCCGAGCGGCGAACAUGCAUUUUUGAAACUAAUAUAGGAACAUUUAGCUGACCAAUUAAACAACUCUGUUUUAAUAAUAUCAGAUUCGUAUUUGAAGAACUAAGAUUGAUUAGCUUGAUGGGUGGAGUAGUGUUAUUAUGAAACGAAGCACGUAUUCUGAUCGUAUAGUGAUCAUAAAAGGGGGAAACUCUAAGCAUAUAAUUUUUAGCAAAAGAGGGUUUCCCCUCUGAUUUCUAUUAAAGAAACCACCACAGAACCAACAUAAUCAAUUAAACCCUAAGCAUGAUCAAUUAAACCGUAUUAUGGCUGUGCCAUGGCAAAAUUGAAGCUGCAAACCGGAGAAAUGAUAUUUAGCAUCCACUGUUUGCUUCGAACUAAGAAAUAAAUUCUAAGAGCUGAAAAGAAAGUAGAGUAACCAAGUUAAGAUCUAUUUUCUUGUUGAGAUCAAAAAGUUGACGAGAUAUGAAGUACCACCUCUCUUGCGGCGCUGUGUAGGCAUCGGGGGUGCGAUGGCUGUCGGUGGCGUUGAAGCAGAUCUGCAACGGUAGACGGGUGCAUCGGGGGAUAAGUCCCGUUGCGGUGGAAGAGAAGGUCGUGUGAGCAGCCCCGGCAAAGAGGACGACGGCGCCGAUGAAGCGAGAGGACGCCAUGCAAGGCUAUUGGUCCGUCGCCGUGGAUGAGAAACGUCCAUCUCUAGCAGUGGACAACGCGGUCUUGGUAGGCGCUCCGGCAUGGUGGAGGACGAUGGCGAUGGAUGUGGUGGAGGACGGCAGCGAUGGAUGGGGUGGCGGACGGAGGCUGGUGUGGGAAUGGGUGUUCUAGCGUGGAUGAUGUAUGAAUGGGAAAAUGGAGGGAGAGGUAUGGGGAACCAUGUUUUUGGGACGCGCUUGUCUGAAAUAUGGGAAAGUUACGAACUUAUCCCCUGUUUCAAAUUUGGACGUCUCGUCGGUUGGGGAUAGGACGGUAAUCUCGCAUCUCCCAAAUAUUUGCCGGUAACUAUUUUGGGCGAGGAGAGGGUGUUUUGCCGCCCACGGUUGGGCGCCCAUGGUGUAUGAACGGGGCUAGCAGGUAGGGUGGUUAUGUCACGUCUGAUGGAAGUUACACAUCUGCCCCUAUUUAAAAUAUUAGCCUACAUCUAUUUUGGACGAGGAAAGUUUGUCUUGCCGCCGACCAUGUAUGAAUGGGGAAUAAAGGGAGAAUCAAAUGAGUUUUGCCGCCCAUGUUUGACGCCCACCGUGUCGGAAUGGGCUCAAAGGCGGUCGUGUCACGUCUAAUUGAAGUUACUAACCUACCCCUAUUUAGAGAAGUGGAAAUCGGGCCGAUGGAUUGUUUGUGUAAUGGGUAGACAGUAAUUUCCAUCUCCCAAACACUUGGCUUCGGGCAGCCGAUGUGGGAGUGGACAUUUUGCUGUUUCUUUCGAAUUUUGGGACAAUAAGCAUCCACGUUUACCCUGACAACUAAAUUCGAAUCCAUUUUGUAUUCCUAUAUGAAUCUUUAUAAAUCAUUCUAUGUGUUUUUAUAUAUCUUCAAAAGGACGACAAAGAUGUAUUCCACUGUCAUAUAUGAAUAUGGUUUACAAAUGCCGAUACUCAAAUUCAGAAACUAGAAUCCAGUUUAAGGUGAAUUCGAAUAUUUGCAACACUUCAUGUCCAACUCAAAUGUCACACGCAGCAUAAUGUGUACUCCCAUUUAGAUAUGUGCACAAGCGAUGUAUCAAGAUUCAAAUACCGAGUCAAUCAACCAAGAAUGUACGGAACUAACAGACAUAUAAACACUUAUAGAGUAUAUGGAUCAAUAAUAUCAACUAACAUACAUAAGCCAGGUCGCUGUACUUUUUUUGGCUACAACAGCAUCCUUUUUUUAGCCAGCAUCUUGGCCCUUUCCGAUGCGUGCCACUUAUGGUCCAUCUAUACUAGUAUUGCUGAAUGCACAUUCAGCCCGAUUGGCAUAUUUGUAGGUCUGGCACAACAAUCCAAAUGAAAUGUCUCAGAGUCUUAUCAAUUAAUACAGACUUGUGCUCAAAUAAAAUUACAAACAAAAAACAAAAAAAAACAAUUAUUACAUGAUCUCUAAAGCAAAUGGUUUGAUUGAUUACAUGAACAGACAACACAAAGGUUAUUCAACUAUGGAAAGAACAUUUCACCUAUGAUUUACCAAGUAGGAAUUUAAUUUCCUUUUUUCCUUCAGGACCUUAACAAUCUAGUCAGUCUCAGCUUGCUUCUUUUGAAAUCCACCAAAUAUUUAAUGGUUGUCUUGAGUACUGCUUGUAAUUGUGCUGUUUGCUUCCUCAACAUGUCAACUUCAUCUCUAACUGCAGAAGCAGAAUCUCUUUCUACCACUAGUUUAGCCUCUAGAGCAUCAGUAGUUGGCAAUUCAUAAUGCACGAUUGGGCCGGUGCCACUGCUGUGGGAUGAUGCAACGUCCAUGGGGACCUCGCUCUUUGAUCUUGGGCUAACCUAUUUUGCCAUUAAAGUUCCGAUUGGAUUCAGAAAAGUUGAAUUUAGCAAAACAUCUCAACUGGGAGUUAUAAUAGCAAACUAGUUAAACAAACAAGGAAGUAAAGAGUUUCAAUUGGAUGCUGAAAAGUAGUUAUUAACAUCAUUGUAACCCGCUGUUGCAGCAGCAAAGCAGUUAAACAAACAAGUAGAUAUUUAAGUUAAGGCAAAUAGGUAAUUCUUAACAGUAAGUAUCAAACACAUAGAUAGGCGCAGUCUACAAUAUGAUUAACAUGAUGUGCCAUUAUGUAAUCAGUAGCAAACUAAAUUAAGCCAAGCAACGUAAUUGAACAAUUUCGCAAUAAGUGGCUAACUAAAAUUCCGAGAAGCAGGUAACUGAACUUAUGCUAGUUCUUUGUACAAGCACACUGCAACUUCUUUUUCGCUUACAUGGUUGUACGAAGGAGUCCAUGGCAUCAAUUGCUUGGAUACGCAGUCCUAAUACUUCUUUCUUCCCACAUUGCAUGGGUAAGUCGAAUGGUUAAUCUGGUAAGAUGGUGCGUCCUUGAUAUGUUAUAUGAGGACGUGUAGUCAGACUAGUUGUAGCCAAACACAUCACACUGGCUUUUACUGUAUAUUUCAUGCGAUUACUUUUGGCAUAUCGAGAUCUAAGCAAUCUACAAUAGGAUGAAAAGACUGGCAUCCUUCACAUUAUUGGCGAACUUAGUUCAUAGAAACAAGCAAUUCAACCAUUCUGUGGGUAAAUCAAAAGCGCCACUGGAAUAUUUUUCACUAUCCAAUCAUACACGCAAAAAGGGGCGACGCCACCAUAGGGGCUGGUAUGGGUGGCCGCCUCAGGUGGCUGGAAAGUGUGCACCUAGUUUGAGUCAUCCAGGUUGGCCCAUGCUAGUUUUGUUCGUCCCAACGCACGAGCAGGCAAUGUAAAAAAUGAAUAAAAAUGUUUCAAUUUGGAUGGACCAAAAACAUAAGUGCAAGGCAGGCCCUAUAGCAGGCUCGCGGCCCAAAUGAGCACCUCCCAUAUCGAUCGACAGCAGGAAAAAUCCCAAUUCAUUCGCUCCAGCCUCCAGUCUGGUUCGCUCCUAACCUAGCCGCCGCUGGACAGACCGACACGGCACUUCCCCGCGCCCUCGUUGGAGGGCGGUUGCUGGGCUUCAAGUGAACGGAAGGACAAGAAGAUGAAGAUCCAACCCUGGGUGUAGCCUACGUGGGAGGCAGCGGCGGCAGCACGGGCAUGGCAUCGAGCUUGCGCAAAUGGACAGUCGCUAAUUGCAAGAGUAGCAUGCGCAACAAGCAGGUACAUCACAUCCCUGAUUAUAUCUAAUUCAACUCUUCAAUUUCUGGCCAAUAGUUAAACCUGACGGUGUUGUAAAACUGCUUGUAUGUAGGGAAUCUAUGAGAAAAUGAAACCAAUUUCUACUUAUUUUAUAACUCCCCCAAUCAAUACUGAACUGACUAAAUCUGAUGUAUCUAAUCAAGUUUCCGGUGCAAACAUACAAGCUCAUGUUGUUCUUGAGCCUGAAGUGUCUAAUGAACAGACUGCUAAUGAAGGAUUUGAUGCAAACAUUUUACAUGCUCCUGGUGAUGAACAUAUAGUGUCUAAUGAGGGAUCUAAUGCAAGCAUUUUGCAAGCUCAUUGAAGGAUUUAGUGUCUAAUGAUGAUCUACUAUGUUGAGAGAGACAGAGAUUUGCAGGCAUUGAUGACAAGAAAAUUAUAGUGCAUUUUCAUAGCUUGAGGAAACGUCGAGGCCAUCUACCAGAAAGUCCCCGUAUCAUGACAACAUAGCAUAAAUACUUUUCUAAUCUGUUGUUUGAAACUAUUGGCAUACUUGUGCAUGAUAGAUAUAUUGAUAUGCAGUUUGCGCACUGGUUAUACGUGCAAUUACACUUCGAUAUUUUCAGCCAGAGAACGAAUAAUUCAAGCAGGUACAUACCAUGUUUGUAGUCCUUGUACACCAUGUUGCAUUUUACGUUUUUUGGUGCUUGCAUCAUUUAGUGUUUAUAAUCUGAACUACUUUGGAUCAUUAGCUGGUUUUCGAAGUGCAUGUAGCUUCACAUUUCUCAAGUUAUGUUGAUUUCCGGAGUGCAAGUGCCUUCGUAUUUUUUAAGUUAAAUGUUCGCCCUUGGUAACUUGAAUUCGUCGAUCAGCCACUGCACACAAAUCAUACACGAAUACCAGUACGAAUUAAAUGAAAUGGAGGGACUUACGCUAGCUCAUUGUAGAGGCUCACUUCAGCUCUGCUUGCGCUUGGGAUGUUCCAUGUACAAGUCCAUGUUACCACUUGCUUGGAUGUGCAGGCCUUGUGCUCCUUGCAUCCCCCUCUGCAUUUUUGACACGGCGAAUGGUUGAUCAAAUAAGAGGAAUCAACCUUGAUGUUGUACCGGAGGACAUAUACUUACAAGGUUAUACGGGUGUGCAAGAUGUGUACCAGAUCCCGUAGCGCCGUCAUGCUUCGCUAAAAUAUGGAUUUGCUUGUUUCAGAUGAUAUCUCCAGAAGAAAUAAGAGUUAAGGUCAGAGUUGCAUAUGCGUGUAAGCUAAGAGAGCAGUGAAAGGAUAUCCAAACAUCGUUGGAACAGUGCACAAGGGAGUGAUGUGUGGAUACCUAGUUCGGGCCGGCGUUUGGGCAUGCUCGCCUAGCUAGAGUCCGGGUCACUUCAGAGCCGUUGAGGGUGAUGCGCUGGCGUUGGCUGGUCGUGCACGGAUGCAGAUCUUGAGUGGCAGCGGAGCACUACGAUGCGGUGGACGAGACCGUUGGUGAAGCCCCAACGGCCUCAGGGGGCGGAGGUGCGACGAUGUGCUCGGUGAAGUAGCCCCGGUGAGCUGGGAGACGACAUCAGUGAAGCGCACCUGAUGCAGUGGAACUCGGUGUCUGUGAGGCACGUCGGUUGCGGCGGCCGACGUUGUCGGUGGACCACCCGGUGUGGUGGACGACGACGUAGAUGAGGUAGCUCUGGUGCGGUGGUGAAGCGCGACCAUCGUCUUCGUCGUCGUCGUCCGGCAUAGACGUGGGGAACGGUGGGGAAAGAGACGAGACGAGGGGCGAUUCGAGGGUUGGCGGUGAAUUAGGGAUUUGAGCAAUCUGGGCGUGGAAGGGGACGGUGGAGAAGAGAGAUUUUGCAGGGCUGGAAUUGGGGCCGCCAGAUAUUUCAAUCCGAAACAUGGAAGCGCGAACUUAUAUUGUCGUCGUCUUUUUUUUGGGGGGGAGGAAGGGGGGGUGGGUGGCUGGGUGCUACGCGUCCGUCCGACACACGCGACCACCCCGACAGGACUAUGCUUCGGUGCCUUAAGGCACCUGCCUUUGUGUCCAUGACAUAUGGGCCCAACAGGUGGCUGGCCCACAUGUCAGUGAUGCAAAGGUAGUUGCCUUUAAGGCACCGAAGCAGCGUCCACAACGACACGACCUUGGUUUGCCUGGUGUGCCUACAUUUGAGAAUGCAAAUGAAUCUUCUUUCAUUUGCAAACGAAUCUGUAUGUAUUACCAUGCCCGUGUUUUCCUUGCAAUAAUUAGUCAUUCGAAACGAGAUACUCCAUCCGUUCACUUUUGUAAGUCAUUUCAAACAACUUAAAAUGAACUGUUUUGCACAUUGUCUGAAAUGUCUUCAAGGUCUUAUAAAAGUGAAUAGAGGGAGUUUUAUAAAUUAAUUAAUGAGGAGUUAUUUGAAAAAAAAUCAAAACGGUACCCACGCUAACGUGGAUUAGAGUGUGUCUCACAUAAUUAGUUAUUUGAAUUAGAGUGUGUGUCACGUAGUUAGUUAUUUGAAUUAGAGUGUGUGUCACGUAGCGAUCUUCAAUUCUAACGUGGAUUUCGCAUUUCACUGUAUCCAUGCUACUUUUUUUAAUACAAAUGCAUAUGUAUAUGAUGAACACCAUGGUAGUGAGAAAACUUUUGGAUGGAUUCAAACAUAUGACCUACAGAAUAGCACAACAAACUGAGUCAAUGUCAACUUUUCGAAACUUAGUAUGGCACGAAUUCGAAAUAAUUACCCAUGUGCCUGCUCCUCGGUUCAAAUCUUACAAUGUACACCGAAUUGAAACAUCGAUAUUAAGUCUCGUAGUAUGUACAUUCAAAUGUUGUUUUUAGCCCCCCCCCCGCCGCGCACAAACGCCACAUACUUCCUGUAUCGGUCAAUCUUCCUCUAUUAACCACCUUAGGAUGCUACCGGUUUCCAACACACGUUCAUUCUUUCUCUCCAUGUUUCGAUCUCUAAGUCUCUCAACUACACAACCCCUUUUUCUACUCUGUUACCAAAUGUAUUUACCUCACACACCCGCCAUUGCACCCCAUGCCGAGCUCUCUCUCUCCCCCCUCUCCCUCUCACCCUAUCGCGCUAAAUACAUGCAUUGCCUAUCUAGCCCCCCAACCUCUCGUGCAUGCGCACGCAUGCACGUUGUAUAUCUAGGUCACUCCCUUGAGACUGUCUCACUCUUUCUUCCGCACGGCGGGCCACACUUGCUAAAUCUUGCUCUAUUCAUCCGAGUCUCGUUUAACCUCGUUUUCUUUCACACACAAAUGAUAUAUCUCCCUGUUCGGGCCUCGAUCGACACACUCUAUACUCUCUCACGCAGAUUGUCUAUCUAGGUCAGUCCAUCCAAGACGCCACCACUCUUUCGGCCUCAUGGUGGGCCACGCUCACUCAAUCUCUCUCUCUCUCUCUCUCUCUCUCUCUCUCCGUAUGUCUCGAUUGACCUUGCUCUUUCUCGGACAAAAAGAUAUAUCACCAUGUUUGAGCCCAAUUCGACUAUUCACAUUGUAUACUCUCUCACGCACAUCGUCUAUCUAGGUCACUCUCUCCAACCCAUCUCACUCUUUCGAUCGCACGGCGACCCUAUGUGAUCGGUUGACCUUGCUUCCUCCCACGCACAAAAUAUAUCUACACGUCUUCACUUACUGGUGGGUUCCAUGUGUGCUCUCUCUCUGUCUCGUCCCCUUCUGCGUUUAGACGCACAGGCAAACAUGAAGAACUCGCGGGCGAUGUUGCCGUUGACCAUAUCUAGACGCGUUCACAAGUCACGGCACCAGUUUCACGUACUAGGAGCACUAGUCAGUGUGUACGUGCAAUGCACGUUAAUUUGGAUGUAUAUUAAGUGCAUGCGGAUAUUAACUACUAGGAUAUUAUUCGCGUGUUGUCAUGUGAUUAGCACUAUUUUUGGCAUGAAAUUAACUGCACGCUAAACGUGUUGAGCGCUCGACAUUGAAGCAGUCUAGGUCGUUGGAUGACAAGGAAUACAUGUGGCUUGAUGACGUUUUAUAUUUAAUUUGAUAUGGCUCUAGCAGAACAUCCAAUCGAUCAAACCAUACAUUUCGUUCAGUCUGACUCCGACUUUAAAUUAUACGACGAUCGAUAUAAAAUAAACGGAAAUGAUAAACGUUCGGAUUUUAAGCAUGGCAAUACGAACGUUUUUCAUGGCAAAUUUAGAUUAUGCGGCGGCGGCGGGGGCGUCUCGCAGUGGGAAGCGGCUCCUCUGCCGUGCUCUGUGUGUCGUCGGGCCACUGACCAAUGGCGACGGCGGCGUCUUGCGCCGUUGUUGGCGUACUCCUGGACAUUGGCCUAGCUCCAAGGAAGGCCAAAAUGUUCUAGACUUCGGAGCGAGUCGACUGGCGGGAGGAGGCGACUAGCAUUGGUGCAAGAAAGCGGUCGACGGCGGCCAUCCAUGCCGCUGAGGGGGGCACUGGCACCCGUGCGGGGACAGGCGCUGUCAACGGCGCGGCGGAGACAUUCGUGUGCACAGGCACCGGCACGGGCGCGCACGUCAGUGCACGCGCAGGCGCAUGUGCUGGCAGGUGCACGGGCACCGGCACGGGCGUGCGUGUCAGUGCACGUGCAGGCGCAUGUGCUGGCAGGUGCACUAGCGCGUGAAAGUCGGCGGGCACCUUGUGGAACCCCGUGGGAUCAAGCUCGGCGACAAUGUGCAGCUCCCAGCCCAUCAAUGCCACGGGGAUGGGCGCUGGCGCAGUCGGGGCGACGGGAGCCGGAACGGGAGCGGGGACAGGCGCGGCGUCUUCCCGCAUGGCCAGUUCAAGCUCGUCCCAAAGCGCCUUAUGUUCUUGAGACUCCGGCUGGUUGUCUUCCUCAGGAAACUGGAACACUAAGGGCAGACCAUCGUGAUGCGGCAUGGCGUAAGUUUAGGUCAGGCUAGUUGGAGGUAGAUGAUAGGAGAAUCGGAGAGGAAGAGAGAGGAUUGUAGCGAUACUCCUUCCUUUCCGAUUUAUAAGGCUCAAUUCAAAAAUCUCACCAACCAAGGUAUAUGGUGAGUGGUGGAAUACUUUUUGUAGUUUGCAAAAGCACCCAAUUAAUGCUCUUGUUUUUCUCAAAAAAUAUGUUUACCAUUGCAUUAAUUGCAAUGCAUGCAUGCAUAAAUUACAUGCAUUGGUCAAUUUUCUCUUAAUACUUGCAUGCAAUGAUUUAAUUUAUCUUGGAAUUUGAACAUGUGAUGGGAAACAACAAAAUUGAGCCUUAUAAAAUGGAAAAACUAAUAUUUUGAGAUAAGCCCUAUAAACCGGAAAGGAGGGAGUACCGGGUAGUGCGGGGUUGAUUUUAAACCGCGGCGCCAGCGACAUUAAAAGUGGGAGCAGUUGGGACGACGAUGGGCGGUGGAGCCUGGUUAAAGGGCUCGCCUCCCGGUGAGCCUGCACAGCGGUCUGCUCGCACGCCUCCCUAACAGCCGGUGCAACGGUCUGCUCGCACGCCUCUCGUCGACUCACACGCUUGCUCGGACGGCACCUGCCGAUUGCCGAUGAGAAGCGGGGACUCAUGGUGGCACGUAAACGCCCAUGGUUUCAAUAGUGAAAGCGUUUGCCUUAACGUGACAGGUCUUUCUUACAAAAUACCUUGGCUCUUCAUUUGUGCAACUUGUCAUAAGUAGCUUGUCUCAAAUUGAAGAAAAAACUUACAAAAUAAUAUUUGUGCCAUAUCACGUGACCAUGCUUAGUUUCAAGAAUUUAUGGUCACUUUUGGAUUUUCAGAAAUUUAAGAUCCAGGAUUCGAAACAAUAUCAUAACCUGCAUCAUGCAAUAAAUUUUCAAGUCGUACAUCUGACCUGUUGUAUUUCUUAAGAAAGGAUUUGGUCAAACAUUUUGCUUAGUUAUACUUCAGACAAGUUAUAUAUGCAGAGUAAAAGGAUAAUCCCUCCGUACCAGUGCAUUGCCUGAUAUAUUAACUCAAGUAAUAUGCACGAACAAACGGGCUCAAUUCUGUGCUCAUCCUGGUGUAGUAGUAGUAGUAGUAGUAGUAGUAGUACUAGGCAAUGCAGUUGACGGGUGACCUUGACGAGCGGCGACCGAGGGAAUUGAACUGUGCUCGACACGGUAGGUAACGUUGUCUAGUUACUAAAGCAUCCCUCCGUUGUUCAUCGGUAGUCAUUAUGGACCGGGGACAUGAGGGGAAUUUCCUAGGGCUAGAAUUCUGGCCGCCAGAUAUUUUGACUUGAAACGCCGAGGCUCGACUGGUUGGGGUAAUGGGGUUGCCUAAUGUGCGUACCACGCACGCCACCGAAGGACACGAGCCCGCUUUUUUUUAGGAUCAACACGAGCCAAGGUGUGGCUGGUACGCCGUUGGGUCCUACCAUUCGAGAAUACGAAAUGAACCUUUUAAAUUGCCGAACGAAUCUAUGUGUAUUACAAUACCCGUAUUUUCCUUGCAAAUACUAAUCUCAACGUGGUAAUUGAUUUAUGAAGAGUUGUUGAAUUAGAGUGAGUUUGUGAUAUAGUGAUCUCAACGUGGAUUUCACAUUUCAUGGUAUCCCUAGUACGUUUUCCAAUGCAAUUUCAAAUUUAAAAGAUGAACAACAUGGAGGUGAGAAAACUUUGUAUGUAUUAAGCAUAUGACCACACACACACACACAGAGACACACACGCACGAACACAACAACAAUCCAAUAAGUAUAGUGCAUCUAUUUUUCCAAACCAUGCAUGUAUGACACGAAUUCAAAAAUACUCCUUCUAUUCCUAAAUAUUAGUCUUUUAGAGAGUUCAACAAGUGACUACAUACGGAACAAAAUGAGUGAAUCUAGACUCUAAAAUAUUUCGAUAUACAUCCGUAUGUGCCAGUCCAUUUGAAGCCUCUAAAAAGACUAAUAUUUGGGAACGAAGGGAGUAAAAUGUAAGACAUCCAUGGUCCUCAGUUCAAUAUUUAAAAUGAACAUGAAACUGAAACAUGAAUAUUAAGUCUAUUACUACAGUACAUGCAAAUGUUCUGUUAAGGCGGAGCUAUGAUUGUCGGGGGUCAACCCCUCGACCUUAGAUAAAAUUGUGGAGUUCUGUUUAGGGUUGUUUAGAUUAUAUUUGUCCCCACCCUCCCAGCCAUCGAUUGGUUGUGCACCGCCACCCCUCCUCCCCGGGAGAAUAUCAUGUGCCCCCAUACCUUAGAUGCUAUAUGCCGAUACGAGUUGCUUGGAGCUUGUAGAUCUGAGAUAUAGCAGCUCACAUGAUGUGUCUUAAUAUUUCCGCAGGAAACCUUGAUGAGUUUGAGAAUUGCACACAAUUUGUACAAAAACUAUUUAGAUGCCCUUUGAUCCCAUAUCCAACGACCUCGAAGCUCGUAUCACCGUAGCAUCUAAGAUGAAGGAGGGAUCAUAUUCUCCUGUAUGUAAGAAUAUCAUGUGCUACCACACCUUAGAUGCUUUGGUGAUACAAGCUCUUCGGAGGCGUUGGAUUUGUGACCAACACCUGCUCGGUGGUUCGAAUGGUUUUUUGCAAAAAAGCCCCAAAAGAGUUCGGCCACUGCUUACAAGCACAAAGACUGCUCAGAUGCCAUUGGAUCUCAGAUCAAACGACCUCCAAGCUCGUAUCACCGUAGCAUCCAAGCUGCGAUAGCACCUUAUGUUUUCUCGCAUAGGAUAGUAUUAUGUGCUCCCGCACCGUAGAUUCUAUGGUGAUACGAGUUCACUGAGAUCUAACGGCCCAUAAUAGGAGGUUUGAAUGUUUUUGCAAUAUACGGCUGAUAGAGUUUGGGAAAUGCGCAGAAAGUACAAGUACUACGCAUGUGCCAUCUGAUCACCGAUCAUAUGACCUAGAUGCUCAUAUCACCGUAGCGGGUAAUUAAGCUACGGGGAGCACCUAAUAUGAGCAUCGGGGAGCCGUUGGAUCGAAGAUGCAGCGGCACACACGAGGCCUGAAUGUUUUAUUUGCAAAACAACCUUUGGAGAGUUUGGAAAUUGCGCAUAAUUACGAAGACUACUCCCAAGCCAUUGGAUCUCACUUCCAACGGUGUAAAAACUCGUAUCACCAUAGUAUCUAAGCUGCGGGGUGGAUGUGAUAUUCUAUGUCGCUGUCAUUUUUGUUCGUAAACUUGCAAAAUACGUGUAACUCGUGCCGUUACUUGUCUAACCGCGCAAAGUGUUUGUUCAAAACAAACCAUCCUACAUUGAAAUAUCGGAACAACACACGGGGGUCCCACUUGUCAUUAAUCAAAUUUGGACCUAAAACUAACAAAUCUGAAAGACGAGAUUCAAACUGGCAACCUGGACUACAAAGCGUAAGUCGAUAGCCUGAAAAAACGAACGGUUGUUGGCUUUGUCCCAUAACUUGAUUUUAUUUAUACAGUACUUUCGUUGAGUAGAGUAGAGGGAGUGCCUCGUCAACACGUGCAUGACCGUUGUCUCACUUACUGGUGGGUCCCAGGUCUGCGAUCUCAAUCUCUCUUCUCUCCAUCGUCUAACCUUUGCACGUGCACACACGAAGAGCGGCGCUAGCUUGCCGUGGUGUUAUUACAACAAAAAAAGCUUGGAAAAUAGAAGAAUCGCUUAGAACAAGAGACGUUGUGGCUGGUCGAGACGGAGCUAACCACAUCUACCCUCCGUGCCACGUUUGCAUGAUGAAGCUGUGUGGCUAGUGGGGUGUUUUCGACCGAUUAGCUGGGUCCCGAGGUCGAACCAUAGGUACUACGUCUGAUACAGUAUAUUUUUACACGCACAUUUUUCCUCCAUGCCGAGACGUGGCACACCCUACCGCGUGGUUUCGGGGUCCUCCCAGGUGGUGCACGCAUAUAUUCUUCCUGACGUGGGAUGCCCUACAACGCGUUUUCUGGGUCCUCCUCGGUCGUAGCGCCGAAGCAAGUAAAUGAGUCGUCAAAUCACGAAAGACCACCUUUCCCGCCGAGUACAUCAGUGAAGCACGGUGGCUAGCUAGAUGGGCUAGUUCGACCGAUUAGCUAGGCCGCCGCCACAUUUGUUUUUCACCCCUUUUCUUAUCUACUUGCCAGCAGGUAAAUAUAAAUAUCCACCAUGGCGUUUCUCUGGUGUUUGGGUGCGGUAGGAUUUUCAUUUUUUUGAUUGACGGGAGCAGGCGCGACAGUAUUUUUAAUUUUUUGAUUGACGGGAGCAGGCGCGGCAGCAAUUAGUCACGAUGACUCCGCCUGUAAAAACCCACCGCUCCCUGAUGUGAGAAGUCAUCGACUGGUGUUUUACCCUGGUGAAAACCAAAAGAUUCCCCGUUCCCUCCGCCUUCCCGUAGAUUACAUUGCCUUUCAGCCGUUUCGCCCCCUUUGCUUCCUUUCCCCAUUGCUUCUACCUGGUGCCAUGGCGGCGCAUGAUCACGGAGUCCGAGGUGAGGCUCCUGACACAGGAGCUCCAUGCCAAGGAUGCGGAGCUCAGGGCCAAGGACGUGGAGCUCCGUGAGCUCAAGGAGGAGAGGAGUGUCAUGCUCCUCCGUUAUGUGUAGGAGUUCACGGAGCUUCAAAAGCGGCAGGCGUCCACCACAAAGAUGCUCGAGGCGUCGGCGGCGUUGCUGCAGAAAGUGAGAGAUACGAUAGGCCGUCAGGGGAGCCGACUGGAGCGUGAGCGGGCCGAUCGUGACGAGGUCCAGGAUCGCCUCAGCCACUUGGUGAACCAAGUUGCCACGCACGUGUUGCGGCUGCGUGAUGCCUACCGUCGUGCCAGCGCGACGAUGUCGGCCAUCGGGCUAAACCCGUUCGACUACCCGGUUGACUUCAACAAGUUGCGGCUUCCUGACCUGGUCUUCCUCUUCACCUAUAUCUCCGAGGAGCUGAGCCGUCUCCGCGCGAUGGUGGGGGCUGAGCUGGACAAGGAGGGGUUGUGGGCUGCCGUCGCUGUUGCCGGGCGAAUGCUUUCAGGGCUCUGUCACCGGAAUCCAUUCGUGCCAUUGGACGCCGUCUUUGACGAGCUGGUUCCCAUCGACCGGGAGCGGGCUCUGCGAGCGGUUGCAUCCUGCAUCACCAACGUCAUGCGCCUUGAGAAGCAGAGGGACUUCGGUGGUGUUUAGGCGCCCUCUACAUGGGCAUGUCCAUGUCUCGGCGCAACAUGACCGUUGGAUCAAACUCAGACGGUGCAGAUCAGUCACUAUAGCACAAAGCGUGUGGGUGUGUUUGGUUGCAUUCUCAUCUCAAUAUAGUUGUUUCCUCUUCGUGUAUUUAUUACAUAUAGGAGUAGUUGACAUGCGCACAACAUCAUUUGUUAUCGUUAUAUCUUACUACACACUAGCAACAAGAUUGUGUAGUACUGACGUAUGAACCACUGCACAUGCCUAGUAGUAGGAGCACUGUGUAUGUUCAAGUGGCUGCCGUGUUUCGCACUCCUCCGUCGUAAGAGUGGAAACGCUUGCUGUAAUCAUUUUUUCUUUUGAAAAACAGUGGACACACUCUACCGUGCGGAUCCUCCUCCAGCCAUGCACUAAAUUACUCACUUUCCCCAACGUGUGGGAUAGCCAGCAUCAGGGUCCACCAGCCAUGCACUAAAUUACUUUGUAGUAGAGUGACGGUAGACUACCCCGAUCGAAGCGCCGCAGUAAUGCCCAAUGAGCCGUCAAAUCACAAAACCCCCUCCUUUCCAGCAGUAAGUUGGACGGACGAAGCAACCAUCAUUUCACUCUUCUCUCUCAGCUUCCUCUCUACCCAACCAUCGCUUCUGCCUCAUCUUGUUCCUCAUUUCUUCAAGAAAACCCCGACCUGCUUCUGCCAUUGUUCUUCUCUCCCAAAGAAGGAAAGGUGAGCGCAUCAAUGGUGUUGAUUCUGGCCAAGGCCCGGUCUUGCAACCCCGAGACCGAUCCUAUAACUCCCUCUCUUUUCUUCUUUUGGGUUUGUGAUUAUGGUUUCUUUUCUUUUAUUUCUAUUUGACAGUUUCUUGAUGGACGCUGGAGCACCGGCCGAAGUGAUGUCUAUGGCUCCGGCCAAAACCGUCGAGGCUCAUGGUACAAAGAAGCGCAAGCACCCCGCCGAGACUACCGCAGACAAGCUCAAAGCCAUCGCCCUGUCCAAGCCCCCCUCUUCGGGAUCCCUCAUUAAGCAAGUCCAGGUAAUAUCUCUUCUUGACGAUCUUCUUCUCGAUCUUGAUCGUGUUUUAGUACUAGUAGUACAACUUUCCGGGUGAUCUUUCAUGUGAUUUUUGUGUGCCAAAUGAUGGUUCUAAAUUCCUCUUUUGACCAAAACAUGCGAGAGGUUGACACUAAUUUCUUAUAGAUUACUUUCAACUACUCCCUCUGUCCCAAAUUUCUUGUCUUAGAUUUGUCUAGAUACAGAUGUAUCUAAUACUAAAAUGUGACUUGAUACAUCCGUAUCUAGAAAAAUCUAGGACAAGAAUUUUGGGACGGAGGGAGUACUUUAUGAACAUCAAUGCUAGCUUUUAAGAGGGUAUAUUUGCCUCAGUAACUUGUGUUAUGGAUUUUGCAUGUAAUCCCUCUGCUCUCAUGCCUUUGAAGACAUGUUCUAGUGUCUUUGUUCACUCAUUUCUGUGCGUAUAUGUAGUCAUAUAUGGAGUAUAAUAUCGAAAAUCAUCUUAUAUUUUCUAAACGGAGGUAGUAAUAAAAUAUGGUUUCCGUUUGAAUUAGAACCAGGUCCGCGGUGGAGAUGAAUUUCUCAAAGUCAUGCCGUGUGAACUGGAAGACCUGAUGAUGAGUUCUACUGCCGAACUAUCCAGCUGCUGUGUCCUUGUCGCCACGUGUCCUGAACUAGUGUUUUCCUGUAGCAUCGUUGCCAAGCGUGUUCUCGAGGCUGUACUUGACCACAACAAUUUCCUGGCUGUGCCUUCGAUUACAAAGGGUGUGGUUCUUGUAAAGCUUCCCAACAAAUCUGAUGCGGCCUGUCUUCAUCAUCAUGUUUAUGAGUGGAAAGACCACUCUGUUAGGUUAUCCAAGGUUGACAAGAUGGUGAUGGUGCGUGUAGACAUCUCACACGAAGUGCAUGGCCUAGUCAGUUAUGCGGGGUUCAUCCCGUAGGUCGGUGGCAAGAAAUAGUCUGCAGAGUUUAGUUAGUGCAACUUUGCUUGUCUGUAGUAAGUACUAUUGUUCAGUACUUGAUUUGCGUUUGUGAACCCUGUAUUUCUAUUAGUAUUGCUGCUUUUGGUGUGUGGUCAGUCCUGAGAACGGUCUAUGUUAAUGUCUGUCCAGUCAAUUCAGUCUGUAUAUUUUGAAGUAUCCAGAUCAUAUUUUUUGUGAGGACGGUUUAUCAAUUAUGGUUACACUCCAAUAUCUGUAUGCAUUGCAGGGUUUAUCGCACCCACCAGGAUUUCCAGUCCCAUGGAUGUUCGGUCCAUACGAUUUGUCACGACCUUUGGACUGUCCUGCUUGUGGGAGUAGGCAGGGCCCCUGCAUGCCACGCGUAGUUGGACGAUCAAUCUUCUGUUUAGUACUUCAACAUAGUGAUUUCCUGGUAAGGAUUCACUUGUGUCACAUCAAGUAAAUCUUAUUGAUUUACUGUCUAAAUCUUAUUGAUUUAAUGUCAUGUUUUCUUUCUUUUCCUGCAAUUUUACGAUGCAGGUUUUGCCAUGUGACAUUCAUCACAGAAUAAACCGUUUGGUUUGCUCUACGAUGGCUAUUUUUGCAGGUUUCACUUCUUAUGUCGUGUCAGUAAUGAAGGCACUGUCCAUCACUUAUAUUACUGGAAAAAAUUGGAUCAGUCUGUUGUUUGAGUACAAGCUGAAUCCCUAUGAUGGACUGCAGUUUGGUUUAACAAAAAAUGCCACAAUUAGUCCUUCUGCGUUUAAAAGAAAUGAAGAAAAAAACUGGAUCAUGGUCACGGAUCCUAGUCAAGUUAGAAAGCUGAUCAUAGCAGACCAGACACGAUCGCCGCUGUCUCGCACAGAUCGAGCACCGACAGUUGCUCUAGCACUGGUAGCGGCAGCAGCUCAGUCUGAUCCAGCUGAGGAUUGGGCACCAACCGCGUCAGCGGAUCAGUCUGAUCUACCGGAGGAUCGGGCAACGACACCGGCACCUGCUCCGACACUGGCACCAGCUCUACAAGGAGCACCAUCUCCAGCAGCAGCGGCUUUGACACCUACACCAACACUUGCACUUGCAUCUGCUCCGGCCCGUGCAGUUGCACCGGCAACAGACUGGGCCGCAGUUUGCACUUCAUAUACCAAAGUCCUUACAAAAAUCGACAUGUCCACCUUCUUGGUAAGCAUUGGCCACCCAAGUGCUUCAUUCUUUUUUUCCAUGUUGUUUCACAUGAUUCACUGUGUUGAUCUAACUGUUUGGGUAUGUCUUCUUGUUUGCAAACAGAGAAUUCCUAGAGCAACGAGGGAGUCGUUCAACAAUCCGGGCGACCGCGGCCAAGUUUCUCUUACCAUGCGCAGCCUUGGUGUGAAUGAACCUACUCAAUAUAACGUAAGUACAAAGGAUGGUCGCAUGAUGAUUGAUGCUAAAGGAUGGUCAAGGUUCAAAUCUAAAACAUAUCUUGCGGUAGGGGAUGAUGUCAAAAUCGAACUUUCUCGGCAAGGAGAGCUGGUCCAAAUCAACUUUGAAAUUAGCAGCACGCAACUGCCGAACUGAUCUAUCCUCCGAGAGAUUUUGAUGUAAUAAUCUGGCAUGGUGAAACAAGUGUCCUGUGUGUAUAAGUAGUACGGCAGUAUUAUUUAUCACAUGGUAUAUCAUUGAUAGAAUUGCAACUCUAAUUGCUGGUUAGGAACUGUCGUUCGAUUUCAUUCCAACAGCUGCCGUGCUUUAUUCAAUUUUGUGUAUUCGCCUUGCGACAGCAUCUAAAACCAGCGCCGUACCGAUCGCUUGCAAUAUGAAAAGCACUGAGGUAGAACACAUGGGCCCCCAAACAUGCAGGGUCGGCCUACGGCCCAAUGUCCAGAACCGUGAGCCUAUCUGAGUAUUAUAUUCUCAGCUGAACCCCCAUAAAAAAAGCUGAACCCCAAUAAUGCCCGUGCGCUGCAGAGGGAGUAUAUUUCUCGGCAAGGUGAGCCUGUGAUAUAAAAGAAUUGUAUAUUUCUUUACAGAGGGAGUAUGUCUCUGUCAAAAAAUAUAUUUAUGUGUAACUAGUUACUCCUGUCUUUCUACUUCCUUUCGCUGAUAUGUGGGGCAACCGACAACGGGGUCCACGUGCCAUAUGCACAAAUUAGAGUGCACAACUUCACGGUAGACACACCCCGGUCGUAGCACCGCAGUAAUGCCCAACGAGGCAUCAAAUCACAACCCCCCUUUCCAGCUUUAGCAGUAAGCUGGACAGACGAAGCGGCAAUAUUUCACUGGGCCUGAAUCCCCUUCUCCCUCGUCUGCUUGUUCAGAGAAAACCCCCUCUCGGAGAUUGCAUAGGGUUUUCUCAUGGAGAACCAGGUACGAAUUCUUCAUCCAUCCCCGAUAAACCCAAGUUCCUUGGUCGCAGGUAAUCCUACGAUGGCAGCCGCCGCCGUUGAUGCAUUUUUCUUCCUACUGAAUCUAGUGUGUUUCAUUUGCAGUGCCCAAAGUGCGAGUACCCUACAAGUUUCCGCGCCCUCGGCGAGACGCCACACUUGUUCCUUCUCAUCCUAACACAACAUUUUGAAACGCGCACAGUAUGUUCCUAGAAUCGUCUUUUCUAUCCGGGAGGGUGGUUUUUUUUUGAACAUGCUAUGUUCUCAUAUUAUUUUUCCUGCAGUGUAUUAUUUGCUCUGCCAGAACACAUGUACUCAAGAUGCUCGGCCUUGCCAUAACUGAAUACACUAGUUUAAUGGUCACAGUGAAGACAAGCCAUGGAUAUAAGUUCCGAGUUGGGUUCAUGAACCAAGAAGAUCGCUGCUUUUUUUUAUGGCCGAACUUGGAUAAACUUUCUCAAGUGUUACAGACUGAAAGUUGGUGCACGAAUGUUGAUGGAAAUAGCAGAACCUAGUCUCAUCUUCACUGCGAUCUUCCACCCCGACGUCGUUCCAAUUGUUCAUCCAUGUUAGUUUUGUAUCUGGUUCUUGCUUGUUGCCUCGAUUACUUCUUAAUCCACGUAUUCUGUCUAACUAAUCACAAUUUAACUUUAAAAGUAGCAACGAAUCUCUCACGAAGAUGCUACUUCUAACUAAUAUUUUCUUAUAAUUGGUGGCACGUGUAGGUUUUUUCAGAGUUAAGCAGUCUGCUCGUUUGUUACUCUGUAAUAACUCGGCUGUUACUAAUGACACUGAAGUUGACUGGAUCGACAUCCACAAGUUCCUACACUUUAUUGAUCGUCUUGAGGUCCUUGUGGGGCGUUUCAAUGGUGGAAGGCCACGUGGGAUAUGUGUGCCACUGCUGCACUCAUUGAAUAGGUCCAACUAUGUCGAGAAACUUAUGGUACGAGCUGUUUUCUGUUAUAUAUGUUGUUCAUAAACUAUUGCUUAUACACAGUUUUACAGCUGUGAUCUUCUUGAAACAGGAACUGCCGAGUUCUAUUGUUCCUAUACAGAUGCCUGACCAUGGUCGGGUCAGACUUGCGCUUGGUCACAACAUGAUGUAUAUGUCGACCUACUCAAUUCCCCUUGGAGGUGAAAAGAUACUUAUUCAUGGGUGGUCUCAAAUAAUGAAGGCCCAUCCAUCUUGGAGAAUAGGACAGAAGAUUAUGUUCAUGCUUUUCCAUAGCUCUAAAGCGAAUAUCCUAUUUAUUGACCACGUUGCGAGAUGAAGCCGCUUUCAGACGGUUGUGGAUGCGCGGGGUGGCGCCUGGGCCUUGUCCUAGGGCUUGGCAGCCUCACCCUUGGUUAACUGUAGGCAAAGUAGCACUGUUCGAGGCAUGCUUUGUACGGUUGAACCUGUAUAAGUACUCUUUCUGCUUUCAGCUUUGGUUGUUAAGUGCCCUUGCUGGUUUCCGUUAAGGUUGUUAAGUACUCCUGCUGCUUUUACAGUCUGUCGUGUUUCUUCAGUCCUGUCUUCAUCCAGCAGCCAAAACCAAACCAGCGCCAGCGGGGCCGCCUGCUUCCGCCUCCCACGGCUGGCUGCGCCUCAGCACACGCAUCGCCGCCCCACCGUCUCCUAAAUCGUUAACGCCGACGUCCUUCGCGUGCUUUGGUGCGCUCACCGCGGCGCCGCCCUCUCGCGUUGUCAACAUGGUCAACAAACAGCAGGAAUUGGCAGAAGUACGUGGAGAAGAUGACAGUAGGGGCCCACCACGUCAGCGUAUGGAAAAAUAAAAUGCUUCCUCCUAGUGUUUUCCUGACAUCUGGGACCGACGACAUUGUGAGCGUAUAUAGUCAAUAGACAAGAGAACAUCACAAGAUCGGCUGACACCUGGGACGUAGCUACUCGAGCAGUAUUUUUUUGUUUGGUAUUGUUGAGACGGAGCAGGGUUUGAACUGGGCUGUGGCCCGUCUAGCCCAGGCUUAUAUUUUAUGUUCACCAAGUGACUAGCCCAGCUACUUUUUCUUUGUGAAAAUGAGCCCAGUUUAUUUUUUCUGAAGAAUACCCAAUCCAGGCCUACUUAUUUUUCUACGCCCUGAUGGGCUGCAACUCUUUCAAGACGCCUGCAAAUCUUGAAAGUAAUAUGAAAUGGGUUGUAAAUAUAAAAACAGAUGACAAAUUGGCAAUUACUUUAUAAUUUCUGAAUUUUAUCACAUUUUCAGAUUCCUAUUUCACUGGGCAUUAGCCUAAUUUAAAUAUAUCUUCAAAGUACUUUAAAUCUGGCUGGACAUUUCGGUAUUAAAAAUAGUUUGGAACCCAUAGAAAUAUGCAAAAUUGGCCCUGGCCAACCAAAACAAUGACUACAAUAAAUUGCAUAAGAAGUUUCCAUGAGCUAUAUAUAAAUUAUUAUAUAUAGCCAUGGUGCGCUCGGCGCGGCGUGGUCAACAUGGUCAAGGAACGGCUUCCAUCGGAUGUGGACUGUACGUGGAGAGGCUGACAGCUGGGUCCACGGCCGCAGCAAGGAAGUGCCUCCUUAUUACGUGCAAAAUAAUUAUUCCUCCACCUAACAGCAGGGACCCACCAGACGGGCCACCAGUAUUUUGUGAAAAAAUCAUUUCCCCCUGAUUGCUGGGACCCACCAGACGGGCCACCGUAUUUCGCGAAAAAAACGUUCCCCCCGCUGUCAGCUCGGCCCCACCGGAAGUGCCUCCUUAUUAUGCACAAAAAAAUGAAUACUCCCCCGGCUAGCUGGGACCCACCUUGGUGGGAGGCUAACUUGUGGGCCUACUAAGUUGACGGGGAUGAAGGGCUUUGUCAACUUAGUCAAUAUGAAUGAUUCUAGCUCCAUUGACCGUGCGAUGUCCAUCCAACGGCCGUAGUGCUUCUUUAACCUCUGGUCUUCUUGCUCCAGCCGCCCAAAGCAGCGCCGGUCAUGCCGCAUGGUCCUGCCUCCCGUGGCCGGCUGUGCUGCCACGGAGGCCUCACCGCCCCCUACUAUUCCCACCGCUGGCCAGGCCCUGCGGCGGCGACAGCCUCACACCGCAGCCGAACCAGUGAACCCUCGUACUCCUCUCCACGCGCGCAGGCUUCCACUGUCGCGUCUUCCCCGGCUCCCCGUCGUCCCCUUCCUAGGCCUCGCCGUCGUCCACCGCCCUGGUGCUCUCGGGGCGGCGUGGUCAAUGUGGUCAAGGAACGACUUUCAUCGUACGUGGACUGUACGUGGAGAGGCUGCCAGCUGGGUCCACGGCGGCAGCAAGGAAGUGCCUCCUUAUUAUGCAGAAAAUAAUAAUUCCUCCACCUGACAGCAGGGACCCACUGGACAGGCCACCGUAUUUCGCGAAAAAAACGUUUCCCCCCUGACUGCUGGGACCCACCAGCUACACCUUCGCACGCAAGGAAGUGCGUCCGAGCAAAAAAAAACGAUUCGCCCCCUCACUGCUGGGACCCACCAGCUACAUCUUCGCACGCAAGGAAGUGUAUCCGGGCAAAAAAACCAAAAUGAUUCGCCCCCCUGACUGCUGGGACCCACCAGCCCCCCGACUGCUGGGACCCACUAGCUACAUCUUCGCACCCAAGGAAGUGCGUCCGGGCAAAAAAAUGAUUCGCCCCCUGAUGCUGGGACCCACCAGCUACAUCUUCGCAGGCAAGGAAGUGUCUGACAGUCGGGACCCACCUGGUCGAAGCGUAUGUAGCGUUAACAUUCUGGUCGCGAACGUGUACGUACAUACUGGUCGAUGUAGAGGCGCGCACGUGUCGUAGUAGAGGCGCACACGUGUCAUAGUAGAGGCGCGCACGUAGCAUGUACACGUACGUACAGCGGCCAGGGUGCAAGAAAGAAAAUACGACCACGUAUGUGUACAUACGGGCGGGGUCUCGAACGCCUACUCGCGCAUACUUACGGCGAGGGCUCGUGUACAUGUCUGGGUCGGAACGGAGAAACAGCGUCGUCGUCGUGUUCAUGGGUCGGAACGGAAUGCGUGGUCGUGUUCAUCGGGAGGGCUUGAAUGGAAGAGGCGAUGGAAACGAGGCCUGGCGUACCACACAACGGAGGAAACAGACCUCCUACGGUCGAAACGGGGGUCCUGUUGAUCGGGAGGGGUGUGGCGUACCGCAAAACGGAGGAAACGGACCUCCUACGGUCGAAACGGGGGUCCUGUUGAUCGGGAGGGGUGUGGUGUACCGCAAAAUGGAGGAAACGGACCUCCUACGGUCGAAGUGGGGAUCCUGUUGAUCGGGAGGGGUGUGGCGUACCGCACAACNNNNNNNNNNNNNNNNNNNNNNNNNNNNNNNNNNNNNNNNNNNNNNNNNNNNNNNNNNNNNNNNNNNNNNNNNNNNNNNNNNNNNNNNNNNNNNNNNNNNNNNNNNNNNNNNNNNNNNNNNNNNNNNNNNNNNNNNNNNNNNNNNNNNNNNNNNNNNNNNNNNNNNNNNNNNNNNNNNNNNNNNNNNNNNNNNNNNNNNNNNNNNNNNNNNNNNNNNNNNNNNNNNNNNNNNNNNNNNNNNNNNNNNNNNNNNNNNNNNNNNNNNNNNNNNNNNNNNNNNNNNNNNNNNNNNNNNNNNNNNNNNNNNNNNNNNNNNNNNNNNNNNNNNNNNNNNNNNNNNNNNNNNNNNNNNNNNNNNNNNNNNNNNNNNNNNNNNNNNNNNNNNNNNNNNNNNNNNNNNNNNNNNNNNNNNNNNNNNNNNNNNNNNNNNNNNNNNNNNNNNNNNNNNNUAGGCAUCCACGCGCCAGCAUUUCUGUGGUUGGGGUUUUUGUUUUUUUUGAAAGGGGGGGGGGUUGGGGGGUUUUGGGGGGUUAAUUUAGGUGUUUCAUAUAUUGUGUUAGCUAGCUAUAAUUAAUAGAGAGAAGUGUCCUCUCUUAUGUCCGUGCUUGGUCGACGCUACGUACUAUACAUACGUAUAGAGAGGACUAGACACGCUAGCUAGCUAGUAAGCAAACGAAGGAAACAGAAGAUCGUCAUGAACAUAUAUGCAUACAGAGAGAAGUGAUAUCGACCACCUCUCCUUCUCUGAGAGAUUGGUCCAACAACAAGUUCUCAUAUAUCUAUCCGACACUACCGGCUAUAUAUAUAUACAAUAAUUAUCUCUUACAAAUAUAAUCAUACGGACUCAGGGUCCACAUAGUAUUCUCCGUCUUCAGGGAUCACUUGGUCAAGAAAGAAUGCCGCCAAUUCCUCUUGAAUUGCUCGCAUGCGAGCUGGUGCUAGGAGUUCAUCCCGCUUCCGAAACAUCUAAUUUAAAGAAGGGGGUCAAUAUAUAAAUAUAUAUGAAUGAAUGAAACUCAACACAAAUGAUGGUAAUAAAAUAAAAUUGUGAAUGUUGUUAUUUACGUACUUCAUAUUGUUCGUCAGUGUAGCCCCGCUCACAGGUCAUGUGGCGGAUGGACUCGCAAACGCAGUAUCCACAGAAAUCAUUCCCUUGUUCCUGCCACAACCACUUUACAAGAAAUAGAGGUCAAUCAAACUGAUAAGCAAGAAUGUCAAAUGGUAUUGAUGAAACUAGCGCUUGAAUGACUAGUAGAUGCGCGGAACAUGCUACUAUAGUACUUACUUUCGGGUGUCUAAAUUGCAGCUCCUUCGGCAGUCCCGGAGCUUUUCUGGUGAAUUUUCUCCAAACCCUGCCGGACAAAGAAAACAAUUACUUGAUAUAUCAGGAAAUGAACAAAGUUGCUGAUAUGGUGGAUAAUGAUCGAUUUAACUUACUUCUCGAGUAUUUGAGUCAUGUCUGCAUAGUCCUAGGGAUCUUUUCGUCUUGAGUCUAAGACGGUUACUAGUCCCUGCUCAAGCUUAAUCUCUAGGAGAAUAUAGUGGAAACUGCACAUGCAUGCAUAACUCAUCAAUUACAUUACUAUAAACUUGACUAAUAUAUAAGGGAAACCGAAUACACACAAGACAGUAACACUCACUUGAAGUUGUAAGGAAAGAGUAUUACAUCUUUGUUUUCAUUUAUUACCAACGAUCGUAGCAAGUUGGCCUCGGUAGCUGUGGCAUGAAAUUUAACCUGAGUUGCAUCUAUGAGAUAUGUGUUAAUGAACCCAAUAUCACCAACUUGUCUUUUCUUCAAUUCGGCGAUCUUCAAUCUGCAUAAUAUAGUGAGGAUGAUUAUAAAUACAUGCAAUGAAAGAGCUGAGCUAUAUAGAGAGACUUAAUGACAGAGGUAGUACUACUUACAGACAGUAGCAGGCGACCGUUGUUUUAUCGAGGGCCAAUUGAUUGAAAAACUGAUAGAACUCCUCAAAUGGAACAGGCAACAGUUCAAUUCCAACGAGGUCAUGCUCCUUUUUUACUUUCACAUACAAAGUACUCCUCCCCUCAGAGUCUCUGCAGAUUUUCAAGUACCAAUCAUGCAAUCUUCGCAUCAUCGUUGAUAGAGAUCUUUCAUCUUUGACGAGAGGCUUCCUGUACUCGUAUCUUUGUAUCUGCACCUCCAUGGGUUCAUAAUGUACAUCGUCGGGCAGGUAAUCUGCAAGAUUGCUAUGACCGGGCACCAUCCUCGGAUCAUUAGCGACAUUGUGGCUAGGCACCUUGAGCGGGGGGCAUGAUUGCUUCGCUUGUUCGCGGAGCUGGGCAAUUUGUUUCCCAGCUUGUCAGUCUUUCAGCCUUUGAUCACUGACAGUACUUCCCGACCGCUCCGCUUCGGCAAAGUCCUUUCCAAUAAUGCGCUCAUAGUUUCCUUUCGGCGGAGACUUGGGUGCUUUUGUCAGGGCAGCCAGAGUGCGCUUCGCUUUCACCAGAUCUACCUUCUCCUCCGGAAGUGGAUGUCUCUUUGCUUUCAACCCUUGAAACCAGUCAUCCACUUCGGUUUGUGCGAUCUCGGCGUUCUCCUCCGGGGUCCUCUCGUAUGGUAACUUCUCUGGAGUCUUCAGAGAAGGACCGAAUCUGUAUGUCCUCCCGCCUCUGGCUGUACUGCUAGACGCCGACCGAGCAGACGGAGCGGUUGUCUUCUUUACUUGCUUACGAGGCGGAGGAGAAGGACUACGACGCGCCAGAGCAGCCGGAGCGGCGGCAGGUCUCUUCCGCCCUUGCUGACGAGGCGGCGAAGGAGGAGGCUGGCUGCUCGGGCGCGUCGGCGCAGGCGGAGAAGGAGGCGGAGUGCCACCACGCGCUGGAGAAGGAGCCGGUCGAGUGCCCUGAUGGACGAGGCGGAGUGCCCUGACUCGCCAGAGGAGGAGGCGGUCGAGGAGGCGGAGUGCCCUGACUUGCCGGAGGAGGAGGAGGAGGAGGCAGAGGCGUCCAGUUCGGAAGGUUGAUGAGCUCCUUCCGCCAUAGACAUGGAGUCUUCAGAGCAGACCCCAGCCUAGUCUCCCCUUCACCGGUAGGAUGGUCAAGCUGGAGAUCCUCAAAUCCCUCUGUUAUUUCAUCCACCAUCACCCUAGCAUAUCCUUCUGGAAUCGGCCGACAGUGAAAAGUUGCGCCGGGUUCAGUAGGAUAAACAGAGCCAACAGCCGCCUUGACCUUCAAAUUCAUCAAUUGCGUCAUAAGGUGGCAAUUUUGAGACUCCGUGAUAGCAUCCACGGGAUAGCUGGCAGGAGCCGUCAAGGCAUGCUCCGGCUGAAGCAGCUCGGUGGAAGCCACGCUGCUUCUUCGCUGAGAUGGCAGGGUAGCUUCGGGGGAAGCUUUGGCAGUACGUUUGCUGCGAUUUGCUUCUCGUUCCUCUAUCGCUUGUACCCUUGCUUGCAGCGCCUGCAUUUGGGUCUUCUGCACUUUUUUCCUCCUCUCAUGGGAUUUGUAACCACCUGCGUCCGGAAACCCAACCUUCCACAGAAUGGAGCCUGGCAUGCCUCGUGUCCAGGGUGCUCAUGAUUCCUGAGGGCCAUUCUGAGCUCGUCAUUCUCUCUGUCUGGAAAGAACGCCCCUUGCUGCGCUGCUUCGAUAUAGUGCUAAAGCAUCCUGACUGGUAUGUCCAUUUGAUUGUUCGUCCAAAUGCACUUCCCUGUUACAGGGUCCAAGGUUCCGCCAGCCCCGAAGAAUCAAGUCCGGCAACGGUCUGGCCAGUUAAUUGUCUCUGGUUCGAUCCCUUUAUCAACCAGAUCAUUCUCAGUCUUGGCCCACUUAGGACGGGCUACGAGGUAGCCACCUGACCCCGUGCGAUGGUGAUGCUUCUUCUUUCGCAACAUUUUGCUUGUUUGUCGCCGACUUCUUCUUACUCUUUUUCGAUGUCUUGUGGGCCACAAAUGCGGGCCAGUGAUCUCUGAUCUUCUCAUAUCUGCCCUUGAAUUCUGGUGUCUCAUUAUUUUCGACAAACUUAUUCAGCUCUUUCUUCCACCUCCUGAAUAGUUCUGCCAUCCUCUUAAGAGCAAAAGACUUGAUUAAUUGCUCUUUAACUGGCUUCUCUGGAUUAUCCUCUGGCGGUAGGGUGAAAUUUGACUUCAGCUCAGUCCAAAGAUCAUUUUUCUGCAUAUCAUUGACAUAAGACACCUCAGGGUCUUCUGUAGCCGGCUUAAACCAUUGCUGGAUGCUGAUCGGGAUCUUGUCCCUAACCAAAACCCCACACUGAGCAACAAAUGCGCUCUUUGUCCGGAGGGGUUCAAUCGGUUGGCCGUCGGGCGCGAUUGCUAUGAUCUCAAACUUUUCAUCCGAGCUCAACUUUUUCUUCGGGCCUCGUCUCUUUACCGAAGUUGUGCUCGAUCCGGAGGGCUAGAAAAAAGAACAAAGACUUAAUUAAUAUGUGUACAUACCAAAACAAUGAAUGCAUCAAUUAGCUAGUCAGCAGAAGCUUAACUAAUAUAUAUACCUGGCCGGACUCGGUUCGGUCACCGAAGAUGUCAUCACGAUCUCCUUCUUGCACCGGCAUUGGGUCACCGGAGCCGUCCUCACGGUCUCCUUCUUGCACCGGCAUUAGGUCACCGGAGCCAUCAUAAUCAGCUGCUUCCAGACCAUCGGUCUUGUUGAGAAACAACGAGCAGAUGGCAUCACUUCCUCGUGCGAUUAUGCCCCCCAACAACUCUUCUUGUACUUCGUCUCGGGCGGUGUCCAUAGUUUCUACAAAUAUUGACAACAUGGCAAUUAUUAUUCAAACAUGACAGAUGGAUAUAUUAGUGGCAAAAACAUAGAACUAAUAUUAAUUAGUGGCCUCGAUGCAGCUUCUCUAGGGUUUGGGGUGGCCUCGACCCCUCGGCGAUCCUCGACCCCUCAAACCCUCGACGACCCUGGACCCCUCGACCCCUCGAACCCUCGACGACCCUAGACCCCCUCUUGACCCCCUCAUGUCGAAGUUGUCGGGUAGGGGGUAUAUCGACAACGACAUACCCAAUACAUGCAUACAUACAUACAUAUCACAUGCAUCCAUACAUAUAUGAACAAAAUUAAUAUCUACUAAUUAACAACCUAAAUAAAAAAACUAAUACAUAUAGGAAGAAGAAGAAAAAAGAAGAGAAGAAAGAAUAGAGGAGAAGACUUCCUCUUCUUCCUCUCCUCUUCUUCUCCCUCUUCUUCUCCCUCUUCUUCUCCCUCUUCUUCCCCUUCUUCCCUCGACCCCCUAAACUAGUUCUCAACCCUCGACCCCCUAAACUAGUUCUCAACCCUCGACCCCCUAAACUAGUUCUCAACCCUCGACCCCCUAAACUAGUUCUCGACCCCCCCUCAUGUCGAAGUUAUCAGGGAGGCGGUAUAUCGACCCCCCUCAUGUCGAAGUUAUCGGGGAGGGUUAUAUCGACCCCCCUCCUGUCGAAGUUAACGGAGAGGGGGUANNNNNNNNNNNNNNNNNNNNNNNNNNNNNNNNNNNNNNNNNNNNNNNNNNNNNNNNNNNNNNNNNNNNNNNNNNNNNNNNNNNNNNNNNNNNNNNNNNNNNNNNNNNNNNNNNNNNNNNNNNNNNNNNNNNNNNNNNNNNNNNNNNNNNNNNNNNNNNNNNNNNNNNNNNNNNNNNNNNNNNNNNNNNNNNNNNNNNNNNNNNNNNNNNNNNNNNNNNNNNNNNNNNNNNNNNNNNNNNNNNNNNNNNNNNNNNNNNNNNNNNNNNNNNNNNNNNNNNNNNNNNNNNNNNNNNNNNNNNNNNNNNNNNNNNNGGCGGCGACGGCGAGCACAGGCAGCCUGGCGGCGUCGUCGGGGCGGGAUCAAAGAACUGAACCAAAAAUUUCACAAGGAUGGCUUAUAUAGACGGGGCAUUGGUCACGGUUUGUGCCACAAACCGUGACCAAUGCAUCCUUUAGUCCCGGUUGGUGCCACCAACCGGGACCAAAGGCCUUGUGCGGCUACGGCGUCGAAAGUUUAGUCCCACCUCGCUAGUUGAGAGGGGUGCGCAGUGGUUUAUAAGCCCCACUGCCGCACCCCUCUCGAGCUUCUCUCCAUUGCAGGCUUACGGGCCUAAUUGUCACUGCUAUGCCUGUGGGCCUAUUGGGCCUCCUGCGGGCCUGAAUCCUGGCCCUUGGAUGGGUUUCUAGUCGUAUUCAGGCCGUGGUGGCCCAGUAGGUGGCAUUUUUUUGUUUUUUUGUUGCUUUAUUUAUUUAUUUUCUUUUGUUUUUUUCUUUAUUUUUUAAUUCUUUAUGCUUUUAGUUUUAGAAAAAUUAUAAACUUUUUGUUAAUGCCAUUAGUUUUCAAAUUNNNNNNNNNNNNNNNNNNNNNNNNNNNNNNNNNNNNNNNNNNNNNNNNNNNNNNNNNNNNNNNNNNNNNNNNNNNNNNNNNNNNNNNNNNNNNNNNNNNNNNNNNNNNNNNNNNNNNNNNNNNNNNNNNNNNNNNNNNNNNNNNNNNNNNNNNNNNNNNNNNNNNNNNNNNNNNNNNNNNNNNNNNNNNNNNNNNNNNNNNNNNNNNNNNNNNNNNNNNNNNNNNNNNNNNNNNNNNNNNNNNNNNNNNNNNNNNNNNNNNNNNNNNNNNNNNNNNNNNNNNNNNNNNNNNNNNNNNNNNNNNNNNNNNNNNNNNNNNNNNNNNNNNNNNNNNNNNNNNNNNNNNNNNNNNNNNNNNNNNNNNNNNNNNNNNNNNNNNNNNNNNNNNNNNNNNNNNNNNNNNNNNNNNNNNNNNNNNNNNNNNNNNNNNNNNNNNUUUUUUUGUUUUCUUUGUUGCUUUAUUUAUUUUGUUUUGUGAUUAACUUUACUAUAAAAAUAGUUUUUUCUUGUUUUUUUGAUUUGUUUUUUGCAUUAUUUAUUUUCUUUUGUUUUUUGCUUUAAUUUUUAAUUCUGUUUGCUUUUAGGUUAGCAAAAUUAUAAACUUUCUGUUACUGCCAUUAGUUUUAGAAAAAUUAUAAACUUUUUGUUAGUGCCAUUAGUUUUCAAAUUUGAAUUCUUUGAAAAUUGUUUGAAUCACAAGUUUGUGAUUAACUUACUAAAAAAAUGAGAAUAGAUGCACUUAUAGAGAAAAUUCAACCUAAAUUCCUAGUAAAUUUCUAUGAAUUUCAGAGAAAUUCACUAUGAAUUUAGGUUAAACUUUUUCGCUAUUAGGGCAUCUAUUUUCACUUUGAGAGGAGCUCAACAAGGCAGAGAGGGAAGGGCUUAUAAACCGGUGUGAGCCCCCUUCGGUUGGCGAGGUGGGACUAAACUCUGCUCACAACGAGGACCAACCCUUUAGUCCCGGUUGGUGGCACAAACCGGGACUAAUGGUCAUGGGCCAGGGGCGAGGAGCAAAAUUAUAAACUUUCUGUUAGUGCCAUUAGUUUUUGAAAGUUGAAAGUUGAAAGUUGGCAUGGGCCAGGGACUAAUGGUCAUGGUAUUACGAGGGCCGAACCAUAAGACAUGAAAGCAUUUCAAAUGAACUCUGAAAAAGUUUAAAGUUGGCAUGGUAUCAUAAUUUCACCCACAUAGCAUGUGCAUGUACAAAACGGACAAUGGUAGCAUGUUCGUGUGUUACAAAGUUGGCAUGGUAUCAUCAUAAUAGUUGCGGGACAAAGUCUUAACUUUUUCUUCGCUUGUGUCAUUUGCUUAUUGCACCGUAACCAUGGAUAAUCCUCAUUGUUUAUCAGGAUGCUUGGGUCAGCCUUGACAUUGAAGGGAGGAAUUUCAUGAAAUUUUCAUAAUCUUCAGACAUGUCUGUCUGGCCGUCCACUCCCAGGAUGUCCCUUUUUCCUGAAAGAACUAUGUGGCGCUUUGGCUCAUUGUAUGAUGUAUUUGCUUCCUUAUCUUUUCUUUUUCUCGGUUUGGUAGACAUGUCCUUCACAUAGACAACCUGUGCCACAUCAUUGGCUAGGACGAACGGUUCGUCAGUGUACCCAAGAUUUUUCAGAUCCACUGUUGUCAUUCCGUACUGUGGGUCUACCUAUACCCCGCCGCCUAACAGAUUGACCCAUUUGCACUUAAACAAAGGGACCUUAAAAUCAGGUCUGUAGUCAAGUUCCCAUAUGUCCGCUAUGUAACCAUAAUAUGUGUCCUUUCCGCUCUCGGUUGCUGCAUCAAAGCAGACACCGCUGUUUUGGUUGGUGCUCUUUUGAUCUUGGGCGAUCGUGUAAAAUGUAUUCCCAUUUAUCUCGUAUCCUUUGUAAGUCAAUACAGUCAAAGAUGGUCCCCUGGACAACAAGUACAACUCAUCACAAACAGUGUUUGUCACCUCUGAGACAUGUUUCUAACCAACUGCUGAAAGUCCUGAUGUGUUCACAUGUAAUCCAGUCGUCGCACUGCUCCGGGUGUUUGGAGCGCAGAACGUUCUUGUGUUCAUCGACAUACGAGGUCACCAAGGUAGAGUUCUAUAGAACUGUGUAGUUUGCUUGAGACCAAGAAUAUCCAUCCCUGCAUAUUAUUGAGUCUCUUCCAAGAGUGCCUUUUCCAGUCAGUCUCCCCUCAUACCGCGAUUUAGGGAGACCUAUCUUCUUAAGGCCAGGAAUGAAGUCAACACAAAACCCGAUAACAUCCUCUGUUUGAUGGCCCAUGGAGAUGCUUCCUUCUGGCCUAGCGCGGUUACGGACAUAUUUCUUUAGGACUCCAAUGAACCUCUCAAAGGGGAACAUAUUGUGUAGAAAUACGGGCCCCAGGAUGACAAUCUCGUCGACUAGAUGAACUAGGACGUGCGUCAUGAUAUUGAAGAAGGAUGGUGGGAACACCAGCUCGAAACUGACAAGACAUUGCGCCACAUCACUCCUUAGCCUUGGUACGAUUUCUGGAUCGAUCACCUUCUGAGAGAUUGCAUUGAGGAAUGCACAUAGCUUCACAAUGGCUAAUCGGACGUUUUUCGGUAGAAGCCCCCUCAAUGCAACUGGAAGCAGUUGCGUCAUAAUCACGUGGCAGUCAUGAGACUUUAGGUUCUGAAACUUUUUCUCUGGCAUAUUUAUUAUUCCCUUUUUAUUCGAUGAGAAGCCAGUCGUGACCUUCAUACUGAGCAGGCAUUCAAAGAAGAUUUCUUUCUCUUCUUUCGUAAUAGCGUAGCUGGCAGGACCUUUAUACUACUUCAGAGGCAUGCCGCCUUUUUCGUGCAAACGUUGCAGGUCCUCCCGUGCCUCAGGUGUAUCUUUUGUCUUCCCAUACACGCCCAAGAAGCCUAGCAGGUUCACGCAAAGGUUCUUCGUCACGUGCAUCACGUCGAUUGAGGAGCGGACCUCUAGGUCUUUCCAGUAGGGUAGGUCCCAAAAUAUAGAUUUCUUCUUCCACAUGGGUGCGUGUCCCUCAGCAUCAUUCGGAAUAGCUAGUCCACCGGGACCCUUUCCAAAGAUCACGUAGUGUAAAUCAUUGACCAUAGCAAGCACGUGAUCACCGGUGCGCAUGGCGGGCUUCUUCCGGUGAUCUGCCUCGCCUUUGAAAUGCUUGCCUUUCUUUCGACAUUGAUGGUUGGUCGGAAGAAAUCGACGAUGGCCCAGGUACACAUUCUUCCUGCAUUUGUCCAGGUAUAUACUUUCAGUGUCAUCUAAACAGUGCGUGCAUGCGUGGUAUCCUUUGUUUAUCUGUCCUGAAAGGUUACUGAGAGCGGGCCAAUCGUUGAUGGUCACGAACAACAACGCCUUAAGGUUAAAUUCAUCCUGUCUGUGCUCAUCCCACGUACGUACACCGUUUCCAUUCCACAGCUGUAAAAGUUCUUCAACUAAUGGCCUUAGGUACACAUCAAUUUCGUUGCCGGGUUGCUUAGGGCCUUGGAUGUGAACUGGCAUCAUAAUGAACUUUCGCUUCAUGCACAUCCAAGGAGGAAGGUUAUACAUACAUAGAGUCACGGGCCAGGUGCUGUGAUUGCUGCUUUGCUCCCCGAAAGGAUUAAUGCCAUCCGCGCUUAAAGCAAACCAUACAUUCCUUGGGUCCUUUGCAAACUCAUCCCAGUACUUUCUCUUGAUUUUUCUCCACUGCGACCCGUCAGCGGGUGCUCUCAACUUCCCAUCUUUCUUUCGGUUCUCACUAUGCCAUCGCAUCAACUUGGCAUGCUCUCCGUUUCUGAACAGAUGUUUCAACCGUGGUAUUAUAGGAGCAUACCACAUCACCUUCGCAGGAACCCUCUUCCUGGGGGCUCGCCGUCAACAUCACCAGGGUCAUCUUGUCUAAUCUUAUACCGCAAUGCACCGCAUACCGGGCAUGCGUUCAGAUCCUUGUAUGCACCGCGGUAGAGGAUGCAGUCAUUAGGGCAUGCAUGUAUCUUCUCCACCUCCAAUCCUAGAGGGCAUAUGACCUUCUUUGCUACGUAUGUACUGUUGGGCAAUUCGUUAUCCUUUGGAAGCUUCUUCUUCAAUAUUUUCAGUAGCUUCUCAAAUCCUUUGUCAGCCACAACAUUCUCUGCCUUCCACUGCAGCAAUUCCAGUACGGUACCGAGCUUUGUGUUGCCAUCUUCACAAUUGGGGUAUAACCCUUUUUUGUGAUCCUCUAACAUGCGAUCGAACUUCAGCUUCUCCUUUUGACUUUCGCAUUGCGUCCUUGCAUCGACAAUGACCCGGCGGAGAUCAUCAUCAUCGGGCACAUCGUCUGGUUCCUCUUGAUCUUCAGCAGCUUCACCCGUUGCAGCAUCAUUGGGCACAUCGUUUGGUUCCUCUUGAUCUUCACCAGCUCCCCCCGUUGCAGCAUCACCAUAUUCAGGGGGCACAUAGUUGUCAUCGUACUCUUCUUCUUCGCUGUCUUCCAUCACAACCCCUAUUUCUCCGUGCCUCGUCCAAACAUUAUAGUGUGGCAUGAAAUCCUUGUAAAGCAGGUGGGAGUGAAGGAUUUUUGGGUUAGAGUAAGACCUCGUAUUCCCACAUUCAGUGCAUGGACAACACAUAAAACCAUUCUGCUUGUUUGCCUCAGCCGCAUCGAGAAACUCAUGCACGCCCCUAAUGUACUCGCGGGUGUGUCUGUCAUCGUACAUCCAUUGCCGGUUCAUCUGCGUGCAUUAUAUAUAAUUAAGUGUCCAAAUUAAUAGAAGUUCAUCAUCACAUUAAAACCAAAGUGCAUACAUAGUUCUCAUCUAACAACAUAUAGCUCUCCAGAGCAUCUAAUUAAUUAAACCAUACAUUGAAACUAUGUAAAACAUUUCAAUGCGAAAACAAAUGUGAUCAUAAUCGCAACCAAGGUAACAAUUGAUCCAACGGCAUAAUGAUACCAAGCCUCGGUAUGAAUGGCAUAUUUUCUAAUCUUUCUAAUCUUCAAGCGCAUUGCAUCCAUCUUGAUCUUGUGAUCAUCGACGACAUCCACAACAUGCAACUCCAACAUCAUCUUCUCCUCCUCAUUUUUUUUAUUUUUUCCUUCAACAAAUUGUUUUCUUCUUCAACUAAAUUUAACCUCUCGACAAUAGGGUUGGUUGGCAUUUCCGAUUCACAUCCUACAUAAAUAAAAUCUAUGUCACGUUGGUCGGCAUAAUUUUCAUAAACAAUAAAUGAACCAAUAGUUAUAAAGAUAAUAUAUAUACCACAUCCGAAUCAUAGACAGGACGAGGGCCGACGGGGGCGGAUACCAAAACCAUCGCACUAUAUAAGAUGCAAUAAUAAAAGUAAGAAAAUAAUACAAGUAUCUAUGUAAACAUACAAGUAAGAAUAUUUUUCCUUUCAGAAAGAAGAUAAAACAAGAGGCUCACCACGGUGGUGCCGGCGAUGAGCUCGGCGCGGGUGAUCGACGGCGGUGAAGACGGGGACGGGGCGUGACGGACCGCUAAACCUAGACAAAUAUUAUGGAAAAUGGAGCUUGGAGGUCGAGCUUGAAGAGGAGAAAGCUUAAGUAGUGUGGCUCGGGCAUUCCAUCGAACACCUUGUGUGCAUAGGAGGUGAGCUAGAGCACCACCAAGCCCUCUCCCCCUCGGUCAGAGAAAAACAGAGCACUGGGGUGCUCUGCUCGUGAGCGAGGGGUAUAUAUAGGCACCUCAUUGGUCCCGGUUGGUGACAUGAGCCGGGACUAAAGGGGAGCCUUUGGUCCCGGUUCAAGCCACCAACCGGGAUCAAUGGUGGUGGGCCAGGAGCGAGGCCCAUUGGUCCCGGUUCAUCCCACCAACCGGGACCAAAAGGUCCAGAUGAGCCGGGACCAAUGGCCCACGUGGCCCGGCCGGCCCCCUGGGCUCACGAACAGGGACCAAUUCCCACAUUGGUCCCGGUUCUGGACUGAACCGGGACUAACGGGCUGACCCGGCCUGGACCAAAGCCCUGUUUUCUACUAGUGCACGGAUACUGUUCAUCUUCACCGUCCCAACCGAUCACCUUCGACCAUCGGGAUUACUCGGCAAGUAUCCGGCGUGCAGGAUGGGCUGCCUUGGUGUUAGACCCGAUAAUUGACGGAUACCACUUCACACGAGUCUUGAUGGAUGGUGAUAGUAGUUUAAACCUGAUAUAUCAGGACACAGUCAGCAAAAUGGGGAUAGACCCAACAACAAUUAGCCAUAGCAAUACUACCUUUAAAGGAGUAACGCCAGGCCCAGAAUCCCAUUGCACGGGCUCCCUGCUACUAGAGGUUAUACUUGGCUUCCCCGAUAAGUUCCGCAGUGAAAAUUUAACCUUCCACAUCACUCCAUUCCAAAGUGGCUAUCAAGAACUACUCGGACGCGAAGCUUUCGCUCGCUUUAACGCAAUACCGUUUACGCUUCCCUCAUGCUCAAGAUUCCCGGUCCACGUGGCAUCAUUACAGUAAAUGGAAAUAUUGAGUGAUCCUUGCGCGCGGAAGACCGUGUGGCUACCUUGGCAGCCGCACACUAAACGGCCUCACCAACUAAAGCAUCUGACAGGUCGUUAAGACCACGAACACGGUUGGACGAGUCCGGUGCAGCUAUAUGUAAUUGAUACAAGUUUGAUGGCUAUACCCCUAUUACAAUACAAGGGGCUCAACGCGCGUGCACAAGUGGCAAUCAGGCUCAACUUUACUCAUUUUGAACUAUAUAUUGUUUAUUUAGUAUAACUUACCUUUUGCACGACAACUUUUCAAUUAAGUUCCUCUCUUUUUUAGAUGACCAUCAUGCUACACCCGUCCAGAAUACGGCACAACGGAGACACAGGUGCAGACGUGCAGCAGGGACCCGUUCCAAGGAUUCUUUUUAGAUUAAGACCCUGCGUAAACCUUUUUUACUGUCUCUUGUUGAUACAAAUCCCUCGGAUUCUUAGUAUAAUUGAGAGGGAUGCUGACGUAUUGGCAUGUGGCCACGUCAGAAUAUUGCAUGUACCUGGACACCAGGGGCUUAUUACAAAGGGCACUGUUUAGGCCCGGCUUCCACCAUAAAGACCGAAUACCUUAGGGAGUGUUCGGUGUCGUGAGUUUGGCCUUAUAUGCAUCAGCUCCGAAUCAUGUUUUUGGUCAAAUGUUGGGUUUGCCCGGCUCAUGUGUUUUGCUGCCUUACGUUCCACUCUAUCGGCACCAGGAGAACUACUGCGAUUGUGCCCUGGUUCAUCCGGACGAGCACCUCAGUAGAGAAAGCUGAAAACUGACUGUCAUGAUAUAGCGUGAGACUAGUCAACCACUCGAUGACCUAGCGGAAUCUUCGGGAUUGCUCCGCCUUAACGAAGGGCCGUUUCCCGGCCAGGCAUGUACGCACCCCGAAUUCGGAUGAGUGCGGAGCCACCAGGGGCUAUAUAGUAGCCCCACUGUCAAACUCCUCUGGCUAAGUGAAAGUGUUAAAGCAUUAUAGUCCGAUUGCCUAGUUCGCUGCGCUAUCACCUCCUUAAUGGACCAAGACGUUGGAUCAAGUGUGAACGUGUGUCUUCUGCGAACACCCCCGCAUUAUAUGCGUGGGGGCUGAAGCCGACGACUGCCAUCUUUCAGGUUAUAUACAUAUAUACAUAAACGGCCGCACAGGAGGCAUCAUAGUACUUUCGGGCAAAAGUAUAAAUACAGCCUUGAUAAACUCAAUAAAACAUUGUUUUAACAAUGGGAAUACGUGUCACUCAAACAUAAUAUUCUUCAAGCACUGAGCCUCUAUCAAACGAGCGCCUUCAAGAACUCCUUCAAAGUAGUGCUCGGCAGCCACUCGGCCUAUGGCCGAACCCUGUGCCGCAACAGUGGUGGCAUCCAUCUCCGCCCAGUAUAUUUUGACACGGGCAAGGGCCAUCGGCGAGCCUUCUAUGCACGCCGACCUCUUUACAGCAUCGAUGUGAUGCACAACGCCAAGGAAUUGUUGCACUAAGCUAAAAUAGCUAUUCGGCCUUGGCCCUCCUGGCCACAAAUGAUCCACAAUGGACCUCAUGGCCAGUCCGGAUAAUCUAUGGAGCUCGGCCCAACCGGUCAAUCACUCAUUCAGCAACAGCGGACGGGCUGGAGCGUGAAACUGUGACCAGAACAAUUUAUCCACUUCAGGACCUUUCUGAUCCUUGAAGUACUCGGUCGCAUCCGCAGCACUUGCAGCCAAAUCCAUGUACUCAUCCGCAGAACUACAUAGCCGGUCCAGAGGAGCAUAUUUCGGAUCUCCGAACUUAGUCCGCAACAAGAAGGACUUCCCAGAAACGAUAUCCGCAGCUUGAUUCAGCUCCUCCUUGUCGCUCUAAUUUUGGAGCGGGCUUCCUUGGCAGCCACCCGGGCCUUCUCCAGGUCCGUCGCCUUCACCCGGUUUUCUUCUCCAAGAAGCCGAUAACAGUCAGCAACAUUUUUUUACUCCAUGGCCAUCUUAGCAAUUUUUUCUUUGCUCCAGCAAUGUGCGACCUGUUCGGCCCUUAACUCUUCGGCCGCCUUUAAAGCGGUCGCAUUACUACUCCUUGCUUGAUCCUUGGCUCGGGUAAGCUCCGCCCGAAGGGUCUCCACGGUGGCAGCUCCAUCUGCAGUCACAACAUAUUAAAGAUACUAGCAUCAUGCUGCUCUUAGUAUGUGACAUUCACUAGAAGAAUCACCUACCCUGUGCCUCGUCAAGCCGCUUAUUGACAAGCACGAUGUCGGCAUCUGCCGCAUCCAGCUGCCGCUUUAGUUCGGCAUACCCAUCAGUCCGGCUAGCCACCGGAGCCUCCACCACCUGCACAUAAAGGCAGUCUGGUUACUACCUGGGACUAUGAUCCUCCGUUUGCCACCGUUUUCGACGACAACCAGAGUCUCAAGGCUACUAUCUACACAGGGCACAUCUAAAAAUGUGUGGUACUUUCAAAAAUGUACAUCAUUUCGCGUACCUCAAAACCCGUCAGUAGACUCGUAAAGGCUUCAUGCGGCGCUUUUGGCAGACGAAAUCCUUUCAAUCACCGUACCCAUCAAUGUGUGGUGCUCUUCUGAGAUAGCCGCUUUCUCCAGCAGAUCCCUUCGUACAUCCGACCGCACACCAGACGGUGCAGGACUCUUUUGAUUUCUCUCUUUGAGAGCCGGAUACUGAGGACUUUGGGUGGCCACAUGAUUACCUUCUGGCCUUGCCGGAUCAGGAGAAGCCCUCCGCGAUGACACCUCGGGGUCGCCCUCUACGUAAGGCGGUGUGGCAGGGGGAGGCGUUUCGCUCUCCAUCAUCUCCGGAAGAAGAUCCCCCGAAGACGAGCUCUGCUGAGAAGGGCUAAGAUCCGAACUACAAGAUAAAUGCUUCGAUUAUUUUCCUCAGAAAUAGAGCAAGAUAUUUUCGUUAUUGAAUACCCUUUUACUUACAGCUUAGUAGAGGGCUGAUCCCCGCGCGGACAUUGUGCGGCAAGAGUACCCUCCAGGGCAGGUCCCUCUGGCGGAGAUUUCUUCUCCCGUUUGGAAACCUUAGUUUCCGGAUCUUCAGAGGUAGACCUCUUCCUUCCCCGGGGAGAGAGAAUGUCAAAUUCUUCCCCUUGGUUAUCCUCCCUCGCGGAGGUGCUCAUUCCCUCGAUGGGAAUAGGUAGCGACGGAGGCCCGCUUUCGCCCUCUUUAUUCCCCCCUUCAUCUUCCUUUGAGGGCACUAGACAAGGUGCUGGCUCGAGCAUCUUUUCCAGCACCGGAUUGUCCAAGCCUUCAGGAAGGGGGGCCGAACACCGGAUCAUCUUCGCCUUUGUUAUCCAGUCCUGGUUAAAGAGUGAUUCUUCAAAAUGAUGUCAUGAUAAAUAAAAAGACAGUGUGUUCGGCCAUGGGAUUACUUACUUGGGGAGCAGGGCAGUUGCAGCUCAGGCCCACGUCCUCGGUAGUGUCCGGACACUCUAUUUGGGGUCCGAAGAACGAUUUGUACAUCUCCUCGUGCGUCAUGCCGAGGAAAUUCUGAAUAGUGCGCGGUCCUUCCGGGUUGAAUUCCCACAUGCGGAGGGUCCGGCGUUUGCAAGGCUGGACUCGACGAACCAGCAUAACUUGCAUUACCAUAACCAGACUAAAAUCCCCCUCGAAGAGAUCUCAGAUACGGCUCUACAGUAUUGGCACGUCCUUGGCUGGACCCCCGAUCAGCCCCCUGCUGAUCCAUGACAUCAGUUGUGGUGGAGGGCCCGAGCGAAAGGUGGGGGAAGCUACCCACUUGGCACUUCGGGCAGCUGUGACGUAAAACCACUCCCGUUGCCACAAUCCGGACACCUCUGGAAAGGAACCCUUUGGCCAUGGAGCGUCAGCAAUUUUUCUUAUUAGAGCACCUCCGCACGCUACGUACUGCCCCUCGACCAUCUUUGGCUUCACAUUGAAGGUCUUGAGCCAUAGGCCAAAGUGAGGGGUAAUGCGGAGGAAGGCCUCACAGAUGACAAUAAAUGACGAGAUGUGAAGAAGGGAAUCCGGGGCCAGAUCUUGAAAAUCCAGCCCAUAAUAGAACAUGAGGCCCCUAACAAAAGGAUCCAGAGCGAGGCCUAGUCCUUGGAGGAAGUGGGAGAUGAACACAACGCUCUCAUUGGGUUCGGGAGUAGGGACGACCUGCCCUCGGCCGAGCAGCCUAUGCGAAAUUUCAGCGGUCAGAUAUCAGGCCUCCCUCAACUUCUUGAUGUCCUCCUCCGUGACGGAGGAAGGCAUCCACCUGCCUUGAAGGCUGGAUCCGGACAUGAUUGAAGGUCCGGGGCACCUGACCUGGGCUUUGGGUGUUAGAACUCGAGGCGGGGGAAGGAUUCGAUUGAGCACGGGAGGGAAAAAAGAAAAAGCCUUGUCCCUUUAUAAAGGGGAUGAAUAUCAGGCGUCCUCCUCGUAGCCGUUCUAGACUUACCUAAAAUCUAGGAGUCAUACCAACAGGCACGGUUGGGUUACCCACAUUUGUAUUGAUGAGAAUCCCGUGAUAAGGGGAACACGAUCUCUGCUUUGACAAGACGUGUCAAGAAACCGCCUCGCGUUAUGUGCGGGGCUGGUUAAAGAAAAAUGGUUCAAAUAAUUACCGGGCCGUGGCGUGAUGUCAUGCUGCCAAAACAUGUCAGCAAAUUGGACUUGUGGAAAUAUUAUUCUCUCUACAAUGGUAUGUGGAACUUAUUUUGCAGGGUCGGACACUAUCCUUGUAUUCAAACUCUUCCGUGGUGUAUUCGGAGGAGGAACCCGCCUUGCAAUGCCGAAGACAACACUGCAUGCCAGACUCAUCAUCAUUGAAGCCUGGUUCAGGGGCUACUGAGGGUAUCCUGGAUUAGGGGGUCUCCGGAUAGCCGAACUAUAUCCUUUGGCCGGACUGUUGGACUAUGAAGAUACAAGAUUGAAGAUUUCGUACCGUGUCCGGAUGGGACUCUACUUGGCGUGGAAGGCAAGUUAGGCAAUACGGAUAUGGAUAUCUCCUCCUUUGUAACCGACCUUAUGUUACCCUAGCCUCCCUCGGUGUCUAUAUAAACCGGAGGGUUUUAGUCCGUAGGACAACAUACAAUCAUACCAUAUGCUAGCUUCUAGGGUUUAGCCUCUCUGAUCUCGGGUAGAUCAACUCUUGUACUACUCAUAUUAUCAAGAAUAAUCAAGCAGGACGUAGCGUUUUACCUCCAUCAAGAGGGCCCGAACCUGGGUAAAACAUCGUGUCCCCUGCCUCCUGUAACCAUCCGCCUUAGACGCACAUUUCGGGACCCCCUACCCGAGAUCCGCUGGUUUUGACACCGACACCCGCAGCACCAAGUGGGUAGCUGCACUCACGUUUCGCCCUGGCCCACCGUUACAGCUUGCAUCAUGGGCCAACAAGGGGCUGGAUUGGGGAUCAGUUGAUGAAGUGCGGACUCUACAAAGUCGCAUACGAACCCUCCUCGAGAGGGAUAUCGAUCUUGUCAGCGUGAUUCAAGUAAUGUUGAUUCGCCGAAUCCUACCAUGCCAACGUACGCCUCUCUGUAUGUGGGAGUUCAAUCCAGAAGGACCACGAUCCCUCCAACACUUCUUCGGCAUUACGCACAAAGGGAUGUGGAAGUUGUUUUUCGGAAAACGAAAACAUUGGCCGAACACUAUUGAGGACACAUGCCUCGACUGUAACUGUCCGGAUACCCCGGUAAGCACUUGACUUCCGAACACCCUUUUUUUAAGUAUGCUGUAAUACAUUAUUGAGCAAACUAUCUCCUCCUAGGGCUGGAUAAACAAAAGCGGAGCUGAUUAGGUGUCCGCCCCCCCCCCCUUUCCGAAGGUUUAGCGGAUCCUGUAUUAACAAGGAUCCUAUCCCCGACACCGUACCAGAUGCUUGUGAAGGAGGGAAAGGCAGAGAGGACCAAAGAUGGCCCCCAUCCCGAUGGUGUGCCAGACAAGAUUCCAUCGUCCGAAGAAAAAAAUGACGGGAAAGUCAACGUCUCUUCCCCCCAUGGGAAGAAAAGGGUCACCUCCGAAGAUUGGGAGGAAAAGGCUCAUAAACGAGGCAAGAUGCCUUCGUCGGGUGGCUCGGGCUUGGAGGACAACGUCAUCGCACAGUCCCAUGAUGAGGACAAGCCUCAGGCCAACUCGUAAGUGAACAAGGGUGUUUUAAACACGUCACACCCCUUUCUUGUAACGUCUAGAAUAUAUGUUUUUUUGUAGUUCGGCACGCAGUCUUCUUCAACAAUCCUCUUCCUCGGGGGAUCUUCUCCCGAGAUGAUGGAAAGCGAGACACCUCCACCAAUCUCGUCGCCCAAUAGGGCGGAUGACUUCAAGGUGUCGUAGCGGAGGGUAUCUCCCGAUCAACAAGUGGUGCGAGGGAUGACGAAGACACAACCCGAAGGUGAUACUUCGGUGGCCCAUGGUCCGGGGACCAACAGUAAAGGCCCCGAACAUUCCGGUCUACAGCCGGAUAUGAAUAAACGGAUUCCUUGAAAGGGAGGCCGUACUCCUUCAGCAGCCUCCGGAGUCCCAGAGGCGCCGGAUAUAUUGACGAACAUGCUGCGACAGGCGUCCGUCUCAGAGGAACAUCGUACCUUGAUGAGCACGGUGAUAGAAAAGGUCCUGGCCGCGAAAAGCGGAUUGAAUGAGGCCUUCAUGGGCCUACUAGGAUGCUUCGAGGUUUGUACCGUAAUAUGUUCGAUUGUGUUUUAUUCAAGAAUACACCUGUGCAUAGAUAGUAGCCCCUAAGACUCUGAUUGGCUUCCCAAGGGAGAUGGUUAUAUGAUCAAAAGAUAUGCCCAGGAAGUAAUAUGAUUGUUGGAACACAGGAUGUGACCUCCCCGGAAACUGUCUGGACUGUAGAGAUUGUGGAUUUGCAAGACAAGAUUGAUGAGGCAGAUACUGAUAUCACGCUUAUCAACAGGCGUCUUGACGAGUCGCAAGGUACAUGUUCAAAGCAAUCCAUACAUAUAAGUUUUUUAAUAUAAGCGUGACACUGAAAGUUGCAUACUGGAAUAUGCAUGGUUGCAGAUGGUGGUGCCGCCGUUGAGAUUCUUCGGGCGGAGCUGGCCCGGGCCAAGGAGUAGGCCUGGUUUAGUAAUGUGGCUGCCAAAAAGGCAUCGACCAAGUUAAAGGCCGAACAAGCUGCUCAGCACCAAGACGAGGAGAAAAUAUCCUCGAUGGUGCUCGAACUAAAAAAUACUACCAGCCGCUAUGAAUUCCUAGAGAAGGAGAAUAAAGCCAAAGCGGCUGAGCUUGACAAGGCCUUGCGAGAGGCGAAAGAAGCGCGGUCCGAAUCUAGAGCGGCCCGUGAGGAGAUCCGGCAAGUUGGGAAGAUUGCCGCUGGUAAGCCAUUUUUAUUACAGACAAAGUUCGGCGAUCCGAAUUAUGCUUAGCUUAACCAAGUGUGGAGUUCUCCAGAUGUGUUUUUGGACAUGCCGAAGAGUUCAUCCGAUGCGGCGCAGUUUUACCAAGCGCAAGAGGGAUAUGCAAUGGAGAAGCUUUUCUGGUCAUAGUUUGGCGCAUCAAAACGCCCUCUACUGCUGAAUGAACAAAUGUCCCAACUGGUCGAGCUUCACAAGAUGUCCACAGCUGCCAUGAAGAACGUCAUACUUUAGCUAUGGCCGACUGAGCCGAUUCCGAAUAGCUAUUUCGGCUUGGUGCGGUGGCUUGCUGAUGCGGUGCCACGUAUCGACGCCGUGAAGUGGUCGACAUGCAUUGAAGGUGCACGGAUGGCCUUUGCCCGAGUCAAGACAUACUGGGGGAAGAUGAAGGCCGUCGAUGUUGCAUUGCAGGGUCCACCCAAGGGCAAGGACCAUCACGCACCAGAGCAAUACUUUGAGGACAUCUUAGAGGCUGCCCGCUUGAUAGAGGGUCAAUGUUCGAAAGGCAUAAUAUUCAAGUGAACUCUUUACAAAUUGUAAAAGACAAUUGUUAUAAUCAAUCUAUAUUUUGAUUUUGCCUAAAGGCUUUUGUUCCUCAUGUGCGGCUGUUUGUAUGUGAACUGAAAGUUUUCCAGUCAUCGGCUUCAGCCCCUGAUGACCCACAAGUAUAGGGGAUCUAUCAUAGUCCUUUGGAUAAGUAAGAGUGUCGAACCCAACGAGGAGCAGAAGGAAAUGAUAAGCAGUUUCCAGCAAGGUAUUCUCUGCAAGUACUGAAAUAAGUGGUAACCGAUAGUUUUAUGAUAGGAUAAUUUGUAAUGAGCAACAAGUAACAAAGGUAAAUAAAGUGCAGCAAGGUGGCCCAAUCCUUUUUGUAGCAAAGGACAAGCCUGGACAAACUCUUAUAUAGAUAAAAGCGCUCCUGAGGACACAUGGGAAUAUCAUCAAGCUCGUUUUCACCACGCUCAUAUGAUUCGCGUUCGGUACUUUGAUAAUUUGGUAUGUGGGUGGACUGGUGCUUGGGUACUGUCCUUACUUGGACAAGCAUCCCACUUAUGAUUAACCUCUAUUGCAAGCAUCCGCAACUACAACAAAAGUGUUAAGGUAAACCUAACCAUAGCAUGAAACAUAUGGAUCCAAAUCAGCCCCUUACGAAGCAACGCAUAAACUAGGGUUUAAGCUUCUGUCACUCUAGCAACCCAUCAUCUACUUAUUACUUCCCAAUGCCUUCCUCUAGGCCCAAAUAAUGGUGAAGUGUCAUGUAGUCGACGUUCACAUAACACCACUAGAGGAGAGACAACAUACAUCUCAUCAAAAUAUCGAAUGAAUACCAAAUUCACAUGACUACUAAUAGCAAGACUUCUCCCAUGUCCUAAAGAACAAGCGUAACUACUCACAAAGCAUAAAUAUGUUCAUAAUCGAGGGGUAUUAAUAUGCAUAUAGGAUCUGAACAUAUGAUCUUCCACCAAAUAAACCAACUAGCAUCAACUACAAGGAGUAAUUAACACUACUAGCAACCUACUAGCACCAAUCCCGGACUUGGAGACAAGAAUUGGAUACAAGAGAUGAACUAGGGUUUUGAGAGGAGAUGGUGCUGAUGAAGAUGUUGAUGGAGAUUGCCCUCUCCCGAUGAGAGGAGCAUUGGUGAUGACAAUGGCGAUGAUUUCCCCCUCCAGGAGGGAAGUUUCCCCGGCAGAACAGCUCCGCCAGAGCCCUAGAUUGGUCCCGCCUCGUGGCGGCGGAGUUUCUUCUGAGAACAUGGCUUAUUAUUUUUUCCCAUCGAAAGACUUCAUAUAGCAGAAGAUGGCCACCGGAUAGCCACUAGGGGGCCCACGAGGUAGGGGGGUGCGCUCAGGGGGGUAGGGCGCGCCCCCCACCCUCGUGGGCAGGGUGUGGCCCCCCUGGUGAAUCUCUUCCGCUGAGUAUUUUUUAUAUAUUCUGAAAACGUCUUCCGUGAAGUUUCAGGACUUUUGGAGCUGUGCAGAAUAGGUCUCUACUAUUUGCUCCUUUUCCAGCCCAGAAUCCCAGCUGCCGGCAUUCUCCCUCUUCAUGUAAACCUUGUAAAAUAAGAGAGAAUAUGCAUAAGUAUUGUCACAUAAUGUGUAAUAACAGCCCAUAAUGCAAUAAAUAUUGAUAUAAAAGCAUGAUGCAAAAUGGGCGUAUCAACUCCCCCAAGCUUAGACCUCGCUUGUCCUCAAGCGAAAAGCCAAAAUCGAAAAAUAUGUCCACACGUUUAGAGAUAGAGGUGUCGAUAAAAAUAAAAUACGGACAUGAGGGCAUCAUGAUCAUUCUUAGAACAACAACUUACAUAAUUCUUGUCAUAUGAUUCCUUAUGCUAGAUUAAUAAUUCAAUCACAAUUUCAACUAUGAAUCGUAAACUUCAUUGAAAACUAACAAACUAUAAUCUCAGUCAUUGGAGCAAUUGCAAUUUAUCAUAACAUAGGAAAGAGUCAAUAUAUAAGAGCUUUUCAGCAAGUCCACAUACUCAACUAUCAUAUAGUCUUUCACAAUUGCUGACACUCACACAAUACUUAUGGGUAUGGAGUUUUAAUCGGACACGGAGAAAGAUAGGGGCUUAUAGUCUUGCUUCCCAACAUUUUACCUCAAGGGUAAUGUCAACAAUAAUAGUUCAUGAAAACUCACAUCCAAUUAGCCAUAUAUACCAAGAUCUUUCCAACAUACUGUGCUCGCCAAAGGAUAAAGUGUAAAAAGGAAUGGUGAAGAUCACCAUGACUCUUAUGCAAGGUAGGAGAUAAAAGUAGAAGAUAAGCCUUUCGCAGAGGGAAGUAGAGGUUGUCAUGCGCUUUAAUGGUUGGAUGCACAGAAUCUUAAUGCGAAAGAACGUCACUUUAUAUUGCCACUUGUGAUAUGGACCUUUAUUAUGCAGUCUGUCGCUUUUAUUUCUUCCAUAUCACACAAUCGUAUAAAGCUUAUUUUCUCCCACGCUAAUAAGUCAUACAUAUUUAGAGAGCAAUUUUUAUUGCUUGCACCGAUGACAACUUACUUAGAGGAUCUUACUCAAUCCAUAAUAAAACUGGUUUAAGGGUAUUUGGAAGCACAAGUAGUAUCUCUACUUGGUGCGAUGAAUUUGGCUAGCAUGAGGGAGAAAGGCAAGCUCAACCAUGUUGUAUGAUCCAUGACAAUAUAAUUUAUCUCAGAUGUAAGAAACCAUAACCCAUUACGUUGUCUUCCUUGUCCAACGUCAACUCUUUUAGCAUGUCAUAUUUUAAUGAGUGCUCACAAUCAUAAAAGAUGUCCAAGAUAGUAUAUUUAUAUGUGAAGACCUCUCUUUCUUUAUUACUUCAUAUUAUUUGCAACGAUGACCAAAACUAUGCUUGUCAACUCUCAACAACUUUUAUUCAUCAUACUUUUUCUAUGUGAGCUCACCACUCUCCAUAAGACUCACAUGAUCUCUUUGUUUAUUUUUAUUUCUUUCUCUUUUCUUUCUCUUAGGAUCAUGGCAAAAUAAUCAAGCCCUUGACUCAACACUAAUCUUUAUUAUAUAGCUCACGGACUCGAUUACAUAGAAGGACUAUAAAGAAAAACUCACAACUAGAUCAUACUAAGACUUUUAUUCCACUAAAUCAAGAUAUUACCAAAAGUAUCGAACUAAGAAAAAUGGUAAAGAUAAAGAUAAAGGUGAUACGAUACCGGGGCACUCCCCCAAGCUUGGCAGUUGCCAAGUGGAGUGCCCAUACCAGAUGCUCAAUUAUUUUUUGUUGGUGCAUAAGGUGGAGUUGUUGAUGAUGGACAGUCGCACAUCGAGCGUAGGAGGUCUUCUAACUUGCGGAUAAUGCCCUUGAGUGCGAUGAUAUGCUCCUUCAACAAAAUAUUUUCACAUGUGAGAUACUUAUUUUGUAUAUGAGCUAACUCAAUCAUCUUGAAAGCUUCGAUUUUUUUUGGGGUAAGAAGAUUGUGAUCAAGUUGAAGGGCGUCUUCUGUUGCCGGAACUUGGUCCUCCAUGGCCUUCUUGAUCCCUUCAUCCUUGUUGAUCUCCAUGGGUUCUUAUCUCUUCAGCUCUAUCUUCAUUAGCCAAGCAUCAUUGCCCUCAUGGUUGGAGGAGGAGGAGGGAGACGACAUAGUGCCUGGCCUUGACAACCCUGACAGAAAACAACUCGAAACAAAGACAGGAGAUUUUUGCAUGAUACGGGAGUCAAAACCUCCGGGGGAUUAUAUAAUGAAUUUUUACCGGCCAAAAUACGUGUCGUGUAAGAAAACGGAGUCCGGGAAGUGCACGAGGAGCCCACGAGGUAGGGGGCGCACCAAGGGGGUAGGGCGCACUCUCCACCCUCGUGGAGCCCUCGUGUCCUUCCCGGACUGCUUCUUAUUUUUCUAUUUUUCUAAAUACUCCAAAACGGAGAAAUAUUCCCUUAAAAACUGUUUUGGAGUCGGUUUACUUACCGUACCACAUACCUAUUCCUUUUCGGAGUCUGGAGCGUUCCGGAAAGUGUCCCUUAUGUAUUCCUCCAGGGUUACGGUUUCAAUAACAUUGGUUUCAACAUUUAUGGGAUUACCUAAGAUAUAAUGUUUGAUUCUUUGACCGUUCACCACCUUCGGAUUUGUGCCUUCGAAGUUGUUGAUUUUUAUGGCACCGGAACGAUAGACCUCCUCGAUAACGUAAGGACCUUCCCAUUUAGAGAGAAGGUUUCCAGCAAAAAAUCUUAAACGAGAGUUGUAUAGCAAUACAUAAUCACCAACACUAAACUCACGCUUUUGUAUCCUUUUGUCAUGCCAUCUUUUAACUUUUUCUUUAAACAACUUGGCAUUUUCAUAGGCUUGGGUUCUUGAUACGUCUCCAACGUAUCUAUAAUUUUUGAUUGCUCCAUGCUAUAUUAUCUACUAUUUUGGACUAUAUUGGGCUUUAUUUUCCACUUUUAUAUUAUUUUUGGGACUAACCUAUUAACCGGAGGCCCAGCCCAGAAUUGUUGUUUUUUUGCCUAUUUCAGUAUUUCAGAGAAACAGAAUAUCAAAUUGAGUCCAAACGGAAUAAAACUUUCGGGAACGUGAUUUUCUCACUGAACGUGAUCCAGGAGACUUGGACCCUACUCCAAGGAGUCAAAGAGGCGGUCACGAGGGUGGGGGGCACGCCCACCCCCCUAGGGCGCGCCCCCUGCCUCAUGGACCCCUCGGUGCUCCACCGCCGUACUCCUUCCUCCUAUAUAUACCUACGUACCCCCAAACGAUCAGAACAGGAGCCAAAAACCUAAUUCCACCACCGCAACUUUUUGUAUCCAUGAGAUCCCGUCUUGGGGCCUGUUCUGGAGCUCCACCGGAGAGGGCCGUCAUCACGGAGGGCUUCUACAUCAUCAUAGCCCCUCCGAUGAAGUGUGAGUAGUUUACCUCAGACCUUCGGGUCCAUAGUUAGUAGCUAGAUGGCUUUUUCUCUCUUUUUGGAUCUCAAUACAAAGUUCUCCCCCUCUCUUGUGGAGAUCUAUUCGAUGUAAUCUUCUUCUUUUUGCGGUGUGUUUGUUGAGACCGAUGAAUUGUGGGUUUAUGAUCAAGUCUAUCUAUGAAUAAUAUUUGAAUCUUCUCUGAAUUCUUUUAUGUAUGAUUGGUUAUCUUUGCAAGUCUCUUCGAAUUAUCUGUUUGGUUUGGCCAACUAGAUUGGUAGUUCUUGCCAUGUGAGAAGUGCUUAACUUUGGGUUCGAUCUUGCGGUGUCCUUUCCCAGUGACAGAAGGGGUAGCAAGGCAUGCAUUGCAUCGUUGCCAUCGAGGAUAACAAGAUCGGGUUUAUUUCAUAUUGCAUGAAUUUAUCUCUCUACAUCAUGUCAUCUUGCUUAAAGCGUUACUCUGUUUUUAACUUAAUACUCUAGAUGCAUGCUGGAUAGCGGUCGAUGAGUGGAGUAAUAGUAGUAGAGGAAGAAUCGUUUCGGUCUACUUGUCAUGGAUGUGAUGCCUAUAUACAUGAUCAUGCCUAGAUAUUCUCAUAACUAUGCUCAAUUCUGUCAAUUGCUCAACAGUAAUUUGUUCACCCACCGUAGAAUACUUAUGCUCUUGAGAGAAGCCACUAGUGAAACCUAUGGCCCCCGGGUCUAUUCUCAUCAUAUCAAUCUCCAUCACUUUAAUCUUGCUUUGCUUUUUUACUUUGCCUUUUACUUUUUACUUUGCAUCUCUAUACCAAAAAUACCAAAAAUAUUAUAUCUAUCAGAUCUCACUCUCGUAAGUGACCGUGACGGGAUUGACAACCCCUAAUCACGUUGGUUGCGCGUAGCUAUCGUUUUGUGCAGGUAUGAGGGACUUGAGCGUGGCCUCCUACUGGACUGAUACCUUGGUUCUCAAAAACUAAGGGAAAUACUUAUGCUACUCUGCUACAUCAUCCUUUCCUCUUCGAGGAAAUCCAUCGCAAGCUCAAGAGGUUGCAAGAAGAAUUUCUGGCGCCGUUGCCGGGGAGUCUACGCAAAAAGUCAACAUACCAAGUACCCGUCACAAUCCCUAUCUCUCGCAUUACAUUAUUUUCCAUUUGCCUCUCGUUUUCCUCUCCCCCAGUUCACCCUUGCCGUUUUAUUCGCCCUCUCUCUCUCUAUCCUCCCUCUCUAUUUGCCUCUUUUUGCCCGCUUGCCUUUUUGUUUGCUCGUGUGUUGGAUUGCUUGUUUGUCGCGAUGGCUCAAAAUACUACCAAAUUGUGUGACUUCACCAAUACCAAUAAUAAUGAUAUCCUUAGCACUCCAAUUGCUCCUCUUGCCAAUACUGAAUCUUGUGAAAUCAAUACUGCUUUGUUGAAUCUUGUUAUGAAAGAUCAAUUCGCCGGCCUUCCUAGUGAAGAUGCCACUACUCAUCUGAAUAGCUUCGUUGAUUUAUGUGAUAUGCAAAAGAAAAAAGAUGUCAAUAAUGAUGUCGUUAAAUUGAACCUAUUUCCUUUUUCUCUUAGAGAUCGUGCUAAAGCUUGUUUUUCGUCUUUGCCUAAAAAUAGUAUUGAUUCUUGGAACAAGUGCAAAGAUGCUUUUAUCUCUAAGUAUUUCCCUCCCGCUAAGAUCAUCUCUCUUAGAAACGAUAUUAUGAACAUUAAGCAACUUGAUCAUGAACAUGGUGCACAAGCUUGGGAGAGAAUGAAAUUAAUGAUACGUAAUUUCCCUACUCAUGGUUUGAAUUUGUGGAUGAUUAUACACAAAUUUUAUGUCGGAUUGAAUUUUGCUUCUAGAAAUCUUUUAGAUUCGGCCGCGGGAGGCACUUUUAUGGAAAUCACUUUAGGAGAUGCUACUAAACUCCUAGAUAAUAUUAUGGUUAAUUAUUCUCAAUGGCAUACUGAAAGAUCUUCUAAUAAAAAAGUGCAUGCGAUAGAAGAAAUCAAUGUUUUGGGUGGAAAGAUGGAUGAACUUAUGAAAUUAUUUGCUACUAAGAGUGUUUCUUCUGAUCCUAAUGAUAUGCCUUUGUAUACUUUGAUUGAGAAUAACAAUGAAUCUAUGGAGGUGAAUUUUGUUGGUAGGAAUAAUUUUGGUAACAACGCUUAUAGAUGGAAUUUUAAUCCUAGGCCAUAUCCUAGUAAUUCUUCUAAUAAUUAUGGGAAUUCCUACAACAACUCUUAUGGAAAUUAUAAUAAGAUGCCCUCGGAAUGUGAGAAUAGUGUUAAAGAGUUUAUGAAUUCACAAAAUAAUUUUAAUGCUUUGCUUGAAGAUAAAUUGCUUAAAGUUGAUGAGUUGGCUAGGAAAGUUGAUAGAAUUUCUCUUUAGGUUGAUUCUUUAAAGCUUAGAUCUAUUCCUCCUAAGCAUGAUAUCAAUGAGUCUCUCAAAGCCAUGAGAAUUUCCAUUGAUGAGUGCAAGGAAAGAACCGCUAGGAUGCGUGCUUCCAAAGAUGCCUUUAUUAAAGCGCAUUCUUCCAAUUCCUAUGAAAAUCAAGAUGAAGAUCUAAAAGUUAUUGAUGUGUCACCUAUUAAAUCUUUGUUUUGCAAUAUGAAUCUUGAUGAAACUGAAUAUGAUCUUCUUUUACCUAGAAGGAGUUCUAAAAAUUCGGAGUAUUUAGAUCUUUAUGAUGAAAUUGAUGAAAGUGGGAUUGAAAGAAAUAAAAAUCUAGAUGUUGCUAAACCCACUAUAUUGGAUUUCAAGGAAUUUAAUUAUGAAAGUUGCUCUUUAAUUAAUUGUAUUUCCUUUAUGCAAUCCGUGCUAAAUUCUCCACAUGCUUAUAGUCAAAAGAAAGCCUUCGCCGAACAUAUUUUUGAUGCCUUGAUGCAAUCUUAUGAAGAAAAACUUGAGUUGAAAGUUUCUAUCCCUAGAAAACUCUAUGAUGAGUGGGAACCAACUAUUAAAAUUAAAAUUAAAGGUCACGAGUUUUAUGCUUUGUGUGAUUUGGGUGCUAGUGUCUCCACUAUCCCCAAAACUUUGUGUGAUUUGCUAGAUUUCGCAAUUUUGAUGAUUGCUCUCUAAAAUUGCAUCUUGCAGAUUCUACUAUUAAGAAACCUAUGGGAAGGAUUAAUGAUGUUCUUAUUGUUGCAAAUAGAAAUUAUGUGCCCGUAGAUUUAAUUGUUCUUCAUAUAGAUUGCAAUCCUUCUUGCCCUAUUAUUCUUGGUAGACCUUUCAUUAGAACGGUUGGUGCGAUUAUUGAUAUGAAGGAAGGGAAUAUUAGAUUUCAAUUUCCAUUAAAAAAGGGCAUGGAACAAUUUCCAAGAAAGAAAAUAAAAUUGCCAUAUGAAACUAUCAUGAGAUCCACUUAUGGAUUGCCUACCAAAGAUGGCAAUACCUAGAUCUAUCCUCGCUUUUAUGCCUAGCUAGGGGCGUUAAACGAUAGCGCUUGUUGGGAGGCAACCCAAUUUUAUUUUUAUUCCUUAAUUUUUGCUCCUGUUUCAUAAUAAAUAAAGUAUUUAGCCUCUGUUUUGGUUGUGUUUUUUGUGUUUAAUUAGUGUUUGUGCCAAGUAGAACCGUUGGGAAGACUUGGGGAAAGUCUGGUUGAACUUGCUGUAAAAAACAGAAACUUUUGCGCUCACGAGAACUGCUGCCAUUUUUAUUUGGGGAGUGAUAUUUAGUUAAUUCUUUUUGCAGAUGAUUAAUAGAUAAAUUCCUCACGUCCAGAAAUUUAUUUUAGAAUUUUUGGGGUUCCAUAUAUUGCUCUAGCUACCGAUUACUACAGACUGUUCUGUUUUUGACAGAUUCUGUUUUUCGUGUGUUGUUGCUUAUUUUGAUGAUUCUAUGGUUAGUAAAAUAGUUUAUAAUUAGAAGUUGGAAUACAGUAGGUUUAACACCAAUAUAAAUUAAUAAUGAGUUCAUUACAUUACCUUGAAGUGGUCUUUUGUUUUCUUUCGCUAACGGAGCUCACGAGUUUUCUACUUUAAGUUUUGUGUUGUGAAGUUUUCAAGUUUUGGGUUAAUUCUUGUGAUGGAUUAUGGAACAAGGAUUGGAAAGAGCCUAAGCUUGGGGAUGCCCAUGGCACGCCCAAUAUAAUCCAAGGACACCAAAAAGUCAAAGCUUGGGGAUGCCCCGGAAGGCAUCCCCUCUUUCGUCCACUCCCAUCGGUAAUUUACUUGGAGCUAUAUUUUUAUUCACCAACAUGAUAUGUGUUUUGCUUGGAGAGUCUUGUAUUAUUUUUGUCUUUGUGUUUUAGUAUGCCACAAUCAUCCUUGCUGUACACACCUUUUGAGAGAUCCAUACAUGAAUUAAAAUUUGAUAUAAUACUCUAUGUGCUUCACUUAUAUCUUUUUGAGCUAAGUAAUUUUGCUCUAUGUGCUUCACUUAUAUCUUUUGAGCUAUGUAAUUUUGCUCUAUGUGCUUCACUUAUAUCUUUUUGAGCUAAGUAGUUUUGCUCUAUGUGCUUCACUUAUAUCUUCUGAGCGUUAUAAUUUUGCUCUAUGUGCUUCACUUAGAUCUUUUAGAGCACGGUGGUGGAUUUGUUUUAAAGAAACUAUUGAUCUCUCAUGCUUCACUUAAAUUAUUUUAAGAGUCUUAAUAGCAUGGUAAUUUGCUUAAUGAUAACAUGCUUGGUAUUCAAUAUUUGUGAAACUUUCUUUUGAGUGUGUUGAAUACUAAGAAAAGUUGGAUGCUUGAUAAUUGUUUUGAGAUAUGGAGGUAGUAAUAUCAAAGUCAUGCUAGUAGAGUAAUUCUGAAUUUGAGAACUGCUUGAGUUAAAGUUUGCAAGUCCCGUAGCAUGCACGUAUGGUAAACGUUAUGCAACAAAUUUGAAACAUGAGGUGUUAUUUGAUUGUCCUCCUUAUGAGUGGCGGUCGGGGACGAGCGAUGGUCUUUUCCUACCAAUCUAUCCCCUAGGAGCAUGCGCGUAAUACUUUGGUUUUUGAUGGCUUGUAGAUUUUUGCAAUAAGUAUAUGAGUUCUUUAUGACUAAUGUUGAGUCCAUGGAUUAUACGCACUCUCACCCUUCCAUCACUGCUAGCCUUUACGGUACAGUGCAUUGCCCUUUCUCACAUCGAGAGUUGGUGCAAACUUCGCCAGUGCAUCCAAACCCCGUGAUAUGAUACGAUCUUUCACACAUAACCCUCCUUAUAUCUUCCUCAAAACAGCCACCAUACCUACCUAUUAUGGCAUAGCCAUUCCGAGAUAUAUUGCCAUGCAACUUUCCACCAUCCAGUUUAUCAUGACACAUCCAUCAUUGUCAUAUUUCUUAGCAUGAUCAUGUAGUUGACAUAGUAUUUGUGGCAAAGCCACCGUUCAUAAUUUUUUCAUACUUGUCACUCUUGAUUCAUUGCAUAUCCCGGUACACCGCCGGAGGCAUCCAUAUAGAGUCAUACUUUGUUCUAGUAUCGAGUUGUAAAUAAAUAAAAGUGUGAUGAUCAUCAUUUAAUAGAGCAUUGUCCCCAAAAAAAGGCCAAAGAAAAAAACAAGGCCCAAAAAAGAGAAAAUAAAUAAAAAGGGGCAAUGCUACUAUUCCGUUUUCCACACUUGUGCUUCAAAGUAGCACCAUGUUCUUCAUAUAGAGAGUCUCUUGAGUUAUCACUUUCAUAUACUAGUGGGAAUUUUCAUUAUAGAACUUGGCUUGUAUAUUCCAACAAUGGGCCUCCUCAAGUGCCCUAGGUCUUCAUGAGCAAGCAAGUUGGAUGCACACCCACUUAGUUUCUUUUGUUGAGCUUCCAUACAUUUAUAGCUCUAGUGCAUCCGUUGCAUGGCAAUCCAACUCCUUGCACUAACAUCAAUCGAUGGGCAUCUCCAUAGCCCAUUGAUUAGUCUCGUUGAUGUGAGACUUUCUCCUUUUUUGUCUUCUCCACAUAAUCCCCAUCAUUAUAUUCUAUUCCACCCAUAGUGCUAUAUCCAUGGCUCACGCUCAUGUAUUGCGUGAAAGUUUAUGAGUUUGAAAUUAUUAAGGUAUGAAACAAUUUCUUGGCUUGUCAUCGGGGUUGUGCAUGAUGAGAGCAUUCUUGUGUGACGAAAAUGGAGCAUGACUAAACUAUAUGAUUUUGUAGGGAUGAACUUUCUUUGGCCAUGUUACUUUAAGAAAACAUAAUUGCUUUGUUGGUUUGCUUGAAGUAUUAUUAUUCUUUAUAUCAAUAUGAACUUUUGUCUUAAAUCUUCCUAAUCUGAAUACUCAUACCACAAUUAAGAAGAUUUGCAUUGAAAUUAUGCCAAGUAGCACUCCGCAUCAAAAAUUAUCUUUUUAUCAUUUACCUACUCGAGGACGAGCAGGAAUUAAGCUUGGGGAUGCCUGAUACGUCUCCAACGUAUCUAUAAUUUUUGAUUGCUCCAUGCUAUAUUAUCUACUGUUUUGGACUAUAUUGGGCUUUAUUUUCCACUUUUAUAUUAUUUUUGGGACUAACCUAUUAACCAGAGGCCCAGCCCAGAAUUGAUGUUUUUUUGCCUAUUUCAGUAUUUCGGAGAAACAGAAUAUCAAACGAAGUCCAAACUGAAUAAAACCUUCGGGAACGUGAUUUUCUCACCGAACGUGAUCCAGGAGACUUGUACCCUACUUAAGGAGUCAAAGAGGCAGUCACGAGGGUGGGGGGCACGCCCACCCCCCUAGGGUGCGCCCCUGCCUCGUGGGCCCCUCGGUGCUCCACCGACGUACUCCUUCCUCCUAUAUAUACCUACGUACCCCCAAACGAUCAGAACAGGAGCCAAAAACCUAAUUCCACCGCCGCAACUUUCUGUAUCCACGAGAUCCCAUCUUGGGGCCUGUUCCGGAGCUCCGCCGGAGAGGGCCGUUGUCGGUGUCAAAACCGGCGGAUCUCGGGUAGGGGGUCCCGAACUGUGCGUCUAGGCCGGAUGGUAACAGGAGGCAAGGGACAUGAAGUUUUACCCAGGUUUGGGCCCUCUCGAUGGAGGUAAAACCCUACGUCCUGCUUGAUUUAUAUUGAUGGUAUGGGUAGUACAAGAGUAGAUCUACCAUGAGAUCGAAGAGGCUAAACCCUAGGAGCUAGCCUAUGGUAUGAUUGUUGACGUGUACGUUGUCCUACGGACUAAAACCCUUCGGUUUAUAUAGACACCGGAUAGGGUUAGGGUUACAUAGAGUCGGUUACAAUAGUAGGAGAUCUACAUAUCCGUAUCGCCAAGCUUGCCUUCCACGCCAAGGAAAGUCCCUCCCGGACACGGGACGAAGUCUUCAAUCUUGUAUCUUCAUAGUCCAGGAGUCCGGCUGAAGGUAUAGUCCGGCUAUCCGAACACCCCCUAAUCCAGGACUCCCUCGGUAGCCCCUGAACCAGGCUUCAAUGACGACGAGUCCGACGCGCAGAUUUUCUUCGGCAUUGCAAGGCGGGUUCCUCCUCCAAGUACUUCAUAGAAGAUUUUGAACACAAAGAUAGUAUCCGGCUCUGCAAAAUAAGUUUCCACAUAUUGCCAUAGAGAGAAUAAUAUUUACACCAAUCUAAUCUGCUGACAUAUUCCGUAGCGUGACACACCACGGCCAAGCCUUUAUCCGAGUCAUUUCAUUAUCCCACCUCAGCGCGUUAUGCGAGGCGGUUUCCUUGGCACGUCUUGUUAAAGCAGUGAUCGUGUCCCCUUAUCCUGGGAUUCUCAUCAAUACGGGCGUGGGUAACCCAACCGCGCCAUUGAUUACGGCGCUUGGAGAUAAGCGAGUUUUACCAGGCUGGUGGGGACAUGUAGUUGGGUCCACCCAUAUAAGGGGAUAAGGAUCCACCUUUUCACCUACGCCUUCUUCCUCCUUCGCCUAUCCAUUUUUGUGCACUCGAGCUCCAGCGCCCAAAUCUGCACUCCCCACCUCAACCUUCUCCAGCCAUGUCUGGAGCGGGAGGCAAGUGGAUGGUCUCCUCCGUCACGGAGGGACAUAUCAAAAAGCUGAGGAAGGCCGGAUACCUGUCUAACGAUAUCGCGUACCGGCUCCCCGAAAAGGGGCAGCUCAUCCCCACCCCUAGGCCCCAUGAGAGGGUGGUGUUCCUCCCCCAUUUCCUCCGCGGACUGGGCUUCCCUCUCCACCCAUUUGUCCGGGGGCUCAUGUUCUACUACGGCCUGGAUUUCCACGAUCUAGCCCCAAACUUUGUCCUCAACAUCUCAGCGUUUAUCGUCGUGUGCGAGGCCUUCCUCCGCAACCGCCCCCAUUUCGGCCUAUGGCUCAAGACUUUCAAUGUCAAGCCGAAGGUGGUGCGCGGCAACCAGGCAGAGUGCGGAGGUGCCAUGGUGGGCAAGAUGGCCAAUGUCCUAUGGCUCGAGGGCUCCUUUGUGGAGACCCUGAAGGGGUGGCAAUCGGGGUGGUUUUACAUCACCGAGCCACGUGACACCGAAUGGGUCGCACCCCCCGAGUUUUGAUCCGGACCCCCCACGUGGCUCACCUCCUGGAAGGAGAGGGGCCUGUCUUGGGGUAAAAAAGGAGAGCUGACCGGACUCCAAACAUGCAUCCAAACCCUGGCGGACAAGAAGCUCAAACUUGUCACAUAGUCCAGGUUAUGCUCAUCCGCCUGAUCCUCCCGUGUUAACAACGGGCUUUCAACCUGUGGGAGUUCGACCCGGCGCGGCACGGCACCAAACUCUGAGCAGGCUCUUUGACACGACAUACGAAGAUGCCUGGAAGGUGCUUUUCAAAGGCGCCGAGGCUCCCGCGUCCACUACCGAGGAUCGCGGAUUCAGUGCCCAGCAUCACGCUCUCGCGGUAAGAUGUUUUUUUCCUUUUAUAGGGUAUCAGUUUUUCAUAGUUUGACUCCAUGCGGGAUCUAAGCUCCCUUACCUCUGACAGGAUUGGCAGGUGACGUCCGGACAGAUCAACUGUCCGUCUGCUUUGCCCGAAGGCCCAGCGGACGCCCGCUUGGCGAAGCUGCUGGUUCCGGCACCCUAUGUGGUGCCGGAGAAGAAGGCUGUGAAAAAGGCCGUGGGGACUCGAAAGAGUGCCCGGCGCCAGGAGGUGUCGGAUCCAUCAUCCGAUGGUUCCGAGGCGCAUUCCUCCCAUGAAGACGAGGAGGAAGAAGAGGAGAACUCUCCCCCUCCAGCGGGAGGAGAGAAGAAAAGGAAGGUCGCCCUCUCUGGGGAGGCCGGAGGGUCCAAGAAGGGGAAAACCCUUCCUCCGGACUACUCCACCGACGCCGACGGCGGAGAGGAGUGGCAGCCCAGGGCCAAGCCCCUGGCAAAAUCGUAAGUAUCCGGAUACAAGAGUAAUUCAUAGUAUUCGUUUAUUGCACAGCUUUCCCUUACAUCGAAUAUGUUUAUGCAGCCCACCCAAAGACCGGCUCGACGCGUCAUCGAGCAGCUCAUUGGACUCGUNNNNNNNNNNNNNNNNNNNNNNNNNNNNNNNNNNNNNNNNNNNNNNNNNNNNNNNNNNNNNNNNNNNNNNNNNNNNNNNNNNNNNNNNNNNNNNNNNNNNNNNNNNNNNNNNNNNNNNNNNNNNNNNNNNNNNNNNNNNNNNNNNNNNNNNNNNNNNNNNNNNNNNNNNNNNNNNNNNNNNNNNNNNNNNNNNNNNNNNNNCACCGAAGUGUUGUCCCAACAGGUUCCAAGCCGGGAGGAGGUGGUCCUGGAGGCGUCGCAAGGCGACCUCCCGGACUCCAGGAGUAAAGGGGAUGAAACCCCCCAGGGCUCCAAGUCCGGCUCUAGGCCGGACACCGCUCCAGAACCUUCAAAGGUUCCAGAGUCCGGUGGUGGACCUCCUUCCAAGAGGAGCAAGUCCACUGUGCCGGCGGCCCCCGUCCAACCGGAGGCGCCGGACAAUAUGUUGGAGGCGCUCCAAGGCACCUCCAUCGACGAGGAGCACCGCACUAUUAUGAGUGCGGUGGUCCAGAAGGUUCAGUCCGCCAAGAGCGGACUGACUGAAGCUUGUACUAGCCUUUUGACAGGCUUUGAGGUAAGUAAAGAAUGUGUAAAUAAUACUAUCGCAUAGACAGUAGCCCCUGAUGCUCUCUUUGGCGUUCGGGAAGAAAAGCCGAAUAGAGGAUCAAAUAGAAUUCGCAGGAGUCUAACAAAAGUGAGUCAAUAUGCAUAUGCAGGCUUCCCUGCUUGCGUCUGCCGCACUGACUGCGGAAGUGGACACGCUAAAGCAGAACCUCGAGCGGUCCGAGCAAGAGCUCGGGCGUGCCAAGAAGCAGCUCGAGGAUAAUGAAGGUAAGAAAUACCUUGCUUUUAAAUAUAUAUAAAAAGGUACAAUUGCAAAGAAUGACAGGAUUAUCAUGGCUAUUUUAGGGGCCACAUCUGAAGUGGCGACCCUUAAGCAAGCGCUGGUCGAGGCCGAGAAGAGGGCGGCCUCAGAGCACACCGAGUGGGAGAAGUAUGAGGCCGAGGUUGGCAAGGUGAGGCAAGAGCUCCAGGCUCUCAUGGAAAAACAUGAGAGUUUGGAGCUUGACUCAAAGAUGCGAGCGUCCGAGCUCGCGGUGGCUAUUGAAAAUGCCAAGUCUGCCAAGGCCGAAUCCCAGAAGACCCUCCAGGAGUUGGAUGAGGUGAAGAAGAUAGCGGCGGGUAAGGCAUUCUUUAUGCAAAGCAAACACAUAAACGUGAGUUACUUGUUACUUACCCGAAUCCAGAGCUCUCCAGGAACGUUUGCAGAUCUUCCCCGGAGUGUGUCCGAUGCCGCCGCAUUCUAUCGAGCCGAGGAGGGCAGCUCGACAGAGAAGGUGUUCUGGUCUCAGUAUGCUGAGGACGGACACCCCGUGCCCCUGAGCGACCAGCUGAAGCAACUAGUCGAGCUCCACAAGGCGGCUGAACAGGCCAUGAAGGGCCUCAUUGUUCGGUUGUGGCCUGGAGGGGCUCUUCCUGGGAGCUAUUUCGGGCUGGUGCGGCGGUUGGUGGAGGCCUGUCCAAGGCUCGAAGUCAUCAAGCGCUCCGUCUGCAUUGAAGGUGCCCGUAGGGCCCUUGCCCAUGCUAAGGUGCACUGGGGCAAGCUGGAUGCUGAGAAGCUGGUGAAGGACGGGCCACCGCCGGGGAAAGAGCAUCGCAAGCCCGAGAAUUACUAUAAGGAUGUUCUAAAGGGUGCCUGCCUUGUGGCGGAUGAAUGUUCUAGGGAUGUAAUUUUUGAGUGAGACUUGCUCGUUUUGUCCUAUGCGCUGAAAACUUGUUUAUAUGCGCUAAGCAAUGCUGUUGGAAUUUAAAAUAUUACCUUAUGUGCGGCUGUUUAUCAAUUCUGAGAGAUGGCGAGUCGUCGGCUUCUGCCCCCGUGCCGCUAGUGCUGGGGUGUUCGGGGAUAAACCUGAGCGCUCUUUUUCCCAUGUUUGGGUCCUUCGAGGGAGGCGCUCAGCCCAACCAACAAGGCAAUCAGACUAUAAUGUGUGAACACUCUCACUUAGCGAUAGAAUUCUAUAAUUUUAAAUUUCGGCGAAGCCCCUGGUAUUUGCAAGACCAAGUUCCGGGCGCUAUCCACGCCCUGGCCGGACAGAGCCGGCUCCUCACCCUAAGCGGCAUAUGUCUUUAGGGACUCUAAAAACCUCUCGAACAGCGACCAACUCUCGCUUCAUCAUGACAGUCAGUUUUAGCUUUCUCCACUAAAGUGCUCGACCCAGCUCAACUGGGGCACAAUGGUAGUGGUUCUCCUAGUGCUACCUUAGCCGAUAUAGCGGAACGUAAGGCACCAAAACAUAGGAGCCGGGCAAACCCAACUAUUGACCCAAGACAUGAUUCGGAGCCGAUGCAUAUAAUGCUAUAAGUUCGGGGUGCCGCACUUGUUAAAGUGUUCUGACUUCUCACACCAUAUUGAGGGGUACUAAAGCCCCUGGCGUAUUUUGGCCGUACCAACGUGUACGGGUGCAACAUGUCGUUAAGGAACAUAUAUAAAGAAAAAAGGUAAUGCAAAAAUAGACGAAAGCUAUGCAUUGUUUAUUAAAAAGGGCUGCGAUCAAAGCAGAACGAUACAAAUAAUGCGAUAAGUGGAAGGUUGGACUAGUUAACAUGUCCGUUCCAGGGGCAAGCUGCGGAAUAGUAUGCGGAACAGGUAUACCGCUCGUGAUAGAGACCACCUGGGAGUUCUGUACUGCGGCGUGGCUUGUCUGCUUCCCUGGUUCUUGCAUCGUUUGUGCGGCAAUUGAACUGGCGAACAGGCCUUCCGAAGGAUGGAGUCCUGAAAGUAAGAUAAAAUUAAAAAAAUCGGCAGCCCCUGGUAUGGUUUAAGCCGUAUUUUUGGCCGUGACGUCAUGGUGCCCCUCCCCCUGUACCCAUGGUAUCUCUAGAGCGUAGUUAUGUACGCGAAGUACUGGCGUCGCCUUUUUGCGAGGGUUGGGGUUGGGGCCGCAUUGCUACGCCUGCUCGGAUCGUGCCAGGAGGUCUUGUUGUAGGUUACUCUGGGCGCGCUUCACGGUGUCCGGUCGUUUAGUGGCUGGACAGGAGAACUGCCUGCAGAGGCUGCUCUGUACUUGCGCUGCAAGGGCCGCCGUGUGCUCCUCCGUUCGGAGGGAGCGUUCGGUGUUUCCAUUGACCAUAAUUACUCCUCGAGGGCCUGGCAUCUUGAGCUUAAGGUAUGCAUAGUGCGGUACCGCAUUGAACUUAGUGAAUGCGGUUCGCCCGAGCAGUGCGUGAUAACCACCGCGAAACGGGACUAUGUCGAAGAUUAACUCCUCGCUUCAGAAAUUAUCCGGAGAUCCGAAGACCACUUCAAGUGUGACUGAGCCUGUACAGUUGGCCUCUACACCUGGUAUUAUGCCUUUAAAGGUCGUUUUGGUGGGCUUAAUCCUCGAGGGAUCUAUGCCCAUUUUCCGCACUGUAUCCUGGUAAAGCAGGUUCAGGAUGCUGCCGCCGUCCAUAAGGACUCUGGUGAGAUGAAAUCCGUCAAUAAUUGGGUCUAGGACCAAUGCGGCGAAUCCGCCAUGACGGAUGCUAGUGGGAUGGUCCCUUCGAUCAAAGGUGAUCGGGCAGGAGGACCAUGGGUUGAACUUUGGCGCGACUGGCUCUACCGCGUAUACGUCCCUUAACGCGCACUUCCGCUCCCUUUUCGGGACGUGGGUUGCGUAUAUCAUGUUCAGCGUCCGCACUUGUGGGGGAAAACCCUUCUGUCCACUGUUGUUCGGUGGCCGGGGCUCCUCGUCGUCAUCGCUAUGCAGCCCCUUGUCUUCAUUUUCGGCGUUCAACUUGCCUUCCUGCUUGAACACCCAACAAUCCCUGUUGGUGUGAUUGGCCGGCUUUUCGGGGGUGCCAUGUAUCUCGCACAAGUGGUCGAGUAUUCAGUCCAAACUGGACGGGCCCCUAGGAUUCCUUUUGAAUGGCUUUUUCCGCUGACCGGAUUUAGAGCCUCUGAAUCCGGCAUUGACUGUUGUAUCCUCCGCAUUGUCGCCGUUAAUGCGGCGCUUCUGCUUGUUGCGACGCGACCUGCCACUACUGUCCCUGGUGUCCGAAUUACCAGGGUUCUUGGUCAUAUUGUUGUUACGAGCAAGCCAGCUGUCUUCCCCCGCGCAAAAGCGGGUCAUGCGUGUCGUGAGUGCUGCCAUAGAUUUCGGCUUUUCCUGUCCAAGGUGCCGGGCCAGCCACUCGUCACGGAUAUUGUGCCUGAAGGCUGCUAGGGCCUCAGUGUCCGGACAGUACUAUGUGAUUUUUCUUUGUUAGGAACCGUGUCCAGAAUUUCCUGGUCGAUUCCUCUGGCUGCUGAAUUACGUAACUUAGGUCGUCGGCGUCUGGGGGUCGCACAUAAGUGCCCUGGAAAUUGUCGAGGAAUGCGGCUUCUAGGUCCUCCCAACAACGGAUUGACCCUGUUGGCAAGCUGUUAAGCCACUGCUGAGCUGGUCCUUUAAGCUUGAGUGGGAGGUAUUUGAUGGCGUGGAAAUCAUCGCCACGGGCCAUGUGGAUAUGAAGGAGAUAAUCCUCGAUCCAUACCGCACGAUCUGUUGUGCCAUCAUAUGAUUCGAUGUUUACGGGUUUGAAACCCUCGGGGAUUUGAUGAUCCAUUAUUUCGUCUAUAAAGCAUAGUGGGUGUGCGGCGCCUCUAUACUGGGCGAUAUCAUGACGUAGCUCCAAUGAGCUGUGUUCGGCCCUGCCGAAUUUGUGGCCGGCGUGACGGUUAGUGUCGGUGUCAAAACCGGCGAAUCUCGGGUAGGGGGUCCCGAACUGUGCGUCUAGGCCGGAUGGUAACAGGAGGCAAGGGACAUGAAGUUUUACCCAGGUUCGGGCCCUCUCGAUGGAGGUAAAACCCUACGUCCUGCUUGAGUAAUAUUGAUGAUAUGGGUAGUACAAGAGUAGAUCUACCAUGAGAUCGGAGAGGCUAAACCCUAGAAGCUAGCCUAUGGUAUGAUUGUUGUUCUGUAUGGUGUAUCGACUAGCAUAGCCCUGGUUUAUAUAAUGCACCAGAGGCCUAGUGUUAACAAGAGUCCUAGCCGAAUAUGCCAGUGGGGAGAAGUCCUUGUCUUGAUCGCCAAGUCUUUGUGGAAUCUUCCUUGUAUGCGGCAGCUGUCUGAACUGGCCCAUGAGUAUACGGCCAUGGGGGGCCUCGGCCCAAUCUAAUAUAUCGGGAGACGACGUGGUGAGUACCCCCUAGUCCAGGACACCGUCAGUAGCCCCCUGAACCAGUCUUCAAGUUAGGGACGCUCCAUGAUUCUUUCGAGAUGUUCUUCAUCUUCGGUCGUCGGUCUUGAAAACUGGUUCAACAAAUCUUCUUUAUCUUUGAUCUUGAGGAUCGCCGAAAUGCAUUCGCCGAGUUUACACGUCGGGUAUCCGAGGAGCCCCUUUAAGUUUCCGGCCUUUACCAAUGCCUUGUUAUGUUUAUGCCACACCUCGGGUUUGAAUUUGUUCCCGGCUGGCAGCGUCCUCUUGCGUCCGAGCUCCAACGCCGGAUUGUAUUCGAGGUAUCUUUUGCAACCGAGCACCAAUGCCGGACCGCUUCCCAGCUCUAACGCCGGAAUGUAUCCGAGCUCCAACGCCGAAUGUAUCCGAGCUCCAACGCCGGACUGUAUAUCCGAGCUCCAACGUCGGACUGUAUCCGAGGUGUCGUAAAUCACCUUGGUUCAAAGAAGUUUGAAGGAGUUUAGCCGAGCUUAAUGCCGGAAAUGCCCUCUAUGGAGCCAGCCACUAGCGCCCGAGCUUUAUGCCGGGCUGCUUCCGAGGUGGUGCACCACCCCGAAUGUGGGCCGAUUUUUGUGAAUAUUUUUUAUUGGUGCAAUUUAUUCUCUGCCGAGAUAUAUAGCCAGUAGCCCUCAAGGUGUGUAUCGGUCUAAAACCCGAGAUGCACCUGAAGGAUGACAUAAGACUGCUGAUCCCAAUAGCCGCUGAGACUCAGGUUGAUUUGCAAAAUGGGCCUGAGGAUCAAGUCCAAGCUCGGCUGAAUACUUCGGGACACUAAAAGCGGUGUGCUCAGUCCUCGAGACUCAGGUUGGGUGCGGCCGACCAACCUGAGGAUCAAAAUCUCCUCGGAAACUAUAUUGCACAUAAAAUUUUCUGCAUUGGACAAGCAAUGCAGUAGCCCCCGAGACACUGGUCGGGUGGUAACACCAGAUCAGGGGAUCAAUGUGCCCCUUUAGUAUUUGUAAAUAAUAAGCCCGAAGCCCAGUAGCCCCCGAGCAUUAAUGCGGGCACGGGUGGCCGAAUUAAGUUUCAAUAUCCAUAGUAAAAUCACAAAUUAUGUGUAAUGACUCUAUGUAUCCAAGUACUUUACGUCAUUAAUGCUCAGAUCCGCAUUGUACAAAACUUUGUUGACCGACCAUCGGCUUCCACCUCCUCGGCCAGUAGCCGAGGAGUGUUUGUCCUACUUUAUAAAGCCUUUAUGAGGGCAAAGAUUUACAACAAACAAGGCAAUCUGGCUAGACGGUUUUAUAAACAAAGGUACGCAGAGAGAUAUAUUACUGUUUAACAGAAGAAAUGUCUUCCAAAGAAAAUAGUCUCGCUAUCGGUUCCUUUCUUUGGGUUGUCAUGCUAAGCAUGAUCAUUAAACCACAGCUCUAAUGUAAGAGCAAAAUAUUGAGGAUUUAGUUUGGGAGGCCAGUUAAUAGCCCCCGGUAGAGUUCGGCGACAAUCGGGGUCAAGCCGUAAACACUUCGGCCAAAGUUAUGAACGGCCCAUCAUUUAACAUAGUCAUCGGAUCGCUGACCAGUUUACGCUUAUUGUGAAAGUCAGUUUUUGGCUUUCUCCACUGAGGUGCUUAACCAUGUGAGCUGGAAGCACAAUCGCAGUGGUUCUCCCUUUGCACGCCUAGCCGAACAAAACGGAACGUAGGAAGCAACUGCAGGAGCCGGGCAACCCAACUAUUGACCGAAGACACAAUUCGAAACCGAUGCAUAUAUAGAAAUAUCUGAGAAUGUUUUUGCCGAAUCCCUAAAGGUGUUCGGCGUUGCACUGCGAGACUAAUGCUGGAAAAGCACAAAUAGUUUAAAAGUGCCAAAAAGCUUGGAAAACCAAGAAACGUCAGUAAAAACAUGACGUCCGAACAAUAUCAAGUGUUCGGUGCCAAUCCGAAAGUUGGUCUUAGAAAAAAGAAGUGUUUCUAUCGUGCUUUAACAUGAUAUAUCCUAUCUCAAGACUUCGAGCGGGUCAGCCUACGGCUUCAACCUCCUAUCCCGAGGGCGGAGUACUUCUCAUCAGGCCAGUUUAGCAAACUAAACUCUAGCGGCUUUGAGAGAGAAAUUAGGCUCCCCGGCUAGUGACCGCACACUCGUGUCGAAAAAAGGUGUGAUAAAUAAUAAUAAAAAAACUUUGCAACGACUAAGAAGAAGAACACUUAUUAUAGAACGGCUCAAAUAAACUUAAGAGCCCCCAAGUGACUUGGGUAGAAGAAUGAUUGCAUGUACCGAAGUACUUAUAUCAUAUCUAUGUUCAACCGAACUUUAAACGCGUCUUGACCGACCGUCAGCUUCUCCCUCUUUAGUCAAGGACUGAAAAGUGUUAUGUACUCCAUCGGUCGAGAAUAUCGACGGUGUUUCCAAUAACCAGGCAAUCAGGCCAUAAGGCUGUAACAAACAAAGCGCGCUCAGGGAACUUAUGCUAUAUUACCGUGAAGUGUAAGAAGCAUCUUCGAAGAAAAUAGUACCCCCACCGAUACCUUUCUUCGGUGCUCAUUGUUAUUAUGAGACUUGUGCAAUAGAUUUUUUGUACUCAUGAGUUCCGAUGUGUGCCGACCAUCAUUGAAAACUAUAAGAGCGCUAGCUUUCGGCUUCACCCAGUCUGAGGUCCGGCUCGGGUGACCCGAUCGUGACAAUCGCAGAGGUGAUCCCUUUACUCCCUAGCCGAACAAUCGGGAGCGUAGGGGUAAACGCAGGAGCGAGGCAACCCAGCUUGCAAAUCGCUUAAGUCAAUAUGGUGCAUAUUGUGGCGUAAUACACGAACAAGGAACGAAGCCGUACAAGUAUAAUCAUUUGCAAGUGGAAAAGCUUCAUAAAGGAAGCCCCCAAAUGAAUUGGGUAUUUGAAUUUAUGCGUCACAAACAAAGUUUGGACAAGGAAAUUUUUUACACGCAACUUUUUUCCAAGAAAGUAUAAUGCUUGGUCGAACCGAACACAAGUUAGAAAUUAAAGCUUUGAGCAUGAAAGCGACUUAGCUGGUUAAUGUGUUCGGUAUUGAUGAUGCGGUUUGAGCUUGAUGUGGGGCAAGGUUCCAUCCCCCAAGCUGGUCCCGAGGUGGUGGAGCGAAGAGCUCGUGUCGGGGGUUUGGUGCGACAUAUGCCAACGGAUGGCUUAUCAUGGUGGCGGCGAGUAGAACAUCGCCGGUGCCUGGAAACGGGAUGAGGCGAAGACAUGCACGCCGGUGAAUCUUACCCAGCUUCGGGGCUCUCCGGGGAGAUAAUACCCCUACUGCUGCUCUGCGUGGUGUCCGCAUGAUCACUAUGGUCAAGAGUUUACACGGUUGCUCCUUGAGCUGUGUCUGGUGGUAGGAGAGGGCAAGGCUAGCUCUCUCCUCCUAUCUGGUAUGGUAUAGAACUACUGGCAUCCAACCCUUUGCAUGGGUGCCCUGGGGGCUUAUAUAGGCCUACCCCCCAGGGGUACAAUGGUAAUUCGACUGGGCGCGGGCCCAGCCGUCAGUGCCUCCGACCUCCGACUUCUCCGCUGACUGCUGGGGCCCGCCGACUGGUGGGCCCCGCCGACUGGUCUGGUACGGAGCCGAUAGGCCGCGUCCGCCGCGGGCGUGUCUUGCCGGCUGCUGAUUACUGUAGUCGUGCUCCUGAUGACGCAAGCUUGGUCAUGGGGUCGUGGCAAUAGCCCCGCCGCCUGGCGGGCCAUCAAUCUGGCCACUCUCCAUCUCUUCUUGAUUAAUGGUGCGUGGGCCCUGGGGAAGGGCUCGGCCGACUCCCCCGGGCCGACUCCCGACGGGUCCGACUGGCGAUUCUCCUGCCGUCUCCCGAGGUCUUGCUGACUGGUGGGCCCCGCUGCCUCCAGGCCGUACAGACAAGCCGUCGUGGGCGCAGGACCCGGUACAGUGGUGCUGAUGUCAGGGCCGGCCGGGUAACAGUGCCAUGCCACAGGGAGGUCUUCCCUAGUACGGCGUGCUGUAGCCAUGCCUACCCUUGGUAAGGGGCGGGGAGUGGGCUUCAUUGUAGCCACGCCCCUGCCCCGUCCCCUUCGAUGAGGUCACGGUUUGUUGGAGUCGCCGGCCGACUCCCCAAAGCCGGCUUCUCUGGAAGUCGCCCCUGGGACUCGGCCGUGAGUGGGCAGUCGGCCAUCUUGCCGUAGACUCCCCAGGAGGCGGCUCUUCGCCCUGUGGUCUUGAGGGGCGCAGCCUACCCCGAUGUCUUGAAAGGUUUGGGGCUCGGGUUGGCCUACCCGUGGCCCAUUACUCCGACAGUAGUCCCCGAAGCUGGUGAGGCACCACGGACGAUCGGCCGAGAAGCCUCAGCAGUUUCUCUUUCCGGGUGCUCAACACAUGGUCUUGAUUGACUUCUGUCGGGCUGACUAGAAGGAGUCGAACUCGCCCAACUCGGACUCCAUCAAUUCCGACUUGCUCAGUAGUUCGAACGUCGCGGCGGGAUUUCAAGUGCCGUGCUAGCUAAGCUUCCAGGCUGCCGCCCGUUCUUGGCCUGUCACGCGAGGGCAUGUGCCAGGCCGUCCUGCCAGCCCACGCGCGCGACGGGACAGGCCCGUAGGCAGGGCCCGCCACUACCACGCCUCGGCGCCCGAGCAGAUCCGCUGCGGCCCCGGUGGACGGUUGGGAUUCCCGUGAAGUUACUACACGCAGUAACUUUACACGGAUCGUGGGGUUGCGGGCACAGUAAAUCCCCACGUCCGCCCCCUCGGCUUCGCAGCCCACGGGGCUAUAAGUAGGGGGAAGAGGGGGGCACGCGUGCCCCUCCUUCCCACUACCCCUUUCUUUCUUCCUCCUCGCAGCUCCUCGCUCUCCUGCUUCCUCUUCUCUUCUUCGCUGCGCCGCACGCCCAGGCUCCGGUGAACGCUGCGGUGACAGCUCGUGAUGAGUUCUUCCUCCACUGCCGCGCCUCCCCCAGUGCGCUCCGGCACCUGGGACGGCUCCGAAGUCCACGAAGACCAUAUCGAGUUCCUCCGCUGGACACGUCGGCUUCCCGGCGAAGAUCGUGUGCAGGUGCGUCUUGCACCGGCGGGGGAGAUUUCCCCCGCCCCGCAGGAGGGCGAGCGGGUCAUCUUUCGCUCGCACUGCCUGCACGGGCUGGGGCUGCCAGCGAGCAGCUUUUUCGGUCGUUCAUGGAGUUCUACCGCCUCUAGCCGCACCACCUCACCCCCAAGAUAGUGGUGCUGCUGUCCGCCUUCGUGGCUCUGUGCGAAGGCUUCCUCGGAGUCCUCCCCACCCUGGAGCUCUGGGGGGAGUUCUUUUUCUCCAAGCUCGGCACCCAGACCGCGGGUGUGCCGGCUCAGUGCGUCGCCUUCAUCGCCGUGCGAAGGACAGGAGCCGACAACCACUUCCCAUCCAUCUCGCUACUGAAGUCGGUGAAGAUGUGGCAGAGGUCCUACUUCUACGUCAGGAACGUCGCCACGAGGGGCGACCGGGUCAAUCUGCCGGCUUUCGAAGCUGGCCCGCCGGCUGGGAGAUUGCCCAACUGGUCGUACUGGGCCAGGUCGCUGACGCCUGCGGUUGCUUGAGGGCAAUGUUGACGUUGAGCCCCCGAGCUUCAUAGAUGAUUCCUCCGUGAUCUUGAUAGAGAUCGGAGUUGAUGUUUGAUGAAGGCCCUCGUCCGAACAUGGUGAUCCGAACACGGGGUGAAAUUCUUGGUCGAACCAAGGUGACCAGUCGAACUGGUGACGAAGACGCCGAAGUCGCAGUUGAUCUACAGGCGAGCCAUCGAUCCUUUUGUCGAUCAUACAGCGGAACUCUCAAUGAAAGCACCAAUGUCCGUGUCAAAACCGGCGGAUCUCGGUUAGGGGGUCUCGAACUGUGCGUCUAGGCCGGAUGGUAACAGGAGGCAAGAGACACGAAGUUUUACCCAGGUUCAGGCCCUCUCGAUGGAGGUAAAACCCUAUGUCCUGCUUGAUUAAUAUUGAUGAUAUGGGUAGUACAAGAGUAGAUCUACCACGAGAUCGGAGAGGCUAAACCCUAGAAGCUAGCCUAUGGUAUGAUUGUUGUUCUGUAUGUUGUAUCGACUAGCCUAGCCCUGGUUUAUAUAAUGCACCAGAGGCCUAGUGUUAACAAGAGUCCUAGCCGAAUACGCCGGUGGGGAGAAGUCCUUGUCUUGAUCACCAAGUCUUUGUGGAAUCUUCCUUGUAUGCGGUAGCUGUCCGAACUGGCCCAUGAGUAUACGACCAUGGGGGGCCUCGGCCCAAUCUAAUAGAUCGGGAGACGACGUGGUGAGUACCCCCUAGUCCAGGACACCGUCAGUUACCUUCUCGAGCCGUGGGGCGCCCACGCGAUCCGUAGAUCGAGCGUGUUUGCCUUGCCUUGUCCUCCAACAUGUCUCGUAAGUCCGGCGCAUAUUCUCGUGCCUUGAUACGGGGUGCGGCUUGAGUGGAGGGCCGGGAGGCCUCUCUGUCGCGGCCAUGAGGUGGCCGGUCGGCCGCAUCAAGUGCUUCCUCCUCUAACCGGGGUAGCAACCUGUGCUUUGGGUAGCUCUUGGAGGGGCGUUCGAGUUUAUGCUCUUCGGCCGCAAGGACUUCAGUCAAUCUGUCGACCAGCAAAUCUUGAUCAGCUCUAAGUUGUUGCUUUUUUUUCUUGAGGCUUCUUGUCGUGGCCAUAAGCCUGCGUUGAAAAUACUCUUGCUCGACGGGAUCCUCUGGCAUGAUGAAUUCAUCGUCGUCGAGGCUUGCCUCGUCUUCGGAGGGAGGCAUAUAAUUAUCGUCCUCGACCUCUCUGUCUGCCGCUCUCUCAUGAGGGUUGGUUUCUCCAUCCUCCUGUGCUAAGUCUUGCUGGAGGGGGUUUUCUUCGGCACUUUCCGGAGUAUUAUUAUCUCCCAUGCUGGAAUCGCCGUAUUUGUUUUGGCGGGAUUUUGAGCGGCUCCGCUGACGCCGGCGCUUACUCUGUUUCUUGGAGGGAUCCUCCUCCGCUGUUCCAUCGCCAUCUCCCUCUUUUGGGGUGUCCACCAUGUAUAUGUCAUAUGACGAGGUGGCUUUCCAGGGCCUAGUAGGCGCUGGUUCUUCAUCAUCUCCUUCAUCGGCAUCCAUACCGUCGAUGUCUUCGGUGUCGAAGUCGAGGAUGUCGGUUAAGUCGUCGACAGUGGCUACAAAGUGGGUGGUGGGUGGGCUUUGAAUUUCUUCAUCGUCCGUACCCCAACCUUGCUGACCGUAGUCCGGCCAGGGCUCUCCUGAUAAAGAGAGAGACUUCAGUGACUUCAGGAUAUCGCCGAAAGGCGAGUGCUGAAAGAUGUCCGCGGCAGUGAACUCCAUAAUUGGCGCCCAAUCGGAGUCGAUUGGCAGGGACGUGGAGGGUUCGGAGUCCGGCUCCUUGGAGUCACGAGUCUCGUAGAGUACGGGGCUAGUGUUCGGCUCAAUCACCAUUGGGGUCGCAGCCCCCGGGGUGGCGUCCAACCGCCCAUCCUCGAUCGGCGCAGUUGGCUCCGAAUUAAGGGUUGGAGCCGAUGCGGGUGCGGCCUCCAGGGCACUGUUCGGCGGCAGAGCUAGAUCAUGCUCGUCAUGACAGUGCGGCGCGCUCGGCAGUGGCUCGAAUCCGUCGAAGAUCAAGUCCCCGCGGAUGUCCGCCGUGUAGUUUAAACUUCCAAAUCUGACCUGACGGCCAGGGGCGUAGCUUUCCAUCUGCUCCAGACAGCCAAGAGAAUUGGCCCGCAGUGCGAAGCCGCCGAAGACGAAGAUCUGUCCGGGGAGGAAGGUCUCACCCUGGACUGCAUCGCUAUCGAUGAUCGUAGGAGCCAUCGAGCCUGACGGCGACGACACAGAGGAACUCUCAAUGAAAGCACCAAUGUCGGUGUCAAAACUGGCGAAUCUCGGGUAGGGGGUCCCGAACUGUGCGUCUAGGCCGAAUGGUAACAGGAGGCAAGGGACACGAAGUUUUACCCAGGUUCGGGCCCUCUCGAUGGAGGUAAAACCCUACGUCCUGCUUGAUUUAUAUUGAUGAUAUGGGUAGUACAAGAGUAGAUCUACCACGAGAUCGAAGAGGCUAAACCCUAGGAGCUAGCCUAUGGUCUGAUUGUUGAUGUGUAUGUUGUCCUACGGACUAAAACCCUUCGGUUUAUAUAGACACCGGAUAGGGUUAGGGUUACAUAGAGUCGGUUACAAUGGUAGGAGAUCUACAUAUCCGUAUCGCCAAGCUUGCCUUGCACGCCAAGGAAAGUCCCUCCCGGACACGGGACGAAGUCUUCAAUAUUGUAUCUUCAUAGUCCUGGAGUCCGACUGAAGGUAUAGUCCGGCUAUCCGAACACCCCCUAAUCCAGGACUCCUUCAGCCGUCAUCACGGAGGGCUUCUACAUCAUCAUCGCCCCUCCGAUGAAGUGUGAGUAGUUUACCUCAGACCUUCGGGUCCAUAGUUAGUAGCUAGAUGGCUUUUUCUCUCUUUUUGGAUCUCAAUACAAAGUUCUCCCCCUCUCUUGUGGAGAUCUAUUCGAUGUAAUCUUCUUCUUUUUGCGGUGUGUUUGUUGAGAUCGAUGAAUUGUGGGUUUAUGAUCAAGUCUAUCUAUGAAUAAUAUUUGAAUCUUCUCUGAAUUAUUUUAUGUAUAAUUGGUUAUCUUUGCAAGUCUCUUCGAAUUAUCUGUUUGGUUUGGCCAACUAGAUUGGUAGUUCUUGCCAUGGGAGAAGUGCUUAGCUUUGGGUUCGAUCUUGCGGUGUCCUUUCCCAGUGACAGAAGGGGCAGCAAGGCACGUAUUGCAUCGUUGCCAUCGAGGAUAACAAGAUGGGGUUUAUUUCAUAUUGCAUGAAUUUAUCUCUCUACAUCAUGUCAUCUUGCUUAAAGUGUUACUCUGUUUUUAACUUAAUACUCUAGAUGCAUGAUGGAUAGCGGUCGAUGAGUGGAGUAAUAGUAGUAGAUGCAGAAUCAUUUUGGUCUACUUUUCACGGACGUGAUGCUUAUAUACAUGAUCAUGCCUAGAUAUUCUCAUAACUAUGCUCAAUUCUGUCAAUUGCUCAACAGUAAUUUGUUCACCCAUCGUAGAAUACUUAUGCUCUUGAGAGAAGCCACUAGUGAAACCUAUGGCCCCCGGGUCUAUUCUCUUCAUAUCAAUCUCCAUCACUUUAAUCUUGCUUUGCUUUUUUACUUUGCCUUUUACUUUUCACUUUGCAUCUCUAUACCAAAAAUAUUAUAUCUAUUAGAUCUCACUCACAUAAGUGAUCGUGAAGGGAUUGACAACCCCUAAUCGCGUUGGUUGCGAGUAGCUAUCGUUUUGUGCAGGUACGAGGGACUUGAGCGUGGCCUCCUACUAGAUUGAUACCUUGGUUCUCAAAAACUGAGGGAAAUACUUACGCUACUCUGCUGCAUCAUCCUUUCCUCUUCGGGGAAAUCCAACGCAAGCUCAAGAGGUAGCAAUAAGGAUUUCUGGCGCCGUUGCCGGGGAGUCUACGCAAAAAGUCAAUAUACCAAGUACCCAUCACAAUCCCUAUCUCUCGCAUUACAUUAUUUGCCAUUUGCCUCUUGUUUUCCUCUCCCCCCAAUUCACCCUUGCCGUUUUAUUUGCCCUCUCUCUCUAUCCUCCCUCUCUGUUUCCUUUUUCCCUCGCCAUGUCAGAACCAAAAAGAGUUGGGGGUUUUCUCCCAAGUUCUAGUGCUUUAGACAGUCCUGCUAUCUUAUCUAAACUUAUAAAUCGGAAUGCUAUAGAACAACUUGCCGGAGUUAUCAAUGAGAACCUUAGUAAUUUUGAUGAAGAUGAUUCUGGAAUUUUCCGUUAUUUACUUGAUGAAUCUUUGAAAGAUUCUUGGGAUAGGUUGUUAAGGAUUCGGGCUAGCUAUGUACCCCAAUAUCAAAUUGAGGUUUACUUAAAAAGCUUUUAUGUUGGGCUGCCCGCUUCGUUCAAACAAGUUUUAGAUUCUAUUUGCGAGGGGGGUUUUCUUGAAGGGGACCCCAUAGAUACCUAUGAAAGGAUGAAAACUAUAUUUGGGCACCCCAUUAAUGAGAAAACUGAAAUCACAUCCCUCUUCCGGUGGAGCACCGGAAGAGGCCCCAAGAUGGGAUCUCGUGGAUAUAGAAAGUUGCGGCGGUGGAAUUAGGUUUUUGGCUCCCCUUCUGAUCGUUUGGGGGUACGUGUGUAUAUAUAGGAGGAAGAAGUACGCCGGAGGAGCAACGAGGGGCCCACGAGGCAGGGGACGCGCCCUAGGGGGGGCGCGCGCCCCACCCUUGUGACCGCCUCUUUUGUUCCUUGGAGCAGGGUCCAAGUCUCCUGGAUCACGUUCGGUGAGAAAAUCACGUUCCCGAAGAUUUUAUUCCGUUUGGACUCCGUUUGAUAUUCCGUUUCUUCGAAACACUGAAAUAAGCAAAAAACCGCAAUUCUGGGCUGGGCCUCCGGUUAAUAGGUUAGUCCCAAAAAUAAUAUAAAGUGGAAAAUAAAGCCCAAUAUAGUCCAAAACAGUAGAUAAUAUAGCAUGGAGAAAUCAAAAAUUAUUGAUACAUUGGAGACGUAUCAACCAUGAAUAAAAUGUGAACCACCAUCAGUCAUUAAAUAUCUAGGGACUCCGAAAAAUAACUCACUACAAAAAAAUACACUUCUGUGAUGAUACGUGUUUGUCACAGUAGGUCGCGUUUUCUGUCAUGCAUGUACAUCCAUGACAAAUUUAUGACAGAAUCAAGAUAGACAUACCUGUGCUGUCGUAGAAGUGUUCCAUGACAUUACCAAAAUUAUCAUCACGGAAGUGUCCACUUCCAUGACGAUAAAUCUCGCGUCACAGAAGUGCUUUCGUCAUGGGUGAUCGACACGUGGCAUCCACCGUAACGGAACACCGUUAAGCUAUCGGGUCGGGUUUUGGAUCCGAUAACCCGUUAACAGCCCCGACCAAUGGGGAUUUUCCACGUGUAAAAUCAUCAUUGGCUGGAGGAAACACGUGUCGUCUCAUCAUUGGGACAGAUGUCAACCACUCAUUGGACGGAAGGCGCCUAUGAUACGUCGACACGUGGCACGGACCAACAGAGGUCCAUUCCUGUGAAAAGGCCGGCCCGUUUGACUUGGUCAAAAGCUAGCGGGCCGGCCCAUGGAAAGCCUGUUAACGGCAUGUCCGAAUAUAGCCCAUUUACAGCCCGCUAACCCAAGGCCCGUUACACCCUAUUCGUAUUAGGCCCAGUAGCGUCAUCUGGGCCAUCCAAUAUGAUUCCAGCCCAUUUUCACUUCUGGCCCAUGUAUGGCCCAUGAUGUUUUUCGGCCCAUAUGAGGCCCUAUGUAACUCUUGGCCUACUAACGGCCCAUGGUGAAACUGGCCUGUAAUGAAUAGUGUAUCACUUUACACCCAUUAACGGCCCGUGGUGAAACUGGCCCGUAAUGAACAGUGUAUCACUUUAUACCCAUUAACGGCCUGUUAUUCCGUUGGGCCGUUUCCAGCCCAUGUUAUCUUUCGGCCUUCUCAGAGCCCAUUUAUUCUUGGGCUCAUUUUCAGCAUUCGUUUACUUACGGCCCGUUGUUGUCAUUUUCUGCUUGUGGGCCAAAUUCAGCCCGUGGUUACAGUCGGCUCAUUUGUGGCCCGUUAAUAUGUUGGGCUGACUUCAUAGCGUCAUCAAAUACGGCCUAUUAACGAUGGCCCGUUAUGGUCGGCCCAUGAAUGGACGAUUCCAUCUCUAGCCCGUUUACGGCCAUAAUGCGGUCUGUUUGGCCCAUGUUUGGCCAAUCGAUUAUACGGCCCGUAUAAGGCCCAUUGAUAAUACGGCCCGUAGAAGGCCCAUUGUUUCUACGGCCCGUAGAAGGCCCACUGUUUCUAUGGCCAGUAGGAGGCUCAGUGUCACUACAGUAAAUAUUAGCCCAUGGUUAUUGUGGCCUAGUUUUAAAAAAUAGGUUAUUGCAGCCACUAGCUAACCGCGGAAAAAGAACUGCAAUGACUACAAGCAAACAAAUAAACAAGACAACAAGGAAAUAAAUAAGCAAGCAACUAAUGCUAGGCUUCAUGGCUAUUACACAUAAUACAUCCACUGGGCAUCAAAGUUCGCCACCAGUGCAAAUAUAGGGAACAAAGCAGCAUAUCAUAUACACUGGUUGUCAAAGUUGGUGACCAACGCAAAUAAAUGCCGCAGCAAAACAAAUCCAGAACUGAAACCACUUCAGAAGAUAUCAAGAAACAAUAUCCUGGGUACCCAUAAUGCUGGCAGGAUACUUAGCAAGCUUAUUAAAUUUCUCUUGUUUGGCGCUUAAAUCCUCUAGCGCUUGCUGUUGCACCAGAAAAUAUGCAUCUGAAUUCUGCAGCGACUUCCUCAGUCCUUCAGCUUCCUGUCGCAGCACAUCUGAUCGAUGUCUUUGAACUUGAAGUUGAGACUCAAGAAGACGAACUGAUUCAAGCAGCGAGUUUGAAGAGCUUGUGCCAGCAGUAGUGGCCAGUAACUCGAACACUACAUCAAGACAGGACUUUUGGGUUCCCUCACCGUCUUCAAGAUAGUUUUUAUCAGCUUUCUUGGAGACCAACAGGGAUGUCUCACUAUCUUGAACCUUAUCUGUAUUACUUCCUUUACCAUUGGAUAACGCGCUACUGUUCUCCAAUAUUUUGUCCGCAUUCUAAAAGAGAAACAAGCAGACACAUCAUAUGUUUACCACGCGGCAUCGGAGUGAAGUGUAGCUAAAUCGGAGCAGCAUCGCAAGCAAUAGCAAGAGCGAGAGCAGCAGCGUGGGCAAGAGCAAUAGCAAGACCAGACCAGGCAGGGGACCGAGAGCAAGAGCAGAGCAGCAGCGCGAGCGAGAGCUAAAGCAGCAGCAGGUCCUACUGAUGUGGACGUCGCCGCCGAGGGAGCGACACCGUGGAGGAAGUGGCCGGUGAUGCCGCCGUGGAUGGAGCCGCGCCAUGUCGGCUCGGGACCGAGCGCCGGCAGCACCGUGAGAUCGAAUCAAGAAGAAAAUGCGACGAUUAGUGUACAACCUCUUUGGUGGCGCCGAUUAGGCCGCAACUUCAUCUGAGGAAACGGUGAUGAUGAUGCUCUUCCGGUGGUGCAGGUGAAGACGGUGGUGUGGGAAUGGAGGUGGCGCGAAAGACGAGGGGAACAUCGGGGCAGCUCCUUGGAGGUGGAGGACGGGGUGGCUGAACCGACAGGACGAUGAGAUCAAUGACGGAUCCUCAUCCGGUACGGUGGAUGAGGGACGUCGAGGUGUUGCUGUGGACGACGUCGUCGGGGAAGAGGCUCCGGCUGGGUGGCAGACGGAGCAGGGUGUGGGGUUUUGUCACGGGUUUUCGCGGCCUCGGUGUACGAAUGGGUGGACGGAUGGGAUGGUAGUGGGGAACCAUGGCUUAGAGACGCGCUUGUCCGAAAUGUGGGGUAAGUUACGGAAGUACCCCCACCGAUUUGAGGUGGUUCUUUCGGUUCAGGGGUACCACGGGCAUUUCGUGUGUCGGGAUUUCACAGGAGGUGGGAGUUUUCACACUCGUUGUAAUUUCGGAAUAGCAAGGCGCGGGUUGAUAUGGAAGGAGUUGUCGGAGCACAACGAGACAAAAAUAUAUCUUAAAUAUUUCGGGCUAAUAAGGCGCGGGUUGAAAUUUCCGGACAAGCCUAACGUGUAUUGUACCAAAUCAAUGUGCCCUACAAAUGUCAUUCAAAACUUUGAAUUCAUGUUAUGUUAAAUUAAAAUAUUUCGCUACGUGUAUAAUGCAUGCAACCUACUACUCAAAUGAACGUUUUAGUGCAUUCCAAACCUAUAUACUACCGCUUCAAUAUGAACUAAAUUUGAAUUCGUCUCUCUAUUUGAAUAAGAUCUACAAUAAUGAUUGUUGUGAAGUCAAAGCAUUUGAAUUCGUUUCUCUGUUUUAAUAAGAUCUACAAUCAUCAUUAUUGUCAAGUUAAACCAUCAUUUGUGUAUUAUCUUCACAGCACACCACAUGAUUAGUCUCGAGUUACAUAUGAACUAUGUGUACUAUAUGAACUCGAACUAAAUUUUUUGAAUCCACUUUAUUUUGAUUUGAAAUCACAUUACAUUUCUAGCUCUAGCUAGAUCUUCAUAAUCUAAACCAUGUAUCAUAUGUAUAAUGUGUUUAUCACAUUAUGUAUGGUGCCCCGCCCCCUACGCCUACAAGUAUUUAGAUGUGAGUUGCAAACACCACACAUUACCACAAAUUCAAAUAAAAUGUGAGAAUGUUCGAUAUAUAGUAUUGUUUAGAUUGUUCCAUAUUUAGUUGUAAGCUGCAAACGCCACACAUUAUCACAAAUUCAAAUAAAAUGUGAGAUUGUUUGAUGUAUAGUAUGGUUUAGAUUGUUCGGCAUUUAGCCGUGAGUUGCAAACGCCAUGCAUUAUCACAUUAUGGUAUACCGUGUGCACCACACGUGUAUCACCGCUAUAUUCAUGCAUGCAAUGUUUAAAACACUAUGAUCUCCUAUUCAAAUAUAUGAAUCCACUUCCAUAUCAAAUUAUGAUCUUUGUUAGUCUCUUACACCCACACAAUCCUCUAACCUUUGUAGCUACCACUAACUUUCUCUCGUGCAUGCACAUGCCCUCCUCGCCCCCCUCCCUCGGCAUUCUAUCCACCGGGCACAUUCAUUUUUUUUCUUUAGGUCGUUCUCCCAGAGUCUCCACAACUCCUUUCCGACACACACCACCGAUAGAUAAACUUCUCCAGCGAUGCCUGCCUACAACAUACAAACACACCUUCAAUCUCCUCCUAGGAGGUGGUUUGCGGUUUAUCCUUUUCUAUCUCUCUAUACAAAUUUUCUAACGUGCACUGCUGUACUACAACUAAAUCAAAUUUACUGAAUAUUACGUAUGUAGAAUUCCAAAAUAUCUGUCUAUGAAUUAAUGCACAAACUUCUAAGUGUCAAGAUGUUGAUUCUAUCCAAUUUUGGUAUUAGUUAUCUUAUAUUUAUUGAUCUUUGUAUUGCUGCUCAAUGUUCUAAGCAUGGAUAUAAUGACUCUGUCUCAUUUUGUUAUUAUUGCCAUGUAAAUGUUGUCUUUACCCUUUUAUUUUGUAUAGUAAGUACAUUUGAUUGAGGCUAAUAUCCUGUUACUUGACAUGGCAGUGACUAUCUCUUUAAGCUUCUGCUUAUCGGAGACUCAGGUGUUGGCAAGUCAUGCCUCCUCUUAAGAUUUGCUGUAAGAGUCCCUAUCUAAAGCAUGAUUUGUUCACUAUCUUUUAUAGGUCUUCCUUUUUUUAAUAUGCAUCUUCAUCUUAAAAGUUUGAUAUAAGUUUUCUUCGGGAUAUCAUGGAAACUGUAAAAAAAAAUUAGGCUCAGUAAACUGUAUGAUUUCCCACUACUUAAUACGAAUGAGGAGUUCAUUGUUGGUAGCUACUGUUUCUUAACAACAUGGAGAUGAUCCCUAUAACAAUCUUGUUGUUACUAGUUAAUUUACUCUGACCUCCUUAAUAUCGACUCUUUUGGCAGGAUGACUCAUACCUGGAGAGUUAUAUCAGUACUAUUGGUGUUGAUUUUUGUAAGUAUAUUUAGUUUCUUGGUCUGAGUGUUAAUGUUCUGGCUACCUUAAUUGAACUUGUAGUUUUGUUUUCUUCCAACUUUGUCGAUAGAAAAUACGUACCGUGGAGCAAGAUGGAAAGACUAUGAAGCUGCAAAUCGUGAGUCCAUUCUUUCUUUCAUUAUGUCCAGUAUGCAUGUACCAUCAAAUCCAGAUUGUACAUCGAAUCCAGAUUUGACAAAAUAGAAGACUUUAUCGGGAAACAUUUCAUUUAUAGCCCUCUUCUGUUUUGUGGAGUUUGCUGGAUUUUCCCUUUGCAUAAUAUAGCAUGCCGUUAUUCAUCAGUAUUUAUGUGGUUGUUAGUUGAGGCCAGUUUAUAGGAAACAGAAACUCCACUACUCCCUCCUUCCAUCUAUAUAGGGCCUAAUGUGUUUUUCGAGGCUAACUUUGACCAAAUACUAGAGCAAUAAUAUAUGACAUGCAACUUACACAAAGCACACCGUUAAAUUCGUGUGUGAAAAGAGUUUUCAAUGAUAUAAUUUUCACAUUGUGCAUGUCAUGUACUAUUAAUCUUGUCAAUAGUCAAAGGCGGUCCUAAAAACACAUUAGACCCUAUAUAGAUGGAAGGAGGGAGUAUGGCUGAAUAUGUAGGCAGUUGCACAACCCCCUUUUACCUUUUGGUUUUUUUAGUUCCAUCCAUUUAAAUUACCGUUGAACAUAAAGAAUAAGAGUAGUUUAGCCCAUUAAAUUAAAUGUUAUAAAGUUUCUUAGUUCGCAUAAAGAAUCGCACUUUCAAGAUGUUUUUAGAUACCAAAGUGAUGCCCAUUUUGAACAUCAUAUUUUUUUUCAAAAAUGGGGGCUCCCCGGCCUCUGCAUCAUUUGAACAUCAUAUUUAAGGGCCUGAUAGUAUGUCAUUUAAAUACUUGGGUGGUACGGUAGCUCAUGUUGCACCUACUGUUGGCAUUUGGCGAUUCUUCCUUCCUUUUGUGUGACACAUUACAUUUAGUGAUGCAAGAUAUCCUUUUCCUUUUCUUUAAACCCCUCUUUGGUACCUUUGUUUUUAUCAGUGGGACACUGCUGGGCAAGAACGCUUCAGAACUAUUUACUAGCGGCUACUAUCGAGGGGCUCACGGGAUCAUUGUAAGUUUGUUUAUGUGAAAAUCUUAUUUUUAUUUUUCACAUGCUAUUUAACAUGCAUAAAUGUCCACAUUUUUAUAUAUUUUGAAUACAUAUAUACAAAUGGGGUUGCAGAUUGUCUAUGACAUGACAGACCAGGACAGCUUCAACAAUGUGAAGCAGUGGUUGAACGAGAUUGAUCGCUAUGCUAGUGAGAAUGUUAACAAGCUUCUUGUAGGGAACAAAUCUGAUCUCACUGACAAAAGAGUUGUAUCAUAUGAGACAGUGAAGGUACCUUAUGCUUUACUCAUAUCUGCUAAAGCAUUCUUUCUGCUCUUUGUGUUCACGUUUGGUGUAUGCAGGCAUUUGCUGAUGAGAUUGGCAUCCCAUUCAUGGAGACCAGUGCAAAGAAUACCUUGAACGUUGAGCAGGCUUUCAUGGCUAUGUCUGCUUCAAUCAAGGACAGGUGUGUGUUCCCAGACGGUUUAAUUAGCACAGGCCAUCCUACUAGUCCACUUUUUUUUAACUACCAUCAUUUUACACUUUAUUUACUGCUCAUUGAUGCUCUGUUCCUGUAGUACUCCCUCUGGUCCUUUUUACUCCCCACAUUAGCUUUGUCUGAAGUCAAAGUUUGCUAAGUUUGACCAAAUUUAUAUUAAAAAAUAUUAACAUCUAUAACAUCUAAUAAAUAUAAUAUGAAAAUAUAUUCCGAGAUGGAUCUAAUAAUAAAUGCGUUGUUAUGUGAAUGUUAAUAUUUUUUUUGUAUAAACUUGAUCAAAGUUGGAUGAGAUUGACUUCAGACAAACCUAAUAUGUAGAGUAAAAAGGACCGGAGGGAGUAUCAUAACCAAAAUUGCCCUACACUCUUUAGCAUGUUGCUGUUAAUUGUUCUAUGUUAUUCCUCACGGUGUUGUUCUAUAUACACCUCAUAGAAAGAGCAUAUAAUUAUGAAUAAAAAUCUUGGUUUCCAGGAUGGCGAGCCAGCCGGCUGCAAACAGCGCUCGCCCAGCGACGGUGCAGAUACGCGGGCAACCUGUCGAACAGAAGACGAGCUGCUGCUCUUCUUGAAAUGCAGGCAGCCGUCAUCCGUGUUACCCAAAUGGAGACGCAAACUUGGCCGCGCCAUCCUUGAGUCCAUGCUUCUACAUAGGCCUACUACAUCUUACACCUUCAUUCCAUUCUUUCUAGUGUACUUAUUAGCUCUUGAAUCGUUGGACUUGUAACACCGGACGGAGUUUGGAGACAGUAUCUUCUUCUAGUUGUGUAUCUUGAAUGGUUAUAUGUUACGAUUUGCAGCUGUUGCUUUUCUUCCCUAAAUUUAAGGCGAUUUCUACUUUUACUUGAUCAAAUUGUCCCGUUC